This 99376-nucleotide long non-coding RNA is filed under the name Gossypium barbadense (sea-island cotton). Its description in RNAcentral is "long non-coding RNA (GBAR_LNC016635)". The record is from RNAcentral. Lineage: Eukaryota; Viridiplantae; Streptophyta; Magnoliopsida; Malvales; Malvaceae.
GAGUCAUGGUUUGCUUCAUUACUUCACCUUCUCCCAACAAUUUGGCAACGCCAAAAUCUCCAACAUGUGCAACCAUGUCUUCAUCUAGUAAAAUAUUGCUUGGUUUUAUGUCACAAUGAAUUAUAGGGGUUGGAUGUCCAUUGUGGAGGUGUUCUAUAGCCACCGCAACAUCUAUCAUUAUGUCGACCCUUUGUAUGAUAUCAAGGAAACAAUUUUUAGAAUGUAACCAUUUCUCAAGGUUUCCAUUAGACAUGUAAUCAAGCACCAAGGCUUUGAAGUCAACACUUGAGCAGCAAGUAAUGACCUUCACAAUAUUACGAUGAACUAUAUGAAGCAUAGCAUCACAUUCAAUGUCAAAACUCCUAAAUGCUCCCUCUGUUUGCAAAUUGAAAACUUUUAUUGCAACUUCCAUUCCAUCUGAAAGCCUCCCUUUAUAUACAUAUCCAAAACUCCCUGAACCAAGCAUAUUGCUUUCCUCAAGUCCAUUAGUUGCUCGUGAAAGUUCAGCAUGUGAAAUUCUUCUCGGUGUCUUCAAAGACAACAAAUCAUCUUUAAUUGGUAGAGCUGUACUCCUUCUUUGGCAUCUUCUAUACAUAAUAGUUAAGACUAUUAGUACUACGACAAUACCAAUUGUUGGUAAACCAUACCUAAAAGCAUGCAAUAUAAUCGUUUGGGAGUUUUUGUGGAUGUCGUUUUUACAAGGUGGGACUAGCAAUCUAGGUGGACCACAAAGUGCAUAAUUCUUCAUGAAUGAUGUGCUAGAAAAGUUUGAAAAACAUCCUUCGCUGGGAAUUUCCCCUUCAAGUCUAUUGAAAGACACAUUAAAAUACUUUAGAUAUAAAAGCUUUUCCAAAGAUUUGGGAAUGACUCCAGAGAGAUUGUUAUUGCAUAAAUCCAAGAAUUCCAAACUAAUCAACCCAUCAAAUGAUUCAGGGAUAUGACCAUGUAGUAUAUUAUUUGAUAAAUCUAAUGAAACCAAAGUUAUAAGACCCCCAAAUGUGGAUAAGAUAUCGCCCGUGAGAAGAUUCCUUGAUAAAUUUAGUUUCAGUAGACUCCUCAAAUUUCCAACAUCAAUAGCAUGUGAAUUGUGAAGAUGGUUUGAUGAUAAGUCUAUUUCUAAGAUAUCUUUAAGAUUCCACAAAGUUGAGGGUAUUGUAGAACUCAAUUUGUUGGAAUCUAAGUAAAGAUAUCCCAAAGAAGUAAUAUUACCCAAACAAGAGGGUAUGGAUCCAUGCAGCUUAUUCAACCCUAAAUACAUCUUGUAUAGUCUCUCCAAAUCACAAAGGCUUUAUGAGAUGGGCCCUCCUAAUUUAUUAGAGGAAAGAUAUAGACCUUGGAGAUUUCUCAUUCCUCCUAUUGAUGCUGGAAUCAAUCCACUUAAUUUAUUAUAGUCAAGUUGUAAAAGCAAUAGGUUGGUUAAGUUACCUAUUUCCAUAGGAAUAAUGCCUUGAAGCUCACACUCAUCGGCAUAAAAGUAUUGAAGGGAUUUUGAAAGGUUCCCAAUAUAAGUAGGAAGAACGCCACUCAAUGGAUUUCCUGAAACACCUAUUUUUCUCAAAUUCCUACAAUUCGUCAAAGAAGAAAGAAAGCUCCACUCAUGAUCAGUAGCAGAUCCUGUGAUCAAAUUAUUGUCAAAGAUUUUGAGCACUUCAAGGUGUUUUAAGCUGCCAAGCAUUUUAGGGAUUGGGCCAGAGAAUAAGUUUCGUGACAACUCUAGUUUCUUAAGCAUGGAAGCAUUGGAGAUAGAGUUGGGAAUGUUUCCGCUAAGUUUAUUUCUCCACAAUAAAAGAAUCUCAAGCUUUGGAGCAUUGGUGAUUGGUGGUAAAUCACCUGUGAAAUAGCAUCUUUUAGUAUACACAUUCAUUGAAUACCAAAUUCACAAAAUAUAUAAUACAUUAAAAUAAAAACUGUAAAACUUUAAAUCAAUUAAGAAUAAAAUUUUGGCAUGGAAAAAUGUGAUGAAAUCAAUUAGAAAGUUGAGACAUAAUAAGAAGUUUUGAGUAGUAAUUACUCAUGAUUUCUAUAGACAAAACAUAUAAUACACUGAUAAUUUUUUAAAAAAUAUUGUAAAACCUGAAAUAAAAUAAAAAAUAAAAGUUUGGCAUGAGAAUGUGGCAUCUAAUCAUUCUUAAAAAUAAGACUAACAUUGAAUAAUAAUUAGUUAUGAUUUGAGAAACAAAAAUGUUAAAGAUGUAAACUGGUAUGAUUUUUAUCUAUUGGGUUAAUUAUUUAUUUUUAUUAAAUUAUAUAUAGUGUAAAAUUUAAAGAUUAUUAUUUGCUCAAAAUUUUUGUAUUUUUCGUAUAUUUGAAAUUUAAUCUUUAUAUUUUUUAUUUUCUGUGAUUUAGUCUCUCUACUUUUUGAAUUGAAAAUUUUAAGUUUAUUUAUUAACACUGUUAAAAAGUUUUUGUGUUAGUAUGGCAUUUUGAAAAAUAAAAUAAAAUUGAUAUCUAUGUUUUUAAUUAUUCCAAAUAUUGUUUUACUAUUUCAAGAUAAACUUUUUGUGUCUAUACCAAUAUCUUAAGAACUAUUGUUGCAUGUUUAAUUAUUCUAAAGAUUUGUUGAUUGAGUCUUGGUUGAAGUGCAUUAUUCUCCUAUUUAUGAAUUGGGGAGUUGAUAAAGUACUUUAUUUUAAUAUAUUUUAAAAUAUUAAAAAUUUAUUAAAAUAUUUUUUAUAAAACUUGAUUGUACCACAAUAUACAAUUUUAAUAUCAAAUUUUUAAUUGUUUUUUAAAAAUAUUAGCGAAUAUAUACUUUAUUUCAAGUUACACAAUUUUUACUAGCUUUUAACUUUUUUUAAAAUUUUUAUCGUCUUUUAUAAUUUCUAAUAAUUUUUUAUAAUUUUUUACAAUAUUUACAAUUUCUAACAAUUUUUAAUAAUUUUAUUAUUUAUUUCAAAUUUAAAAAUUAACAAAUUUUUAUUUUUUUAAAACAAUUAUAUAUUUAUAAUGUAGUUAUUUUUUUAUAAUUUUUUUUUGAAAUUUAAAGAUUUUUUUGGUUUUUUUUUUCUAGAUGAUGAUGCCAUCAUGAUGCCAUCAUAUGCCACAUGCCUUCUAAUUUGUUGUCAUAUAGACAUAUUUCUUCGAGCGUAGUUGAAUUAAAAAUACUUGAUGGAAUCUGACCUGCACACAUAGUCGAAAAUUGAAGUGAAAAGCAUACCUUCUAAGCUGUUAAACUAAAAAUACUUUAAGCAUAUUUUAUUUUCCAUCAAAUUAACUAUUUUGCCUUGAAUGAAAUAAAAUGUUCUUAUUUUUGUUAUCUAUUACAAAUCAAACUCUUUUAUGAAAAAACUAUUUUAAAUUAAAGAAACAAAGAAAAUUCAAUAUCUUCUAAGUUAUUCCACUCCAAAUAUAAUCUUCAGUGAAGAAAUCUUGAAGAUGGAAGAUGGAACCUUACCAGAUAAUUGAUUGAAUCCCAAGCUCAAGGACUCUAGAUUAGACAUGUUAACAAGUGUUUCAGGGAUUGUGCCUAUAAAGUUAUUAUUUUUCAUUUUCAGCCUUCGAACUCCCUGUAAGUUCCCAAGCCAUGAUGGAAUUUCCCCAUUAAGACUGUUGUAUUUUAAUCGAAGGAUCCUCAAACGAUGCAAUUGGCCCAAUUCUUUAGGGAGAUGGCCAUAGAAAUGGUUUCUACUCAAGUCGAGAGAGAGUAGAAAUGAAAGAUUUCCAAGGUGUGGAGGGAUACUACCCCUAAGAUUCAUGCUUUUAAGUUUCAAAGCUAUAACUCUUUUAUGGAGGAUGCCACAAGAAACACCAAUCCAAUUGCAAACAGAGGUUGAGGCCGUCCAAUUGUUUGCCAAGACAUUUUGAGGACCGGCAAUGCGAUCCUUAAACUCGAGAAGUGCAAACUGAUCGGAGUUGAGAUUCCUGACUGUCAUACCCCAGCAAAGUCCGGAACAUGGUACGAAUAAAGCUAAAAGAAGAUGAAAGCAAGUGUUGUAGUUCAUGAUAGCAAGACGGAAUAAGCCAAGAAAAUAAAAAAAAGUAGGACAAGGGAAGUUGAGUUGAUAAAAUAGUUUGGAUGAUGAAGAAAAGCCCAGAGAGCAUGCUUUAAUAUGUUUUGAAGAAAUUUCAAAAUAAAUUUCAAAAUAAAUUUCAAAAUAAAAAUUUAAAAAGGAAAGCAAAGUUUUGAAGAAAUUUCAAAAUAAAUUUCAAGUCUUCUUCUUUAAAAAAUACGUACAAAGAGCGAAUUUUCAAAAUUUCUCCUAAAUUUUCUUCACAUUACUCCACAUAAUCCAUUAAAAAAACUUAAAAAAUAUAUUUUAUUAAUUACUAUACAUUCUUUUACUUUCAGAAUAAUAAAUUGUUUAAAAUUUGCUAUUAGUCCCUGUAAUUUAAAAGUUAAAAAAAAAAUUCAAUCCUCCUACUUUUCUAAUUUAAAAAUUCUAGUUCAAUCAAUUUUAAUUUUAAAAUCUUUGUAUAAAAGGUGUUUUUUUUUUGUGACCGAUCACACUUAACCAAUAUUUAAAAAUUAUUAAAAAAUAUUUUUUUUUGAAAUUUAAAGUGAUCUAAAAACAUAUUUUUAAGUACUUUGGACAGUCUAUUGUUGAUUUCCUUAUUAUAUUAAGUGUUUGCAAUCACUCCUAAUAUAUUGUGCUUGAGUUGUGACAAAGUCGAUCAUCAAAUUGCCAUAAUGAUCUAUUGAUGCUGAAAUUAAAGUUUUUGUUAUAUUGAUAGAGCUUGUCCUUCAACGCGUACAACGUGUUUGUUAUUUUUCUCCCUUCAAAUUGUAUGAUCUUAUUCAUUAAAUGAAUUAAUGAAUUUCCCUUUUAAAAAGAUAUAUUUUUAAAAAUUAAAUACUUUAUAAAAUAUUUAAAAAUUUGUAAGCCUUAAAACAAUCAACAAAAUAUUUUUGAAAUUUUAUAAAUAUAUUUUAAAAUUAUAGUAACGCUACAAAAUAUAUAUAUUUACUAAUUAUAUGCACCUUUUUUAUUUUUUUUCCUAACAUAUCAUUAUUUUCAACACUAUCGUAAUCCUGUUUUGAUAAUUCCCUUUCCAUACAUCCUUUUUCUACAUAGAAUUUCAAAAGAAAAUGUGAAUUAAUGUAAACGUGAGAAGACUUAAUUACAUUUAUUAGUUUAUCAAUCAAAACUUAAUUAGAAUCCAUCAAUAUUUCACACAUCAAAAACCCAAACAUAAAAUUCACUUUUAAAUUAUUUGAAGAUACAUUUGUAUUAUAGGAAAUGGAUUAAAUUAGUCUUUUAUUAUUAAAUGUAUUAUUUUAAUCUUUGUAUUAGGUAUGAAUUGUAUCUCCUAGAUUGAAGCCAAAGCUAUUCUUGAAAGACUGAAAUUAAGAUUCAGAUGUGUUGAGAUGGAAAGUGGCAACACAAUGUUGAUUGAAACUAUUUAUAACGGGUUGGCUACAAUAAGUAGUGCUGCCGAAGUAAGACAGAUUCACGAUUGGUGUUCCAAAAAUUGGGAAGUCAAAUUUCGACAUAUUCAACGAAAUGCCAAUAAAGUUGUUGAUUGCAUAGCUAAGGCAAAUGGAGGCGUAAUUGAGCAGCUGGUUAUCUUGGAAGAUCCUCUGCAUUAUGUGAGAUGCUAGCUUGAAGAAGAUAUUAGACAGUCACUAGUGACUGAUGAUAAUUUUCAUUUGGACUGAUGAGCGCUUAAUUUUCUAAGCUUAUGUUCAACAAAAAAAAAUUUAAAUACGUCUAAAUUGUAAUAGAGUUAACAUUUAGUGUUUAAAAAAUAUCUUAAAAAUUAUUUUUUUCCAAUUGCAGUUCAAUUCCACAAAUAUCGACGAUGAACCCGGACAUAAAAAUUACAGAAAAAAAAACACAUCUAUUAUCAAACCAGCAAUCCAUGUCUAAACUUAAAUUAACAAAAUUUGCCACACAACGCCCGGUACACUAUUAUAUAUCUAUACUAGAUUUAUUCUAGAUGCACAUGUUUUAUUAUAUUUAAAAAUUAAAAUGUAUGGUUGACUAAGUUUUAGUUGAGUUAGUAUUGAUAUUAUUGUCAGUGUAGGAAAAUGUGAGUUUAAUCACGCUCAAAUGUGUUUUAUCCUCCAAUUCAAGGGUUAGGAAAAGGUUAUUGAUAAUUAAAUUAUACCAACUUUUAUAAUAUUAAAAAAAAGGAUUUAUAAAUAAUAUAAGGAAAAGAAAAAAAGAGAAACAUAUUCAUAUUGAUGGGCUCUUUCAAUAUUAGACUUUUUUUUCUAUCACAAGUAAAAAUAUCAAAGGUGAUAAUAAUUAAAUUAUAAAAUUUAAAUUGAGAAAAUAGGGGAUAAAAUUUAUAAGUUUUAAAGUAUAAAGAAUGAAUUUAUAACUAACAACAUAUUUUAACCACAUAAUAAAAGUAGUUAUGGAGAGGAUCAUAUAAAAUGCAAAAAUGAAAUAAUAGAAAAGAAAUAAGUGUUGGGUAUAGUGGCAAUGUAUAUUAUACUUCUAAGGGGAGAUCAAGAUUUUAGACAAGGGAAGAAUUUUAAACCUGCUUUUUUCUCUAGAACUCAACGCAAACCUCAAAUUUAUCUUUUUAAAAGAAUUUAAAAAUAUCUAUAUAAAAGGUGAUUUUUUACCGAUCACACUUAACAAAAUUAAAAAAAAAUUGAAAUUUAAAGUGAUCUAAAAACAUAUUUUAAAGUGCUUUUGACCAUCUUGUGCUGAUUUCUUUAGUAAUUUGAUUUGUUCAAUAUAGAUUUUGGUGACUUAAAACAAAAUUAAUAAAAAAAUAUUUUAUCAGAUAUCUUUUUAAUGUUUAAUAAUAAGUUAAUUUAUAAAAUAUACUUUCAUUGGACACAGGGCCUCCAAGGCGGUGAACCACUAAUCAAAUUAAUUUUGAGAUACUUAAAUUUGUUUUCAUCAAUUAAGAAAUUAAAAAAAUUUGUUGAGACCUCAUGAUUAUGUUUUAUAAUUUCAGGCUUAUCAACUAUUUUGAAAAACAACAAAACGUCUUACACCAAAAACUAAAAAAAUAAAAACGUCGACAUUAAAUUUGUUGCCAUGCAAUCAAUUUUAAGAUGGUUUUUGGAGUUAUAUAUCACCUUAGCAUUGACUUACUUUUCUACACUUAGUCUUCUCCAACAAGUUAAAUAUUUCAAUUUUAACAACAUUGACAGGUCUUUGGGGUAGGGUCGAGCAAAACUCAAUAUAGGCUGAGUUGGCUCGGCCAAGUCGAGUCGACUUGUUCAAAUUAUUUAAAUUCGUAAUUUUUAAGGUGCAGUUAGAAUUUUUUGUUUUGAGAUGCUAAGAUUAAAAUAUUUCAGUUGCUAAAACAAAAUAUUUGUAUUUAAAAAGGCAUAAAUUAAAUAAUUAAGUUUUUCGAGUUUCCAUUUAAUCAAAGGUUAAAAGGACUAAAUUGAAGCUUUUUAUUUUUAAGAAAGGCUGAAUGACAAAUUGCCCAAAGCCAUGCCCCUAGCUAUACAACUAACUUCUCUAUGAUUAGUCCUUCGUUUGCUUUGGGUGAAAUCUUCCAACUAGCCUCAUCCUUGGUUUUACUUUCCAACAAUUAGUGUAUCACGAGUUUUGUUUUCUUUAAAAAAUAUUUGUGGAUAUUAGGAGAUAAUGAAAAUUAUUUUACUAUGAAAUUUUAAUAAAACUGGAAAAUAAGUAAUUUAUUUUAAGAGGUCGCAAUUAAACGUUAGAUUUCCAAUUUUUAAAUUUUAAUUUUUUUUUGACAAUUGCAUAAUAUUUUGAGUGUUGUAGGAAUGCCAUAAUAUAACCUUCCCUAAACAUAAUCGACUCUUGAGCAUGAUGGAUCCUAGAACUUCUCCUCUAUUCUCGUACCGCAAAUUGCUUCAAGUGUGGGUUCGAACAAUCACAAAUUAAACACAAAACCAGAAAUGAUUUAUUACUUUCAAUAGCAAGGUAAUUCUCUCUCAAUAGAAACCAAUAGAAGUGUAAUUCUUAGAAAAUAAAAUUUAUUUUUUGAAAAUAUAUUCUCACUACUUUCUAGCAGAAUAACAAUAUGUGAAACUUAUGUCUUGUGUUAAUAGCUCUACCAGUACUCUCUAUUUAUAGGGAGAGAUACGAGAAUCCUGGUUGAAUUAGUAAAACACGAAUAAUAUUUAUUUCAUAGAAAACAAUAUUCCACCCUAAGUAGAUCAAGUUUGUAUGACGCAUGGAUCAAAGCUCAAUCUAGGAGGAAAAAAAUAAAGGAAUUUUCUUUGUAAAGAAAAUUUGAGAUUGUACUAUUUUCAAAGUUAUAAAUAAAAUUAUACGCCAAAUUUUUAAGUCAAUUUCAACUCCAAUUUUGUAUGCACAAAUUUCUAGUACACUUGGUGGGACAUUCUUUGACUUUUAUCUAUUCUCUCAAAAAGUUAAAGUUCAAAGUUACAUUAAACUCAAAGAAGAUAAUCAUUAGUAAACCACCUCACAAGCCUGCUCAAACUAAUCCUACAACUCAUUCCACUUCAUCAUCAAACACCAAUGUUCUUGCUUAUCCUUAUGGAAUUAAACAGUCUCAUUUUCUGCAUUUUGGGUACACACCUGGUUUUAUUUGAUGCUAAAACAGUCCCCGAGCACUCCAAAGCCUAUAAUUGAACAAAUAAUACUAAUUUAAUCUUACAUAACAUGAUCCCAAAUUGAACUUGUAUCGAGGUUUUAACCCAUAAGUGACUAAACCUUACCUUCAACCGAGUGAACAGUAAUUCCCACACAAACUAAGACUCCGAUUGAAGAUUACGAGCCAUUGAAUCCUCCCCUAAUUGGCAUAAACAAAACACUUCAAAAGAAAGUCAACAAAUGGAGACAAAUCACUUAUCUAAAACUUACCGAACGAUCACAGACAAACGUGAAGCGACACGAGGCAGAGUGGGAAAAGAAAAAUCAAGAGGAUGAAGGGUGAAAGAGAGCAGAAAUUCGGUAGCAAUGAAGAGAAAAACGGCAAGAAAGUGGAGGGAUUUUGGGGAAAGUAAAAAAAAAGAUGAAUAGAAUAUUUGAUAACUACCCCAAUCCCUUAUUUCUCUCUAUCAAACUCCCCACUAAAUCCACUACUCAAAUUUUUAGUCCAUCUCAAACUCUCCUGGACGCACGAGCAAAAAAUAAUGCCCAUGCCAAAAUUUAAACAAAAGACCUCCUUCACACCAACACUCCACUUAUCCACCAGACCAAUAGGCUCAUUCUUUUAAUUAUUUUCCAACUUUUACUUAAAAGCCUACUGACCAAAGAUAGGGCUUAUUCAUAAAAAUACCAAAUUUUGCCCAAGACCUGGCUUGAACUUGGGACCUCCCAAACACACCCAGAACACAUAACCACUAAAGCAGACAUAAAUUUUGUGUCACACAUUCACAAUACCCAAAAUUAAAAUUUUAGGGCGUUACAAAAACACAUUAAAUAAUAUCGCAUAAAAUAAUCACAGUUAGAUAACAGUUCAGAAUGUCGAUUUUACAAUUUAACCACCAAUAGUAUCACAGUAUUCACAGUUGUAAUUUCAGAAUAUCAAAUUUCCACAUGAUUCACAAUAUUCACACAUAUAUAAAUAUAUCAUAAUAGAAUUCCAGAUUUGUAUGCACAUGAUUUAGAAGAUGCCAUACAAUUUUGGUUUUUAACAGAAUAAAUCCUACCCCACGUUACAUACCAUAAUGGGAGUUCCCCUAAACUCCCUUCUCCAACACACUAGGUUAUGGAUAAACCACUAUUGGUUCACAAAUAAUAACUGUCAUUUGGCUGUGGACACACAGCAAGUCCCCACAAUUGGAUUCUAGAUUUGGUUGUGGAUUCACAGCAAAAAAAUCCUACAAAUGAAGCCUGCUUUUGCCUGUAGAUUAUACAACAUAUACCCGCAGUUGGAAUCUGUCUUUGGCUGUGGAUGCAGUGUAACACCGCAAACUCGACCUGGACAUUAUGGCUGAAUCUUGAUGAUUUACUUUAACUCGCUAGAAAACCCACGAAUUUACUUUAAAAUCAUGUGGUUAAACUAGUGUUCACUUUGAUAAAUUGUUUUCCAGUUUUAGAGAAAUUUCUUGUUAAAACUGUUACUUUAUUACAAUAAAACAUUAAAGUAAUUGUAUCAUUUUGUAGUGGAAUCUACUAAGCUAUAAGGUUUUGAAAAUCGUGAUUUAGUUUGCAACAAAUCAUUUUGCAAAUAGAAAUUUAAUACUACUUAAUUUGGAAAAUCACGCUAAAACGAAAGCAAAGUCCAAAAUAAUUUACGGUUUGAAAUUCUAAAAAGCCCAAAUUAGACAUAAAGUCUAUUUAAACCAAUUUAUUGAAAGUGUAACACCCUAAACCCGGCCUAUAUGUUAUGGCCAAAUCUAGAUGUGUUACGAAAAAAAGUUUAUAAAAUGACUUCCUUGUUAUUGGCAAACCAUCGUAACCAUUAUUACUUAGUAUAUCUGAUUUGUUUGGAAAACUUAUUGAUAUACUUAUUUGAUUUAAAAUCGUUGCUCGCUUAUGCCUUUUUAUUAAACCAAAUAUUUUGCAGCGGAGUUUCUUUACAACAUCAUAUUUUGGAAAAUCAAAUUGUUUCUUGAAAAUCGUUAUUUUAGAAAAGUUUUCAUUUUCAGAAAAAUUAUUUUAUCAGUUGUUAUGCUGAGAAAACAAAAUAAAAUCCAAAACCAAAAAUAAUCGCAAAAAGUCUAGAGAGUCCCAAAAUGACAAUACUCUUAAAACUAGACAAGCUUAAACUAAUUUUAAAAGAAUGAAAUUUUACAGAAAUGUGGACACCACUGAGCUUCCGUCGCACCGACCCACCUAAAUCUGAGGGUUACUUGAACAGAACAAACAAACAGAGAGUGAGUUUUGAAACUUAGUGUCUAACGCAUAUAUAAACAAAAAUUCAGAAUCAAUCUCAUGCAGAACAGAUACAAGUGUAAACCUUUUAUAAAAUUAGAAUUGUACAGAUACAAAUAUGCAACAUCCUACCCUCAUCCUCUACACACCAACUCCGACCAUCCUAUCACACCACGUGGGGUAUAAAAUACCCAUCCAGCCCUACACACCGUAUAGUGUUUAUAUGACACUUUUUGGAAUAAUCGCAGCAGAGUUGCCAGUAUAUAUGCGAGAUAUCACCUCACAUAGAACACUUCCUCCUCAUAAUACAAAUCCCGCCUCAUAGCUAGAUACAGACAAAAUAUGAUGUAAAAUAAAUUAACAGAUACUAGAGUUAACAUAUCACGCGUGAGCGUAUAAUAGAUAUUACACAUGCUUAUGCAUAACAAAAUAGAUCAUACAUAUUGUAUUCCAUAAUACUCAUAUAAAUGUUAUUUACGUCAAUCUCAAUCUAACAGAGUAGCAGAUUUCAUGCUUUAACGCUUAUACCACACAUAUAGACCCUAUAGAAGGCCCACAGUCGAUCGAGACAACAUGUAUGUCGCUAGGGAAAAAAUUUGUAAUUUGGGCCCAUAUACAUGUAUGAGCCCACACACCCAAAAUGGCCUUGCCCAUGUGGCUCACCAACCUAGCACUCAGCCCAUACGGUCCAAAAUGGCCUAGGUCGUGUGUCACACACAGCCGCAUGUUGCACACAGCCUACCACAUAGCCAGUCACAAAACUGUUUGGAGUUGAAAAGCCCAAUUUUUGGCUUUCGUCAAUCAUCAUUUUCUUACGUUUUCAUUACACACCUGGUUUGAUUCUGACGCAAAAGCAACCCUAUGUCCACCGAAACCUAAAAAUAGCAUUCCAACGCCCAAUUUCAGUGAACAUUUACAAAACUCAAACAAAAACUAUCCAAAAACAUAGCCUCACAAUAGCAUCCAACGCACUCGCACACUUAUCGUCAACAAAUAGGAAACACCCAACACUCAAUUCGUUGGCGGAGCACCAAUUAUGAUAAUGCAAAAAUUUUAUGGAUUCUCAACACUAUCGAUCCGAAUGUAAGAUUGAUGCUUUCCAAUUAUGAUAAUGCGAAAAUUUUGUGGGAUGGUUUACAUGAAUUUUUUUUGUUGUCAACGAUCAACGUAUUCAAUAAUUAAAAUAAAAUAUUAGUCGUUUUUAGAAAACCAAGACUAUGAGUGUUGUAGUUUAUUUCAGUAAAUUAAAGGUUUUGUGGGAUGAACUAGAUAAUCAUGAACCAUUGAUUUGUUGCAAGUGUGGACAAUGUUUAUGUAACUUAGGGAAGGCGCAUGAACAAUGUCGUGAGCAUGAUUGACUUCAUCAAUUACUUCUUGCUCUCUAUUGUAAUUGUUAUGCUCAAACUAGGUUUACACUGUUUUACCAAGAUCCUUUGCCUUCCUUAAAUCAGGCAUUCCAACAAAUUACUUAGGAGGAACAUGUACGUGGAAUUACACUGAUUAAGGAAGAGAAGUCUGAUAUUUUAGGCUUUGCUAUGCGUACAGAGGGUCAUAACAAAGGCCGAGCUAAUUGUAUUGAUAAGUCAACCUUGUUGUGCACUCAUUGCCAUCGCAAAAGGCAUGAGAUGGCUACCCAUUUUGAAUUACAUAGCCACUUGGAUUGGCGGCUUAAGAAGUAUGGGAAGCCAGAGAAGAAAAGUGAUGAUCGUGGUGGUAAGACAAGUGCCACAUCUUCCACGUAAGUGUUUUAUUUCAAAGGAUCACAAUUAAACAUUAGAUUUCUCAUUUUUAAUUUUUUUAUUUUUUUAACAGCUACGUAAUUAACGAGUACCAAUUUUGGGUGUUGUAGGGGUUCUAUAACUUUCCCUAUAUGUAAUCGACUCUUGCACCCACUUUUUUUUCUCUAGAAUUCAAUGCAAACCUUAGAUUUAUCUUUUUAAAAGAAUUUUAAAAUCUCUUUAUAAAAGACGAUUUUUUUAGGUGACCAAUCACACUUAAGAAAAACAAAUCGGUGGCAACUCCUUUCUAAUAAAUGUAAAAAACUUUUUAAACAAAAUAAGGUUGAAAUAAUCUAGUUGUCGUUAUACUUUGAUAAAAUUUUAGAUUUAGUCCUUAUACUUAAAAGGUUAAAAAUUAAGUCUUGUUUUUAUUUAAAAAUCUUAGUCCUAUCGUUAAUAUUGUUUUUUUUUGUCAAAAUUUGUCAAGUUGACAUAUUAAUUAGGUUUCUCUUAUAUAUCGUGGUAUAUGACUAACACAAAAUAAACAAGUUGACAAAAUCUACAAAAAAUAUCAAAGAUGAUAAUAGUUUAAUUAAAAUUUUUAAAUUAAAAAAGUAAGGGAUUAAAUUUAUAACUUUUAAAGUACAAUGAAUGAAAUUAUUGAAAUACAAGAACUAACAACAUAUUUUAAAAUAUUACUAGUAAAUUAUAUAUCUACAACAAGAAUUGUAACCUCUUAUAUUAUAUUCUUGUAUCUAUUUUUGCAUCUUUCAUUAUAAUAUGAUUUAUUAAUUUUAAUAUUUUUAUAGAAUAAUAUGCUUUAAAUAGUUUUUUGUAUAAUUUAUAAAAAUUAUAAUAAACUUACAAAAUAAUUUAAUGAUAUUUAAUUAUUAACCAAAAAAAAUGAUAUCAUAUAUAUUAUGUAUAUAUUAAGAUUCCGAAUCAUUAAUUAUAUAUCUACGCAUUAUAAUAAAUUCAUCUUUCAAAAUUUUCCUUAUAAUUAAAGCAUAAAUUAUAUUUAUAAUAUUAUAAAUAUAUUUUAUCAUAAAUAUUCUUUCAAAUAUUUUUUAAUGUUUAAUAAUAAGUUAAUUUAUAAAAUAUUUUUUCAAUAAAUUAAUGUGAUGAGAUCGUUAGGUGCUUGGAUUUGGUGAAGGGGGAUGAAGAGAAAAGGGAUGGAAGUGAAUAAAAAUGUUGAGAAAUCGAAAGGGUUAGCGAGGGAAGCCGCCAUGAAAGGUGGUUCAAUGGAUAUGAACCAUCAAGCUUUUGUGGAUGAUGUUACUCAAGGUUGUUGCAAGUAAAUUAAAAAAUAUUUUUUUAAAUUAUUUUUUUGUUAAAAAACAUUUUUUAUUUUUUAUGUGGCAUGCCACAUUAUCAUAGUAUCAUGUGACAACUUCUGGUGAUUUCUGUCUGUAACAUUAGUCAAAUCAACAGUUAAAUCGUUCAACUCACAGUUUUUGUUAAAUGAAGAGGUCAAUUGGUUUUUUUGGAAUCAUUGAGUACUCAAUUGGUGCACUUUUAUCAUAAAGGCUAAAUUAAUUUUUUUAAUUUGUUAUUGUUGAGGGCUAUAACAAUAAAAAAAUUAAUGUAAAAUGAAAAAAAUGUUAGAGCUAAAUUUGUCAUUAUAACUAAAAUGUAAAACCAAAAUUUUUUGAAAAAUGAAAAAAAUGGAAAAUCACAAAUUCUAUCACUUAUGUUUGCUUAAAAUUAUAGUUUUGGUCACCAAUCUUUUGAAGUAAAUAUAUGGUCACCAAUAACUCACCUUAAAGUUAUACCCCUACGCAAGAAAGGAUUAAAUGACAUUGGAAUACCAUAAAACUUGUAUCUUUUUUUAUUCAUCUAAUACCAUUUUAACAUUUUCAUUUUAAAAAAUUGACAUAUCAUUUUGAAUUUGAUCUUUUUCAUGGUAUCUCAAAUUCAUUUAAUCUUUCCCUCUCUAAAAAAGCUAAUGUAACACAUUAAUGACAUCAUUUCAAACAAAGUUUUAGGUCAAAUUAUUCAUCUAGUCCUUGUAAUUGUUUUUAUAGGUGAAUUUCAUUAUUAUUCUUUUAUUUUCUUAGGCUUAAAUACACAUUUACCCCUAAUUUUAUCCCAUUCUCCUUAAUUGGUAUUUAUGGUUUAGAAAAUUUUAUAAAUAUAUUAUUUUUUAAGAAAUUAUAAGAAGAUUACAAAAAUUCCAAAAUAAUAUAAAAAAGCCAAGGAAAACCUAGAAAUUCAAAAAAAAAAAAAAAACGUCGACAUUGAAUUUGCUGUUUCACAUUCAAUUUUUGGAGAAGUAGAAUUUUCUAACUUAUUUUCCAUCAACUUGACUUCAAUUUUCAAUCACAAUCAAUUGCAUUCAAGAGCACCACAUCUGUUUGGAUGAAACAAACCUCUCAAUUUUAAGAUAAACGGGUCUUUAGGGUUAUAAAUUGAGGGCCUUUUCCACAAUUGCGGGUGAUUCGUUGAUAAUAACCUCAACAUUUCUGUAUCACAUUUCAAUUUUUAAUUUUUAGAGAGAUGAUUGGGUUACAAGACUGGUUUGAAGUGAAGAUAUUUCAAAAGAAGAUCGAAUACUCUACCAAUAGUCAUAAUUUAAAAUUCAGGUUAUGUUUCAUUUCAGCUAAGUUAAAUGUUAAGAUUGAGGUUAAACCUUUUAGAGGUUGCUCACAAAAGGAUCAAACCUUUAUAAAAUUGCCUAAAUGAAGGUUAAACCUUUUAAAAUAGACAAAUAAGGGCCUAACCUUUUAAAAGGUGUUCAAAUAAGGGUUUCUCAAACGUUGUAUAUCAGGUUAUGUGUUUUACUCUAAACACAUCGACAUUUACCUAUUUUUUCUAUAAAUUUGGUUGAAGUGCAUGAAAAAUCCUUAUUUGAGCACUUUUGUAAAGGUUAAUCUCUUAUUUGACCAUUUUGAAAGGUUUGAUCCUUAUAUAAGUAACCUCUAAAAGAUUGAGCACUAAUUUGACAAGUUUGAGAAAUAUCUAAAUUUGUUUUCAUGAAUCAAGAAAUUAAAAAAGAAAUGUUGAGAAAUAUUUUAGAGAUUCUUAGCUUUGACAAGUUCCCUCCACCAUCUCCCUGCCUCCAGUCCCACCUCUUCUCUUAUGCUCCUUCCAGCUUCUUGCCUUUUGUGUGUUGAAAAUUCAAAGGAACAAAAUAUCAACCUACAUCAUAAGGCACGAUCGCCAGAACUUUACUUUCUAGCCUGUCGAUCCGAUCCAAUCCAAUGAAAGAAGAACAAGGAGUCUUAAGAUCUGUCAACUUUAUUUCAUUUUCAUUUUCUUUGUCAUUUUCUAUGUUUCAUGUCGAAUACAAUGAAAGAAGAACAUAGAAAAAUGUGGCCUAUUUAUUUCCCAAUCAUCAUGAAAUUACUUGCCAUUGACUUAGAAUUUUCUCACCAAUUUUCAAGCAAUCUGACAUGAUUUCUCAAUCACAAUUAAUUGAAUUCAAGAUCUUUUUAGAUGACACAAACAUUUCAAUUUUAACACAAACCAAUAUUUCGGUUAUACUUCAGUGCUUGACAAGCACUUUCACAUUUGUGGGAUAAGAACUCUUAACAUUUUAGGAUCACAUUUAAUUCAAUUGCAUUUAAGACCUCAUGGUUUUAUUCUAUAAUUUCAGUCUUAUCAGCCUUUUCGGAAACAAUAAAACGUCGACAUUAAAUUUGUUGUUGAUGCAUUCAAUUUUUUGAGGGGUCUUUGGAGUUAUAUGUGACUUUAGCAUUGACUGACUUUUUUAUAAUUUAUCUUUUAUAAUAAGGUAAAUAUAUUAAUUUUAAUAACAUCGACAUGUUUUUUAGUAGGGUCGAGCAAAACCCAAUUAAAAUCGAUGAUAUUGGCUUAGUUGACUCGGUCAAGUCCAUUAGAUUGAUAAAAUCAUUUUUAAAAUCAGUUAUAAUGGAUAAAGGUAAUUAAUUAUCGAGUAAUGAAAUACAUAAUCAAAUCAAUUGAUUUUGUUAGAAACUAAAAGAAAAAGGGCUAAGCUGAAAAUUGAUUGCCCUUUAUUAAAAUUAACGAAUCUGUCUUUUACGUAUUAGAUAAUAUGAACAUCGCAUAUAUAAUAAGAAAAAUUACGUAUGAUUAUUUAUUAUCAUAAAAGGUUAGUUUAAAUUUAAAGUAAUCUAAUAUGUUUAUUGAACUUCAACUAUUAAAUAAAGUAUAAGCUAAAUAAGUAUAAAUAUUCUAGAAACCAUUUCUAACUGAUGAUAGGCUAAUUCGAUUAAUUUAUAAAAACUAGAUAGUAGGGUUAUAGUCCUCAAACUACACCUAAUUUAAUAACAUUUAUAUUUUUUUUAGCCUUAAACAUUUAUAGUUUUUGUUAAUUUGGUCCUUACUCUUUAAAAUUACAUAAAAAUUGCAAAAAAAUUAAAAAUUAAUUUUUAUCAUGAUUUUAAUAACAUUUAUAUUUUUUUUGUGGUUUGGUAACUUAUCAACUUGACUCUUACUUGUAACCAACUUUUCUAACCUUUUUCGUACCCUUAACCUAAGUCCCGUUACAAUUUCUAAAGACCUCUUGAUUGGUGUAUCAUCUCGAUUUGUUUUUAUAGUGGUGGAGAUUUGUUUUUUGUAGUGGCAUGAUUGCCAGAACUUUACUUUCUAUCCUGUCGAUCCGAUCCAAUGAAAGAAUAACAAAGAGUCUUAAGAUCUGUCAACUUUAUUUCAUUUUCAUUUUCUUUGUCAUUUUCUAUGUUUCUUGUCACAUACAAUGAAAGAAGAACAUAGAAAAAUGUUGCCUAUUUAUUUCCCAAUCAUCAUUCUAACAGGCCGAAUUAGCCCAGGCCCAAACAUUAAUAAAAUGUCCAGAUUACAAAAUAACCAACCAAAAAUUAAAAGCCCAAAAUAAUAAAAUAAAACCCAUUACAUUAACCCAAAACUCCAGCCCAAUUACAUUGAAGCCCAAAAAAAUAGUUUUUAGAAACCCCUAGGGUUUCUGGAACAAUCCGCGCCGCUCCUCCAUCCGCUUCUCCACGCACGCUGCACCUUUCCACGUGCGCCUCCAGCUGGCAGUGUACCUCCAAUGCAACAAACAAAGCAACAAGCAGCAAAAGAAAUGGAAAAACAACAAAAAAAAAAAGAAAGGAGCAACAAUGUAUAACAGAUUGAUAACAAAUAAUAGAAAAAAUAGCAGUAAAUAGGAAAAAAAAUUAAAAAAUAAUGAGGGUAAUUUCAUUUUUUUCUCUGUUUUGGCUAUAAAGAGAGCCGGUCAAAAUCUCUAAAGGGGGAUUUAGAAAUCAAUCAGAAAACAAGUAUUUUGUACCAACAAUUAGAGAAAAAAAAUACAAAAAUAGGGAUUGAAGGUUUUUUUUUCUUUCGUUUCGAUUUAUUUUAAAAUAGCAUAGAAAAUAAAAAGAAGGCUUACCUUGCGACGCCUUCAGAUCCUCUCGAAAAGGGGCUAAAAGGCCCUAUGUGGCACAGAUUUGACCACUGUUCACGGUGGAACCGCAGCGGAGGCGCAGAGGAUUGGCAUCAAUUUAGGCAGGGUUUGAAACCCUAGCAGAGAAAAAAUUAGGGUUGAUAGAUUUUUUUUAAAAAAAUGGCAAAAUGUUGUUUUAAAAAAUUUUGUUUUAAAAAAAAUUGUUGCUUUUAUAAAGGGUGUAAAACGGCGUCGUUUAGGGCAUGUUUCGAUGGCCCCAAAACGGCGCCUUAUAAGGCAACCCCCGACGACCCGACCUGCUCCAUGGGGGAUCCGCGUGGUUUUUGUUAAAUGGGUUAUGUCUAACCCUGGCCCUUCUACUUUUUAUACUUGUUUUAAUUUGAUCCUCUUUUUAUUUAUUUUUAUUUCUUUAAAUUAAGCCUGAUAAUUUUUUUCCAUUACAUUUUAAUCCUUAAUGAAACGGCGCGUUUUAGAGGAGAAGGGAAAAUUACCCUUCUAGUCCCUUCUUGUUAUUCGAGUGUUCAGAAGGGUCCUUUUUUGUUUAUUUUUUAUUUGCCCCAAAAUUUUGUUUUAAAGCUUAAUUUAGUCCUAUUUUGUUAUUUUAGCUAUUUUAUUAUUAGAUUAAUUAAUUUAAUAUUAUUAUUACUGCUAUUAUUUUACCCCUAUUAUUUAUAUAUUUAUUAUUAUAACUAUAUCAUUAAAUCAAUUAGUUUUUACAUUAUUAUUUCCAUUCUGUUUUUUAUUUACUUACUUAAAUACUUUAAAUGCAUUUAUUUUAUUUCUUAUUUUUUUAUGAAAUUUCAAAACUUUAGACUAUUUUUUUGUUACUAUAACCCUAAUUUCAUUCAUUUUAUAAUAGUUUUUUUUUAAAAUAUUUCUUAGAUUAAUUCCCUCGAUGUUAUUUUGUAUAUUUAUUUAUCUUUUUAAAUUUUCGAUAUUGUCUUAUUGUAUUAUUGUUGUUACUAUCAUUAUUCAUUAUUAUUGUUGAUUUUAUUCUUCUUUGAUUAAUGUUUAUGUUAGAGUAAUAGGUGUUAUGUGAUCAUUGUUAUUAUAUGUUAUAAUUUGUUGACACUCGUAUUGUAGUCAUUCGUCAGCUUAAUAUUUUGAGUAACAUUUUAAAUAUUACAUUAAUUUUGACCCAAAUGCAUAAUUUUUUAAUAAGUAAUAUUUCGUAUUGUGGAAUUUGAGAGAUCAUUCCCUAACUUACGGGGUCUCGAUUUUUUUGAUAAAUCUGAAUAUAAGAACUAUUUUAAAAAAAUACGUUUUAAAAUUAUCUCGGGAAUUUAAAAAGAAGCGUGUUCUAACUUACGGAAUAUGAUCUUUUUUUAAAAAUCGAGAUAAUCAAAUAUCUUUCAAAUAAAUAAACUUUUCGUGUUUAUUCUCGUUUUAGGAUUUAAGAUAUUGUGUCCUAACUCACGGGACACAAUUCUUUUUCUCGAUUAACGUGAAAUACGCCCUUUUUAAUUUUAUCUUUUUAAGUGAUUUUAACAAAAGGAUUGUAUUUUAAAUCUCUUCAAAAUUUUCAAUUUUUCGACAUUGAGACAUUAACUAAUCAAUUAGGUACCAAUUUUGGGCGUUACAAGGGUGUUAACCCUUCCUUGUACAUAACCGACUCCCGAACCUAUUUUUCUGAAUAUUAUAGGCCAAAAUUGUUUUAAUAAAUUAAACCCUUAAGAGGUGACUCGAUCACAGCUCAUAAAAAUUAUCGGUGGCGACCCUUGUUUUAAAAAAGGUGGUUUCAACAGCUUGGCGACUCCGCUGGGGACAAAAAUAAGAGUCAAGCCGCGAGUUGAUUAUUUCUUAUCUUUUUGUCAGAAAUUGUGAAUUCGAUUUAAAUUUAUGAUCUUUUCAUUGCAUUUUAUGGUCUGCAUCAUUUUUAUAUGCUUGCUUUACUACUUCGAGUCUUUUAAUCUUCGCAUAUUGUAUUGCAUAACCGUUCGGUUAUACCCUUUUAAGCGGGAGUGAGAAAUUAUUCUUUCGUGAGGUUUUCACCUUCGUAUAGGAUAGUGGAUUACUUUCAGGAUACAUCCAUACCUAUGUCUUCGUGAGAUUCUCAUCUCCGUAUAGUCAUAGGGAAAUGUAUUCCCCUGAACUGAACUCAGUCCGUAUGAGCCUAUAAUGGGUGAGGAUUGAGGAAUCUGCUGGUUCAGGUACCCUUUCUUUAGAACUAAACCGCAUGUAGUGAGCCCUAAGAGCAUACCCUAGGUAGAACCACUCCAAACCCCUAGUGGUCACCCAAAUAGGUGCUCUAUUUAUUUUUGCUUGCUUGUUUUUGCCUUGUACUAACCUAUUUGUUAUGGUUAUGAGUGCAUUGCAUUUUUAUCAUAAAAAAGAUGUGUUGAUUCACGUUCAGUUGCUAAAUAGAGAGCUUGUCAUGGAAAACGAAUUUCUUGAUAAAGUGGAAGACAAUGCGGUUGUCCGGAUAUGGUCCAAGAAAAUGUGAAGAAAGAAGGGUGAUAGUCUAAUGGAGGACUACACGACCUUGCUUUGUUGCCUGAUGAUUCAAGUUGACAAAGAUUAUUCGAGAGUCUUCAAUGUCCCGACCUUUUUAAAGAAGCUAACGAGCGUCACGAGGAUGAGCGAGUAAUGAGUUGCGGCCCGGAUCAAGCAAAAAAAAGAUAGAGGAGACACCCUUUUUGAAGAGUUCACGAGAUUUAUCUUAACAUCUAGACGAAGAAAAAGAUCAAUCUCUUUGCCUAGAGUAUGAGGGCAAAGCCGUAUAUAUCCGCUUUAUGUAAAUAAAUUUGUUUUCUAGUAAAGUUUUUCUAAUAGGAUUGAAUCAGAAUCAACGUCUCUUUUUGCAUUCAUUCCAUUCAUCUGCAUUGCAUUUCAUUGCAUCUAGAAUUUCACAAAAGGACCCUAAUUAAUCGAAAUUGUUAUAGCUACCUUGAAAAACUAACGAAAAUUUACCAAUUAAAUAUUCCUAUGGUACCCAUUGCAAAACUAAAGUAAUGGAUCAAAUAUUAGAAAGAUUAGAACAAAUGCUGAAGGAUAAACAUAACUGCUUUGGCUUAGGGUACAAGCCAGAUACAAGACAAAGAAGAAAUAGGAAAGGAGAACACGUUUGAGCGGGGAUGAGGUCAAAUGGGAGGGAUUAUUCAUCCCAGGCGAAGAAUGCCAAGAGAAGAAAAUAUUGAAAACAUGUUGGGAAACGUUCACAUCAAUGCCAUAUACGAAGAAGCAAUUGAAGGAGUGACCUUGUUAGAUAUCCGCCCUUAUGAACCUAAGAGUGUGCUAAACAAUUGGACUGCAGAAGAAAUUCUUGUAGUGUUUAGAGCUUACUCAUAGUAAUGUUCAGAACACACUUGUUGCUUUUAGCCUAGAAGUGAUAAGAAUCCCUCUGUGAAAUAGGCUCAUGUAUAAACAUCAUUAUUUUAAUGAAGUACAUCUUUGCAUUCAUUUUGAGCAAAUAUUCUUUUAUUCUUUUCAUACGAGUAAUUAUUUUGGAUUCUUUAAUUCUUUUGGGAUUUUCUUCCAAAAUCAUUCUUUUAUUACAUCCAUAAUCAUACUGUACAAAUAAUGUAAUAGCCUGAAUUUUCAGUGGUGUCGGAAUGGUGAUUCAAGAUCACUAAGUCUGACAAAUGAGUAGAAAAUAUUAUUAAUUUAGUAAGAAUAAGUAAAUGUGAAGUUAGGAAAAUUUUUGAAAUAGUGAAUAGUGUACUAGGAAUAAAUAUUAAAAUAAUUAAAAUAAAAAAUGAGGUAUCGAGACCUCGAAGAUUUUAAACCAAGCCAUAAGUACUUUUAGAAGUAUUUUUAGAGUGUCAUUGAGUUGGUAUUAAAGUUUCGUUAGAAAAUUUUAACGCUCGGAUAGUUAAUUAACCAAAAAGGACUAAAUUGAAAAUAGUGUAAAAUUUGUUAAAUUGUGAUUAAAUAGCUUAAGUGAUUAAAAAGGAGGGAUUUAAAAGGCAAUUAGGCCCAAAUUAUAUGGGCUGGACGGUUGGGUAAGAAAAAUCAGCAGAAUGUAAGGAGAAACAGGGGCAAAAUUGGAAACUUAACAAAUUAAACAUAUAAAACAAAGACAAAAGUGAAAAAUCUAGAGAUCUGCUCACAAUUUAUCAGCAAAAAUGCCAUAGGAGGUCUGAAAGAAGCUGGUUUUUCAUAUAUUUGAAUCAUGUAAGUUUAAUUCUUGAUUAUUUCUUCUAAUUUUUGUGAUUUUGAUACUUUUACAAUUAGGUCCAACUAAUUAUUUCAUUAGUUUUUGAUUUCAUGGCUGAUUUUGAAAGUUACCAUUGAUGAGUGUUGGAUUUUUAUGAUGAAUAAACAUGGAAUUAAAGCUUUAAUUUUGUUAUAUGAUGAUUUUAUUAAGUAAUUUUGAUAGAAAUUGAUUUUUGGGACCUAAUUGUGAAAAAGUUUGGAAUUAGGGUUUGGUGUUGCGGUUUUGAAUAUGAAAGUCUAUGUAGUAGUCUAAAAUAGUUGGAAAAGGUGUUAAUUGAGAAAAAUUAGAUCAAUUGAGGGGUUAAUUGAGUAGGACCAAAUUGUAAAAACUGUAAAGUUUGAGGUAAAAGUGUAAUUUCGAAAAUUUAAGGGCAUAAAUUGUGAAGUGAAUUAGAAUAGAAUUAUAUGCUGAUGAAUGAAUAAAUUUGUAUUUUAGAUCGAGAACCCGAAGCAAGCCGAGGAAAAGAAAAAGUAGUUGAUUAGUCCCUGAACUUUUACAAAUUCUGCAAAUCGACCCAGGUAAGUUCAUAUGGCUGAAAUUUAAUGAUUAAAUGUUAAUUUCAUGAAUUAUGUAAUGUAUGAUGAAAUGUAUUUAGUGUUGAAAUGAGAGUAAAAUAAAAAUGCGAAAAUCGAAUAAAUGAUCAAAUUAAGCGGAACGCCGGAUUUGAGUACUUCUGAUCAAGAGACAAAGUGAUAAGUGGUAGCUUUAGCUACACUUAUCUGAUCAAGUGAAAAAGUGAUAAGUGCUACACUUAUCUGAUCAAGAGACAAAGUGAUAAGUGGUAGCUUUAGCUCACUUAUCUGAUCAAGUGAAAAAGUGAUAAGUGCUAUACUUAUCUGAUCAAGUGACAAAGUGAUAAGUGGUAGCUUAGCUACACUUAUCUGAUCAGGGCCAAAUGAUAAGUGAUCAUACGUAAGACCAUAGUUAUACUAUGGCCAAGUGAAAGUGAAGUACUCAAUUUUCCGUAACCGUUCCUUAAUUUUGAUCAAGGAUGGUAAGUGACAAAUAGGCCCAAAGAAAUUAUGGUAAAAGAAUAAGUAGUAGUGAGUUUAUACCAAGGAACUCUCCAAAGAUUGUGGUUGACAAGUAAACUUAGUAAUGGUGUAUAUUGUAUAAGUGUACAAAUGUUUGGUAAGAUUUAUGUUUGUGCCUAUGAACUUACUAAGCUUUUCUAUAAGCUUACAUGUGUGUGUUUAUUGUUUUUCUAGAUUAACGUAUUUAUACAUUCGGAGGAUCGGAUCUACUUCGAGAAUCACACUAUCCAGAUAUACUCCGGUAGAUUUUGUUAAACAACUUUUUGGAUUUAUAUGGCAUGUACAUAGAAUUGAAGUAAAAAGUAAUAGAAUGAAUGACUGAGUAUGCAAAGUAAAUUUGAAUGUGAUGGUUGUGUUAGAUAUUGAAAAAUACAUGUUUUUAGUUUGAAAUGGUUGAUUGGCUGAACUUCGUUAGUAUUCAAGUGAAGUAGUUGAAAUACUGGAAUUGGUUGUGAUUUGAAAUUUGCAGGGAAGGUUAGAUAAAUAUAAAGGGGUUAUAUUGAUUUUUUUUAAAAAUUUCAAUGGAAUAAUUUUUGGACAGCAGCAUUGAUGUAACUUUUAAAAAUCACCAAAAAUAGUGGAAAUAGAAUUAGAAGUUGAAUGAGAUAUGAAAUUAAAUCUGAAUGAGUCUAAUUUCACAUGAAAGAAGUAGAAUAAGAAAAAGAGUUAUAUAUUUUUAGAUAUUUGAAUUUUAGUGAAACAGGGCAAGAAUGUUUUUGAAGUCCCCUGUUCUGACUUUAGAAAUUUAGUAAAAAUUGUACAAAAGGAAUUAUGAAUUAUAAUUUAUAUGUUUAAAUUCCGUAAUGAGUAUAUUUUAAGUAGAAAUAAUUGGAACCACCAUAUGAAGUCUUUGCAAUGAGAUAAUUGAAUUUUAGCGACAAGAGGUCAGGAUAGUCAAUUAGUGAAAUAGGGGAGACUUCAACUAAUAAACUGUAUUAAUUUGCUAAACCAAAAAUUCUGAAAAAUUUAUGGUGAAUAUACAUAUGAGUCUAGUUUGAGGGAAAAUUUACGGAUCUAAAUUUUUAGUUUCGUAUCUUGAGUUAUAAUUAUUUUAGUGACUACUGCGCAUGUGGACAGCUUUGUUGUGAAUGGUGAAAUUAAUUUUUAAAGUAAAUUUUUAUGCCCCGAACUUUUAAGUUCAGUCAAGUAACGCCUUAUGCUCGACUCCGGCAACCGUCUUGGGUAAGGGGUGUUAUAAAUAAUUAUUCUUAAAUUCAUACAUUCUUUGUAUAUUAUUUUGUACCUACAAUAGGUCCCUAGAUAUUAACAACAUGAGUGACGUUGCUACAGACUCAGAAUUUCCUUUUAAACAAGACAUGUGUUUAGAGGGAUCCCAUGGCUUUGAAGAUGACGUAGACUGUGGCUUAUCUCUGAAUUUGUUAAGGAUGGUAAAACAAGAGGAGAAGCAAAUCCUACCUCACAAGGAAUCAAUGGAAAUUGUGAGCUCAGAAGGGGGAAAAGAGGUGAAGAUUGAGACUAACAUUGCCACAAAGACAAAGCAUGACCUCGUUGAGUUACUCCAAGAAUUUAAAGAUGUCUUCGCAUGGUCAUACCAGGAUACUCCCGGGUUAAGUACUGGCAUUGUAGUACACUACCUUCUUAUAAAAGAAGAUUGCAAGCCAGUUUAGCAGAAACUCUGAAGGAUGAUGCCUGAUAUUGUGCUAAAAAUAAAAGAAGAAGUUAAAAAGCAAUUUGAUGUUGGGUUCUUACAAGUGGUUAAAUAUUCAGAAUGAGUAGCCAACAUCGUCUCAGUCUCUAAAAAAGAUGGGAAAGUACGAAUGUGCAUAGAUUACAGAGACAUGAACAAGGCCAGCCAAAAAGAAAAUUUCCCAUUGCCUCACAUUGACACUUUGGUGGAUAAUACAGUAGGCUACUCACUGUUUUCCUUCAUGGACGACUUCUCUGGAUACAACCAGAUAAAGAUGCAUCCCAAAAACAUGGGAAAGACUACAUUCGUGACCCUAUGGGGAAUGUUUUGCUAUAAAAUGAUGUCAUUCGGAUUAAAGAAUGUGGGAGCGACGUAUCAAAGGGAAUGGUAACCUUGUUUCAUGACAUGAUGUACAAGGAAAUCGAGGUUUAUGUUGGCGAUAUGAUUGCAAAAUCCAGAACAGAAGAGGAACAUGUGUAGGCCCUAAGAAAAUUAUUCUUAAGACUGAGAAAGUUCCAGCUCAAGCUUUCCAACGAAAUGCACAUUCAGAGCUAGGUUAGGAAAGCUGUUAGGCUUCACAGUUAGUGAAAAAGGAAUCGAGAUCAACCCAGAUAAAGUCAAGGCGAUACGAGAUUUACCUCUACCAUGCACUCAGAAGGAAGCUCGAGGUUUCCUAGGAAGACUGAAUUACAUUGCUCGAUACAUUUCACAACUAACCGAAAAAUGUGACACCAUAUUAAAAUAAAAAUAGAUUAAAUUGUAAGUAAAACAUAAUUUAAACAUAUGAAUACAUCAAAUUAAUAAUACUAAAUGAAUACAGUUAUUUAUGAUGAUGUUGUUGCCAAUUCCUAAUUUGGUGUCUAGUUAAUUUGUGACAUCAUAAAUUUAAGUGAUAAAUUUAAGGUUUUAUGUAUUGAUGUGGAUUCAAAUAUCACCAUAAUUUUUGUAAAUAAAAAACUAAUAAGAUAACUUAUAUUAAGUACGAAAGGGUAUUUUUAUAAUUUCUCUAAUCGAGUUGGUGCCCGGUUGACUCAUGACACUAACUCAAUCAGAAGCUUUAAUAAUAAUAUAGAUAUUCAUGUUAAAAAAACAAAAAAAAAGUACUUUAGUUCCAAAUAAUUAUAUAACAAGUAAAUUUAUAAUUGAUGAAUAAAUUUAUAAAUAAUAUAUUUAUAUGAUCUAAUAUAUUAUAUUUAUAUUAAUUAUAUAUCAUCUACAAACUUUGAAGAUCAAUUUAUUAAGUAAAAAUGAAAUUGUUAACACUAAAUCAAUUUUUAGAUUUUGUAUAGAUGAUUUAGUGAUGAUAAAAACAUUAUUAACACUAUUUUUUAAUUAACAAAAAAUUAGUGAUAUAUUUAAAUUAUAUUUAUCAUUUAUUAUUUUUAAUAAUAUUUUUUAAUUAUAUGAAGUAAAAUUAUAUUGUAUACUAAAUAUGGUACAUAUACUCUAAUUAUAACUUGAAAUUUUAUUAUAUAAAUUAAUAUAAAUUUGAAUAACAAAAUAAAAAAAAACUAAUUAGAAUAAUUUUAAAAAACAUUAUUUAAAAGUAGUUAAAAAUCACGUGCAACAGGUGAGAUCAAUGGUCUUUAGAGAAGAAAUGUUGAAGAUCAAAGUUGGAAUCUGGCCUAUAAGGCCUUUAAUUGCUUUAAUAUUAAGCAGUUCCAAACCAAGAAGAUUACCGAUUUCCUCAGGAAUUUGACCUGCACACAUGGUCGAAAAAUCAAUGUGUCAAACUACCUAUUUUGUUAGCAUAAGUCAAAGAGGUUUUCUUUUCUAUUCUACAUAAUUUGCAGAUGUUAGAUUUUAAUAUUUUUAAGCAUAUUUGUUUUCAUCAAAUUAACUAUUUUGAACUAUUUUGCCUUGAAUGAAAUAAAAUGCUCUUACUUUUGUUAUCUAUUACUAAUCAAACUCUUUUAUAAAAAAAAUACUUUAAACUAAAGAAACCAAGAAAAUUCAAUACCUUCUAGGUUAUUCAACCCCAAAUAUAAUUCUUUGAGUCGUGUCGGAUUUCCAAUACUUCUUGGAAUGAUCCCCAUCAAUUGAUUAUAGGAAAAUGACAAAAUUUUAAGGUUGUUGCAUUUGCUUAUACUUGACGGAAUGUUACCAUAUAAUUCAUUCCGACUCAAGUAAAGCCCUUCAAGCUUGGAAAGAUGUGACACAUAUCAUUAGGCAAGCUACCUGAUAGGCUAUUGUUGGAGAGAUCAAUGGCCUUCAGAGAAGAAAUGUUGAAGAUCGAAGUUGGAAUCUGACCUGUAAGGCCUUUAAUUGCUUUAAUAUUAAGCAGUUCCAAACCAAGAAGAUUACCGAUUUCCUCAAGAAUUUGACCUGCACACAUGGUCGAAAAAUCAAUGUGUCAAACUACCUAUUUUGUUAGCAUAAGUCAAAGAGGUUUUCUUUUCUGUUCUAUAGUAAUUUGGUGAUGUUAGAUUUUAAUAUAAUUCAGCACAUGUUUUUCAUCAAAUGAAAUAAAAAGUUUUUCCUUUUGUUAUCUAUUACAAAUCAAGCUCUUUUAUUAAAAAAAUACUUUAAAUUCAAGAAAUCAAGGAAAUUAAUUACCUUCUAAAUUAUUAAACCCCAAAUAUAAUUCCUGGAGUCGUGUUAGAUUUCCAAUACUUCUUGGAAUGAUCCCCAUAAAUUGAUUAUGGGGCAACAACAAAUUUUUAAGGAUGUUUCAUUUGCCUAUGCUUGACGGAAUGUUACCAGAUAACUCAUUGCUAUGCAAGUGAAGCCCUUCAAGCUCGGGAAGAUGUUGACACAUAUCAUUAGGCAAACUACCUAAUAGGCUAUUCCUGGAGAGAGCAAUAGUCUUGAGAGAAAAAUGUUGAAGAUCGAAGUCGGAAUCUGAUCUGUAAGGCCUUUAAUUGCUUGAAUAUUAAGCAUUUCCAAACUAAAAAGAUUACCGAUUUCUUCAGGAAUUUGACCUGCAGACAUAGUCGAAACAUCAAGGUGUUAAAUUUCCUAUUUUGUUAGUGUAAAUCAAAGAGGCUUUUUAUUUUUUUUCGUUAUGAAAUAAUAUGGAUAUGUUCGAUUCUAAUCAUAUUUAAGUAUAUAUUAGUUCUUGAAAGAAUGAGUUCUUAUUUUUGGUAUUUAUAUUGCAAAUAUAUAUUUUUUUAAAUUUAAAAGAAGGGAGGGGGCAAAUGUGUUUAAACUAAAGACAUCAAGGAAAAGGCAUACCAAGUAUAAUUGUUUAAGUUGUGUCAAAUUCCCAAUGCUUUUUGGAAUGAUCCCACUAAAUUGAUUAAUAGACAAUUCCAAAAUUUGAAGGUUGCAGCAUUUGUCUAUACUUGAUGGAAUAGAACUUGAUAAUUCAUUUCUACUCAAGUAAAGCUCUUUCAGCUUGGGAAGAUGGACACACAAAUCAUCGGGCAAGCCACCAGAAAGACUAUUAUCACAAAAAUGAAUCCUUUUCAAAGAAGAAAUGUUAAAGAUGGAAGAUGGAACCUGGCCAGAUAAUUGAUUGAAUCCCAAGUUCAAGAUCUCUAGAUUGGACAAGUUGACAAGUGUUUGAGGGAUCGUGCCUGUGAAGUUAUUAUUUCUCAUUUCCAACCUUUGAACUCUGUGCAAGUUCCCAAGCCAUGGUGGAAUUUCCCCAUUAAGACGGUUGUAGCUUAAUCGAAUGAUCCUCAAACGAUGCAAUUGGCCUAAUUCUUUAGCCAGAUGGCCGUAGAAAUUGUUGUUGCUCAAGUCGAUAGAAAAUAGAAAUGAAAGAUUUCCAAGGUGUGGAGGGAUAGUACCCCUAAGAUUCAUGUUUGUAAGAUUAAUCAAAGCUACAACUCUUUCAUGGAUGAUGCCACAAGAAACACCAACCCACUUACAGACAGAGGUAGAGUUCGUCCAAUUGUUUGCCAACACAUUUUGAGGAUCGACAAUGCGAUCUUUAAACUCAAAGAGUGCAAACUGAUCGGAGUUGAGAUUCCGGACUGUCAUAGCCAAGGAAACAAUAGAACAUUGUAUGAAUAAAAGUGAAAGAAGAUGAAAGCAAGUGUUGUAGUUCAUGAUGGCAAGACGAAAUAAGCCAGGAAAAGGGAAGUUGAAUUGAUGAAGAAAUAGCCAGCCAACAUGCUUAAAUAGGCUUCAACCCUUGCACACUUCUCAUACAUAAAGUUCGCUGCCAUUACAACAAGAAAACUCAUAUCUCCAUUCGUACCUAUCCAUACUUUAUUUGACUAACUUUUCCCUAACAAGUGUUCAGUAAGGAGAUAAAUCAGUUUGGAGCUAUUCACCGGCUUCUCCAAUCUUGGUUUCAAACUCCUAACCCAUCAAUUCACUUUAAUUGAAACGAUAUACACGAGUCUUUCGGCUUAUAUUUUUAAUUUAAUUUUUGUUACUUUUCAUAAUAUUUUUUGAGAAAUCCAAAUAUUCCAGUCUGAAAUUUCUUCAUUGCCACGUCUAUCUCCUGGGUAAGUCCGUGGUUAGGCAGCCCACUUUGGGAGCAGGAUUGUAAUUGUAAUUCUAUCCGACUCAUUUUACUAUUUAGAAAUAUAAAAGUAAUAUUAUAUUAUUUUUUAUAUUUUUAUAAAUUUAAUUUUAAUUAUAAUUUUUAAACAAUAAAACGAGUCAUUUGUAUUUGCCUAGUCUAAAUUGAAUCAGGAGUCAAAAAAAUUUUAAUCAUAAUUUACUAUUAUUUUAAUUAAUUAAAAUUUAACCUACUACAACUAGUAGUUGCAGAAAAAAUGUCAUUCCUUUAGAAAAACGAAAAUCCUUUAGAAAAAUGAGAACUUAUGAAGCAUUCAAUAAGAGUCAUUGGAAUAAAUGGUAACGAAAUCAUAAUUCAAUAUAAAGCUAAAAAAUGUACCAAUCUAUAUAAAUAAUGUAAGAUUUGUGAUACCUAAAUUAUUAUAUUUUCCAUAAAUAUAUGAAGAUAUUUUAUUAGGAAAUAAUUUUAUAUAUAAAAUUUUUUAUUUUCUUUUGAUAGAAAUUUAAUUAUGUUAUCUGUAGAAAAAAAUAUUUAUAGAAAUAUUAUUAGUAGAAAAUCAUAAAUUUGUGUGUGGCAAAAAAAAUUCACCACCAAGAAAGGGGCAAAUUAAACAACUUGAAACAAGUCAUUGGUUGUUUAAAAUAUUAGAUAAUAAUUUCAGUGAAGAAUCAUUAAAAUUAUGACAAAAUAACCCUAGAUAUUGUAGUAUUAAAUUGGAAAAUCUCAAUAAUAUUAUUAGAGUAAAACCUAUGAUCUAUCUAAACAAGAUAUAGAAGAUUUUGAUAUACAAAUUAAGGUUAGAAAUCAUGCGGAAAUAAAAAAGAAAAAAAAGCUAGUAUGGUCAUUAAUUAUAAAAGAUUAAAUCAAAAUAUUAUUUUUUUAUAGUUACUUGAAUUAAUCAGGCUAAACAAACAAAAUAUUUUAGUAAAUUUGACUGCAAAUCAGGAUUCUAGCAAAUCAUGAUAACAGAAAAGUCCAAACCUUUAACGGCUUUUAGUGCACCCAAUGGACAUUACCAAUGGAAAGUGAUGUCAUUUCAAUUAUGUGAUGCACCACAAAUCUUCCAAAGACGAAUGGAUUUUAUAUUUAAUAAAUAUAAAAAAAUUCUAUGUAGUCUACAUAGAUGAUAUUUUUUAUAUUUUUAGAUACACUAGAAUUACAUAAGAAACAUUUAAAUAUUAUUUCUUAAGAAUUCAUAAAAUAUAGAAUCAUAUUAAACCCUAAAAAUAUAGAGUUAGAAAAAAGAGAGAGAAUUUUUAUAAUAGUGGAAAUAAAAAAUUGUCCUCAAAAGAUUGAAGAAAAAAAGAACUUCCAACAAUUUCUAAUAUAUUCCUCCCAAAUUUUCAGUUUCAAUUUUAUUACAGAAUUUCUUUGCCGACAAUAAGAAAUUAAGAGCGCUCUUUAAGUUGAAUAUAGUCCGUCAGAUAUGGCUAUCUAUAACAUGGAACCUUUGGUUUUCAAGCUGAAUAGGAGAAUUGAUUCACUUGAUAAGUAUGAAAAAUUGAAACUGCUAAAUUUAAGUGCACUAACUCUGGAUAUCAUCAUUAUUUUUCUGUACAUUAAAGUACCUGUUUGAUAUGCGAUUUCUGCCUCAAACUAUCAACAUCUUUAACAUCCUUUUGCUAUAGUUAGCAUGGGUACUUCCUUUUAGAUUAACAGUUAGGUUUGAACUGUGAAUUAGAUUUCUGUGGCUGCUGGGAUUGAAGAAGUUAGUAUGCGAAUGACAUUGGACAAAUUUGGCAAAGUCUUCUCCAUCAGUGAAGAAAACCCCUUGGCGUAUGAAAAAUGUUCACCAUCUUAGACAUUUGUUUUCUUAUUGUAAGAAUAUUUUUAACAUUGUAACUUUUAACAUUAUUGUAAGAAUAUUUUGAAUUAUACUUCAGUUAUCAAUUUAUAUCAUAUAUCUUUUGUUGAAUUUGAAGUAUAAUUUAUAUUUGCUGUUUUUGGUUAGAUUUCAUGCUAUAGGAAGGGUUGUAUAUGGAUAGAAAUUGAAUGUUACAAAUCUGCCAAAGUUAGUGGCGUUUUUUCAUAAGAGCUGCUAAAGAAUGCUAUUUUUGGCGGUGUUUGUAAUAAAAGAGCCGCUAAAGGUCAUGUUCUUUAGCGAUGUUUGUGGGUAAAGCGCCGCUAAAGAUCAUGUUCUGUAGCGGUGUUUGUGGAUAAAGCGCCGCUAAAGAACAUGACCUUUAGCAGCGUAUUUUCACAUAAACGCCGCAAAAUUUAGCGGCUUUGUCUAUAGCGACUUUUUUUGCAGCGCUUUAAGUUUUAGCGGCGCUUUUAGGCCUAAAAAAGGGCCGCUAAAAGCCUGUUUUGCUGUAGUGAGCAUAUUUACAUUUUCGUCCCAAUUUCAACUAACACCCCAUCUAUUUCCCACUUCCCUUUUUCGGGCAAUUUCAACUAACACCUUCAUAUCAAACAUAACUAUUUUUCAAUUUUUCUUCUUUAUUUCAUUAAUAAAAUUAUCAAUCUAUUUGUUUUUAAAUAUAUAAUUUCAUUAAUAUUUUUUAAAUUAUAAUAUAAGAGUUGUUGUUUAUUUAUAGUUUUAUUACAUUAUUUACUCUCUCUUUUCUAUCAAGUUUUUUAAAUUAUAAUAUAAGAUUUAUUUUAUCAAUUUGUGGCUUAUCCAGUAUUCAUCUAUUUUAAUAAUAACUUGAGUUCCAGUCAUUAUCAUACCAGAAAGAGUUCCAUUUAUUCUUUAUCGUAAAUUUUAUAAAAAAAUAUACAUUUUAUUAUAAUACUAUAUGUGUUACGAAUAAUAUUUUAUUGUGGAUGCCCAUAAUUUUCAAAGUUGUAACCUCUAAUGUAGUAACCUUAAUGAAAUUAUGAGGCUUUUAUAUUGUAAUCAAGCCUCUAUUUAUUCUUUGUAACUUAAACAGAAGCAUAUUUUCUAUUAUAUUGAUAUUUUUUAUAGAUAUAUAUAUAUAUAUAAGGAAUCAAAUAAAAAGUUAUUUACCUUUCUAUUAUAUUGAUAUUUUCUAUUUGAUUUGUUCUUUUCUUUCACUAUUCCAUAAUAUAUUAUCAGUACGAUUUUAACCAAGAGUAACAUGUUAUUAGAUUGUGUCAAAAUUUUGUUGAGAAUCAUUAGAUUGUUUCCUUUUUCUUCUAUUUAGCCCCAAAUUGCACCCCUACACAAAAUUCAACAAAAACAUGGAAAAAUUAGUGGUGCACUCUCAUAAAUUAACCAAUUUAAUUACAUAAAAUAUGUAACUUUAGCAUUUUAUCAAUCAUGUUCUUUAGCGGCAUUUGUGGGUAAAGCGCCGCUAAAGGUCAUAUUCUUUAGCAGCGUUUGUGAUAAAAGUGCCACUAAAUAUCAUGUUCUUUAGCGGCGUUUGUGGAUAAAGCGCCGCUAAAGAACAUGACGUUUAGCAGCAUUUUUUUACAUAAACGUUGUAAAAUUUAGCGGCGUUGUCUAUAGCGACGUUUUUUGCGGUGCUUUCAAAUAGUUUUAGCGGCGCUUGUAGGCCUAAAAAAAUGCCGCUAAAAGUCUGUUUUGCUGUAUGAGCAUAUUUACAUUUUCGUCCCAAUUUCAACUAACACCCCAUCUAUUUCCCACUUCCCUUUUUCGGCCAAUUUCAACUAACACCUUCAUUUCAAACGUAAUUGUUUUUCGAUUUUUCCUCUUUAUUUCAUUAAUAAAAUUAUCAAUCUAUUUGUAUUUUAAAUAUAUAAUUUUAUUAAUAUUUUUUAAUUAUAAUAUAAGAGUUUUUGUUUAUUUAUAGUUUUAUUAUAUUAUUUACUCUCUUUUUUCUAUCAAGCUUUUUAAAUUAUAAUAUAAGAUUUAUUUUAUCAAAUGGUGGCUUAUCGAGUAUUCAUCUAUUUUAAUAAUAACUUGAGUUCCAAUCAUUAUCAUACCAGAAAGAGUUCCAUUUAUUCUUUAUCGUAAAUUUUAUAAAAAAAUAUAUAUUUUAUUAUAAUACUAUAUGUGUUAGGAAUAAUAUUUUAUUGUGGAUGCCCAUAAUUUUCAAAGUUGUAACCUCUAAUGUAGUAACCUCAAUGAAAUUAUGAGGCUUUUAUAUUGUAAUCAAGCCUCUAUUUAUUCUUUGUAACUUAAACAGAAGCAUAUUUUCUAUUAUAUUGAUAUUUUUUUAUAGAGAUAUAUACAUAAGGAAUCAAAUAAAAAGUUAUUUACCUUUCUAUUAUAUUGAUAUUUUCUAUUUGAUUUGUUCUUUUCUUUCACUAUUCCAUAAUAUAUUAUCAGUACGAUUUUAAUCAAGAGUAACAUUUUAUUAGAUUGUGUCAAAAUUUUGUUGGACUUCAAGUAUUGGAAUUUAAUUGUUUAAGUUAAGAAUCAUUAGAAUCAAUGGCUAUUUGAGAUAUGCUUGAGGAUGAUCUCAUUCUCUUCAUCACAAAGGUGGAGGUUAGAAAAUCUUUAUGUUUAAACAUUUAUAGCUUUAAAGUUAUUUUAACCUCUUAUUGUGACCUUAUAAUAUUUUGUAAUUUUUUGUAUUAUGGUAUAUAAAAAAAAUCUAACCAUAGUGAUUGAUUAGUAAUAUGAAUUUGUUAUUUGUUAUGUUUAAUAUAUAUUUUAUUUAUACUUAUUCAUUUUAUUUUUAUAUGAGUAAAUGAAGUGUUUGAAGAUUCGAAAUUUUUAUCAUCCAAGUUGAAAAUAAGUGCAAAAGUGUACAUUAUUUAAAAUAAAUUACGCAUUCAUUAAUGUUAUAUGAUAAAAUCAUUACAUGUUCUAAAGAACUAAUAUUGCAUCAAACUGUAAAAAGCUCUUGAAGAGUUAAUAUUUUACCUCCUUGUGAUACAAAAUCAUAUACAAUAUGAUAUUAUUUUUCAAAUCGAGUAGAUAUAUGUUGAGGGAAAUCUUUAUGUGGUUUACAUUAAAACCAUGGAUAGAAAUGACAUGAGAUACUCGUGUAUUUUUAUUAUAAAUAUUCCUUGAAGGAAGACACUUCACUUGUAUGAUUGACAUAUGAGAUAGUGGCAAGAAGUUCAUAGUGUUGGUAUGGUCGUCUAGAUCAUCUCAAAUCAAUAAUGAUGCAAAAUAAUUUGAAGAGAAUUUAUAUGAUUUUAUUGAAGAAUGAGAAGAUAUUUUCAUUUUGAUAAUUGUCAUCAAUACUAGUUCUUUGGAAAAAAAAUAUUGAACUAACAUAAAGUUAGAGGUUGGUUGCAUUUUUUGAUGAUAUCCAAAUAAUAUAUGAGCUCAUGUAUCACAUGUAUGCAACCCAAAGUUUACAGUAUUAUUUCUUGAAAUAAUUUGAUUCUACACAAUCUCUAUAGUAUGCAAUUUGUGCUAACAACGUUGGUGCAUUAUAUCCUAAGCUUGAUUUUCGUAGUUUUAGCUGAGAUAAUAUUAAGUUGUCUAUGCCUAUAUAUGUUAUACUUAAUGGUUAGCAAAAUUGUGCCUCCAUUUAAUUGCUUAACCAUUAAUAUAAGAAUAACUUUAAAAUAAGCAUGUAAUUUUAUUUGCAUAGAGUCAACAUGUAAGAAACAUUUGCCCCAUGAGAAUUGGCUUUCAUUUAUAAGCCAAUAGGUUUCAUAUGACUAUUUGGAUGUAAAAUAUCUAUUUUAUAUUCCACCAUAAUGCACUAAGAUGGUCCAUCAAGUAUGAAGUUGAGAAAAUUUAGAAUUUUUAUUUGAUGGUAAAAGUUGAAAAGAGAUAUAUACUUAUAAUUUUGAAAAAAAUAGUCAUGUUGCAAAUUUUUCUCAAUAUUAGGGGGAGACAAGUUGGACAAAUAAGGAUAAUUAUGUCAUCACUUUUUGUGAUCCCUCACUAAUAUUAUGUGCACAAAGUUUGAAGGAAAAAAGUAUUUGCUAGACAUGUUUAGUGAUGACACUUAGAGAUUGUAUAUACUAGAUGAUACAUAUACCAGCUAAAAUGUUCCAAAUAAUUAUGAGUCCUAGAAGGACAUAGUGAUAAAAAUAAUUUUUGGGCACGCUAGAAGGAUAAAAAACUAGUUCAUUCUAUAAAUCAAAAAAUUCUUGAAAGAAAAGAGUAAGAAAUGAAGCUGGCCACACAUUAAAGGAAACGAGUACUCAUGAAGAGACCUAAGGCAUAACUUUUAAUAAAACCCCAAAAGAGGUUCAAUACAUGGAAUUAUGAAUAUAAUAAGAUAUCUCGAUUAGUUAUAUCAUAACUAAAGAUGAUGGGGUUGAUAAAAGGAAAUUGUUGUUAACAACGAUAAUCUAAGUAGAACAUUUCAAUAUUAUGGUAAAAUGAGUAUUUUGAAUGAAAAUAUACUUGAAAGUAUUUAGAUGGGAACAACUCAUCAAAAUAAAUAGACGUUUCUAUUAUAACUUAUGAAAUGUGUCUCGGACAUGAAGUCCAAACAUUCGACAGGUGUAAAGCCAAGUGGAGUAUAUGUUAGCAUAAUAGUGAAAAAAUACAAAUCAUAAUAUAUAAAAUUGACUUGUAAGACAAACUUUCCCAAGACACUUGAUUUUGAUUAUGAAAAAUGAUUAAUUUGUGAUCUUAUCAAUUGAACAUACUUUGUAUAAUCAACAAAUUAUUAAUUAACCUCAUUUAACCAAUUUCCUUCAACACAUUUCAAAUCAAAUUAAUGUGUUGAGCACGCCCUUAACCCUUUUUCUUGAUUCAUUGCAUAGUCUAUUUCCAAGUACCAUAAUCAUCAACAUUUCAAUAUAUAAAGUCAUAACAUAAUGAAUCAUAGUUAGAAUUUUUUUUACCCUAUUAACCAAGUAUGGAACAAAAAUAAAAACCUAAUUUGUCAAGCUCAUUCAAUCAGCUUAUAUAUUAUAAGAAGAGCCUAAGUAUAAAUCCUAUACAUGAUUUCAAAUUCAACUAUUUAUAUUUGAGAUUCAAUUUAAAAUUCAUACUGAAAUUAUCAAAUUAACUCGUAAGCUACUCACGCUAAACAUUAAGGUACUCGAAUUCAAGUGGCUAGAUAUCAUAAACACUUUUAGCUUGUAAAACUAUUUCUAAGGGUCAGCCCAGAAUCAUGGUUGAACCCAAAAUCUGGUAACAAAAAUUUAAUUGAGCCAUCAGCCUAAAACAAAUAAGGCUUAAAAGGUUGGCACCCGAACAAUCAAAGAUAAACACCACCAUAUGCCACUCCCUGAAUCCGAUACAUACAAUAACACCCUUCACCACUUUUAUUCUUCUCCUUUUUUUUAACCUCAAUUUGGAUGGUCGCAUUUCUCUUUUUAGUGCUUUAUAGGGUUUGGGCUUUCAGAAUCCUCAGAGAUGCAAUUCAUGGAUCCCUCUAAGAAAUGCAAGCUUGAUGAAAAUGGUAUUAUUUCAACGGCAUCAGAACCUGACCCAAUCACCAAACUAACCCCACAAGAUGGCCGCAAGCUAAUCGAGCAAUUUAUCGUCGAUCAACUCCUUGACGUCCUCCAAGAUGCUGUUUGUUGUCACCUUGAUGUUCUUUCCGCCGUACACUCUAUUGCCGAUCAAGAUCCAUCUCAAAGGAAGCUUUUCAUCCGUGGUUGGGUUGGGAUACUACAACCCAACCCAACCCACAUUAGCAUACUACCAUGCGGUAACUUCUAGUGAUUUCUGUCUGUAACAUUAGACAGGUUAACAGUUAAAUCGUUCAACUGAAAGAUUUCUUUGAAGGAAGAGGUCAAUUGAUUUUUUUUGGAAUCAUUGUGUACUCAGUUGCAUUUAAGACGGGUAUCAUUCAUAAAGUAUAUAUCUACAUCAAGAAUGGUAGCCUCUUAUAUUAUAUUCAUGUAUUUAUUUUGCAUCUUUAAUUAUAAUAGGAUUUUUUUUGUUUAUUUAUAGUUUUAAUUAUAAUAUUUUUUAAAUAUGCCAAAGUAAAUUAUGUACCAAUUUUAAACUUCUCCUAGGUAAUUUAACGUAAGGGCAUUUAUGUUAUUUUACCACUUAUGAUAAAACUAACCUAAUUUUAGAUCUAAGUGUUUACCAACCUUCUUUUAGUCAAAUUAUGCAAGCCUAAAAUUUUUAGCUUAAUUUGAGUUUGUUUACUAUGUCUAAUUCAAGUUUUAUUAUUAAGAACUAAAUUGUAACUUAAACAAAUUAGAAUACCAAUUUAAAGAGACAAAAAUUCAAAGCCCCAAAACCCACACGGGCAUGUGGGUAAGUGACACAGGCGUGUGGAAACUGGAGCUAUCACACACGGGUGAGUGGGACUGAAAAAUAUGAAAUAAAUUAAUCCAUUUAAAUUUCCAACAACCAUGCUAUACUACCAAACCAAAUAAUGUUAGAAGCUUUGAAUAGGGGCGAAUCUUAAAAAAAAAUAGAAGAAUUAGAAUUAAAUUAUAAAAUUUUGAGAAGUUGUCAUGUAUUAAUUUAUUAUUUUUUAAAGGGUCUUAAUAGAUUUUUUUUCCCCAUUUUGGUUUGGCCAAUACCCCUGUCUGCCUCUUUCAAUUUGCUUCAACCCUUAGCCCAAUAUUCGAUUUGUUGUGGAAGUUUGACGCAUAAAAAUUCCUUUUUUAGAGGUUUAAAUUAUAAAUUUUUAUUAACAAAAUAUAAAAGAAAAAAACAUGUGUAGACAAGCCAAGAAACCUUUGGGAUCAUACAGGUGAUUUUGAGAUGUUCAUGGUUAUUUUGGUGGAGAGGGUAAAAAAGAAACAAAUGAUUCAUUAUAUAUGAUAUAAUUAUGAAAUUCAAGCCAUAUAUUGUAUGUUUCAUCCAUACAAAUUUCUUGUAGCAUUAAAUGACUCGUAGGCUUGCUGAAUUUCUUUGAAAGGCCCAAAGGCAAUUUAACAUUCACAAAAUAAUCUCUAAAUAGUGUAAAGACAAAUCAAAUCCACAGUAGCAUUAGAGUUGAUUAAGCUAAGCAUUGGCAAAUAUUACUUUGAUUUUGCAUGCAAUAUUGGCAAAACCCCCUCUUACAUUAGAAAAACAACAUAAUCCAUGAAACAUUGAUAGCCCAAUACAAAUUUCAUCGAGAAAAAAGUCUCUUUGUUUUGUAGAACAUGAUAGUAAAGAUGUGGAGUUUCGUUCUUCUUAUUGGCCUCCUUUAGUUUUCCUUGAUCAACAACCACUAGCCAAAAACACAAUUAGAUUAGAUUAUGAAUGAUACUUUCAACUAUGACAAUAUUAAAUACAAACCACUCUAAAUAACUCUAAAUAAAUGGAAAGCAGCAAAUUACCAGACGAGGCAAGCUAGCUCAAUUAAGACCAUUGUGUUAUACUUGUCUCUGAAUUGAAAAAUUUAGAAGGAAAUAAAGAGAAAGACUUAGAAAAUACUUGAAAACAGAAAAAAAAAUUAUGUCAUUUAAAAUAAAAAAUUUCUAUUCAAGCCAUUUAAAAUUUGUAAGAUUUUUAAAAUUUUAAAAUGAUAAAGGUAAAAUUGUACUUUGGCACCCCAAAAAUGAUAAAACUUUGAUUUAAUUAUUUAAAAAUUAUAAAAAUAUAGGCUAUUAAAAUGGUGAAAUUAUAUUUUUACUAUAGUAAAAAUUACAAUUUAAUUUCACCCCUAAAAGGAUUUUCUGGCUUCGCACCUAAUAAAAUCUUUGGCAAAAGACUAAAAUAAAAUUAUACCAUGAAUGGAAAAAGAAACUAAUAAAAUCCAAUCUAACAAAGAAAAUAACUUGAUGUCCAAAAGCUACCAUAAACCGUAAUUCAUGGGAAGGCUUGUUGCUUAUUUUAUUGGUUUCCAUUUUGAAAGAAGUUUGAAUUUUGAAGAGAGCCUACUACGUGAAAGCAAAAGAAAAAAAAAUAGUUUAUAUGAUUAAAAUUCCAGAAUAGAUUAAAAAUGUUGAAUUAAAGAUAAAAUUAAGUGUGAAUUAAUAACCACAAGUGUACUCUUUACUCACCAUCUCUGUUAAAAAUGUUGGAUGUUGUUUAGCAACCUUUGUUUGAUUUUCUUCAGCUCAACCACAACAUCUUUCAUAUCUUUUCUUUCUUCUGGUAACUCAGCUGAACAAUUCAAAGCCAACUCCAUGAUAGAUGAAAUACAAUUUGCUUUAACAACAAUGUACUCAUCCUCUCUUCUUAAUAAAUCAACAUCUGCAAUUUCUAUCGCUCCUUUAGGCAAUGAUCUUUCCAUCCAAUGCCUUAUACUCUCUUCUUCAACAAAAACCUUAUCAGUUGGCUUUUUCUUUGUGAAAGUUUCUAUAAGGACGAUCCCAUAACUAUAGACGUCAGAUUUUAUAGAAACAAUUCCUGCUGAUCCAAAUUCUGCAUUUCAAGUAUAAUUAGAACAUCAUUCAUCCUCAAUUAUUUCUAAAACGCUUAUUCAAAUAUCUAUCCACAUACACGUGAAACAAAAAUAUAAAAUACAAAUUAGGAAAAUAAUCAUACAAAAAUAAAAAAAAGAAUUCACCUGGUGCCAUAUACCCAAUAGUUGCAAGAGUCAUGGUUUGCUUCAUUACUUCACCUUCUCCCAACAAUUUGGCAACGCCAAAAUCUCCAACAUGUGCAACCAUGUCUUCAUCUAGUAAAAUAUUGCUUGGUUUUAUGUCACAAUGAAUUAUAGGUGUUGGAUGUCCAUUGUGGAGGUGUUCUAUAGCUACCGCAACAUCUAUCAUUAUGUCGACCCUUUGUAUGAUACCAAGGAAACAAUUUUCAGAAUGUAACCAUUUCUCAAGGUUUCCAUUAGACAUGUAAUCAAGCACCAAGGCUUUGAAGUCAACACUUGAGCAGUAAGUAAUGACCUUCACAAUAUUACGAUGAACUAUAUUAAGCAUAGCAUCACAUUCAAUGUCAAAACUCCUAAAUGCUCCCUCUGUUUGCAAAUUGAAAACUUUUAUUGCAACUUCCAUUCCAUCUGAAAGCCUCCCUUUAUAUACAUAUCCAAAACUCCCUGAACCAAGCGUAUUGCUUUCCUCAAAUCCAUUAGUUGCUCGUGAAAGUUCAGCAUGUGAAAUUCUUCUCAGUGUCUUCAAAGACAACAAAUCAUCUUUAACUGGUAGAGCUGUACUCCUUUGGCAUCUUCUAUACAUAAUAGUUAAGACUAUUAGUACUAGGACAAUACCAAUUGUUGGUAAACCAUACCUAAAAGCAUGCAAUAUAAUCAUUUGGGAGUUUUUGUGGAUGUCAUUUUUGCAAGGUGGGACUAGCAAUCUAGGUGGACCACAAAGUGCACAAUUAUUCAUGAAUGAUGUGCUAGAAAAGUUUGAAAAACAUCCUUUGCUGGGAAUUUCCCCUUCAAGUCUAUUGAAAGACACAUUAAAAUACUUUAGAUAUAAAAGCUUUUCCAAAGAUUUGGGAAUGACUCCAGAGAGAUUGUUAUUGCAUAAAUCCAAGAAUUCCAAACUAAUCAACCCUUCAAAUGAUUCAGGGAUAUGACCAUAUAGUAUGUUAUUUGAUAAAUCUAAUGAAACCAAAGUUAUAAGACCCCCAAAUGUGGAUAAGAUAUCGCUCGUGAGAAGAUUCCUUGAUAAAUUUAGUCUCAGUAGACUCCUAAAAUUUCCAACAUCAAUAGCAUGUGAAUUGUGAAGACGGUUUGAUGAUAAAUCUAUUUCUAAGAUAUCUUUAAGACUCCACAAAGUUGAGGGUAUUGUAGAACUCAAUUUGUUGGAACCUAACCAAAGAUAUCUCAAAGCAGAAAUAUUACCUAAACAAGAGGGUAUGGAUCCAUGCAGCUUAUUCAACCCUAAAUACAUCUCGUAUAGUCUCUCCAAACCACAAAGGCUUUCUGGGAUAGGCCCUCCUAAUUUAUUAGAGGAAAGACCUAGAAUUUGGAGAUUUCUCAUUCCUCCUAUUGAUGCUGGAAUCAAUCCACUUAAUUUAUUAUACCCAAGAUCUAAAAGCAAUAGGUUGGUUAAGUUACCUAUUUCCAUAGGAAUAAUGCCUUGAAGCUCACACUCUGUGGCAUGAAAGUAUUGAAGGGAUUUUGAAAGGUUCCCGAAAUAAGUAGGAAGAACGCCACUCAAUGGAUUUCCUGAAACAUCUAUUAUGCUCAAAUUCCUACAAUUCGUCAAAGAAGAAAGAAAGCUCCACUCAUGAUCAGUAGCAGAUCCUGUGAUCAAAUUAUUGUCAUAGAUUUGGAGCCAUACAAGUUGUCUUAAGCUGCCAAGCGUUUUAGGGAUUGGGCCAGAGAAUGAGUUAUCUCCCAAGUCUAGUUCCUUAAGCAUGGAAGCAUUGGAGAUAGAGUUGGGAAUGUUUCCGCUAAGUUUAUUUCCCCACAGUAAAAGAAUCUGAAGCUUUGGAGCAUUGGUAAUGGGUGGUAAAUUACCUGUAAAAUAGCAUCUUUUAGAAAACAUUCACAAAAUAUAUAAUACAUUAAAAUAAAAACUUUAAAUCAAUUAAGAAUAAAAUUUUGGCAUGGAAAAAUGUGAUGAAAUCAAUUAGAAAGUUGAGACAUAAUAAGAAGUUUUGAGUAGUAAUUAGUCCUUGUGAUUUGUAUAGACAAAACAUAUAAUACACUGAUAAUUUUUUUAAAAUAUUGUAAAACCUGAAAUAAAAUAAAAAAUAAAAGUUUGGCACGAGAAUGUGGCAUCUAAUCAUUCUUAAAAAUAAGACUAACAUUAAAUAAUAAUUAGUUAUGAUUUGAGAAACAAAAAUGUUAAAGAUGUAAACUGGUAUGAUUUUUAUCUAUUGGGUUAAUUAUUUAUUUUUAUUAAAUUAUAUAUAGUGUAAAAUUUAAAGAUUAUUAUUUGCUCAAAAUUUUUGUAUUUUAGGAUUUUAGGAUCGCAUUUAAUUCAAUUGUAUUUAAGACCUCAUGAAUUUAUUCUAUAAUUUGAGUCUUUUCAACCUUUUGGGAAAUAAUAAAACAUCGACAUUAAACUUGUUGUUGAUGCAUUCAAUUUGAUUUUUUGAGGGGUCAUUGGAGUUAUAUGUGAAUUUAGCAUUGAUUGACUUUUUUAGAAUUAAUCUUUUAUACCAAUUUAAUAACAUCGACAUGUUUUUGGGUAGGGUCGAGCAAAACCCAAUUAAAACCGAUGAAAUUGGUUUAGUUAACUCGGUCAAGUCCAUUAGAUGGAUAAAAUCAAUUUUAAAAUCAGUUAUUAUGGAUUAAGGUAAUUAAUUAUCGAGUAAUGAAAUACAUAAUCAAAUCAAUUGAUUUUGUUAGAAACUAAAAGAAAGUGGGAUAAGCUGAAAACUGAUUGCCCUUUUUUAGAAUUAAGGAAUCAGCCUUUUACAUGUUAGAUAAUAUGAACACCCCAUAUAUAAUAAGAAAAAUUAUGUACGAUUAUUUAUUAUCAUAAAUGGUUAGUUUAAAUUUAAAGUAAUCUAAUAUGUGUGUUGAACUUCAACUAUUACAUAAAGUAUAAGCUAAAUAUGUAUAAAUAUUCUAGAAACCAUUUCUAACUGAUGAUAGGCUAAUUUGAAAUUAAGAUUAAUAUAUAAAAACUAGAUAGUAGGGUUAUAGUCCUCAAACUACACCUAAUUUAAUAAAAUCUAUAGUUUUUAUAGCCUUAAACAUUUAUAGAUUUUGUUAAUUUGGUCCUUACUCUUUAAAAUUACAUAAAAAUUGCAAAAAUAUUUUAGAAAUACAAUUUUUUCGUAUUUUUAAUAACAUUUAUAGUUUUUUUUUUGGUUUGGUAACUUAUCAACUCGACUCUUAAUUGUAACCAACUUUUCUGAUUUUUUCGUACCCUUAACCUAAGUCCCGUUACAACUUUCUAAAGACCUCUUGAUUGGUGUAUCAUCUCGAUUUGUUCUUAUAGUGGUGGGGAUUUGGUUUUCAAGCAAGCCUAUGCUAAUCACAUUUUUCGUUCAACUAUUGAGCACACAGUACUUGAACCUUAAACACUUUGAGUGCUUUGAGUGAAUCUUAGUUAGGGUAUUGAUUAUUGUUGAGUUUGAAUUUUAGGUAAUUAUUGAGAUGGAGGAGAUGCCUAUUUUUUUGUGCUUUACAAAUUUCUGCUUAGAUUGCUUUUAUUCUUUAGUUUCAUGCUAGUUUCAAUUUCCAGUGCAUGAUUAUCUAUAGAUUAUUCAUAAGGCAUUGUCGGUGAAAACAAUAAAUUGAGGGAGAUUAACUUGAAAUAAAUUGAGGGAUAUUAACUUGAAUAAAGGUUGAGAAUUUUGCUUAAGGACAAACAAAUGCUUAAGUGUGGGGAUAUUUGAUAAGUGCUAAAAUUGAUAUGUUUUAACAUCAUUCUUAAUGUGUUUUUGGUUGAUUAUUCGAUGUUAAUGAUGCUCCUAAUCCUUACAAUUCGUGUUUUUAUGCUUAAUAGAACAUUUGGGAGGAAAAUGAGCUAAAAAUGAACGAAAACCUGAAAAUGGGGGCAAACUAUAGGACAUGGGCUGACCUAUUCCUCAUGACCGUAUGACUCACACGAUCAUGUGGUAGGUUGUGUCGAUUUCGUAGAUUUGCACUCUGAACUGUAAAAAAAGAAAAUUUUAGAUUUUUUGAGCAUUUUAAUACGUAUAUAUGAAAAAAAUAAGAAGAUAGGAGAGAACCUUCCUAGAAUAUUUAAGAAAACAACUCCAAAGACACUAUUGAAGUCGACUCUGAAGCAAAUUUUCCUCAAGAUUGAAGAUUCCCAGUUGGUUUCUUAAGAGAUUAUCAUGAGUUUCUUUAUUUCUUCUGGUUAUACUGCCCUUUGGAUGUUUUUAUUUUUAAGCAUGAACUAAUUUUCUAAAUACCGAAUUAGAGAGAUGAACCCUAUGAUAGAUUGUGACACCCCAAACCCAACCGGAUAGACCCGCCCGAAUUCAAAGCAUUUCAUUAGCCACCUAAGUGACUCUCCAGCUAACGACCACCCAAGACACACCUCGACCUUAUAACACCUCAAUCUUAUCUAAUUACUAGUUAUUUAUUAAUGUAGAAGUAAAUUAAUAUGAGCCAAUUUUAAACUUUUUCUAGGUAAUUUAACCUAAAGGCAAUUUUGUCAUUUUACCACCUAAUGUAAAACUAACCCGAUUUUAGAUCUAAGUGUUUACUAACCUUCUUUUAGUCAAAUUAUACAAGCCUAAAAUUUUCAGCUUAAUUUGAGUCCGUUUACUAUGUCUAAUUCAAGUUUUAUUAAUAAGGACUCAAUUGUAACUUAAACAAAUUAAAAUACCAAUUUAAAGAGACAAAAAUUCAAAACUCCAAAACCCACACGGGCAUGUGGGUAAGUGACAAGGGCUUGUGGGAUUGAAAAAUAUGAAAUAAAUUAAUCCACUCAAUUUUCCAACAACCAUGCUAUACUACCAAACCAAAAAAACACUUGAAGUUUUGAAUAGGGGCGAAUCUAAAAAAAAUUAGAAGAAUUAGAAUUAAAUUAUAAAAUUUUGAGAAGUUAAAAUAUAAUUUUAUCAUGUAUUAAUUUAUUGUUUUUUAAAGGGUCCUAAUAUAAUUUUUUUCCCAUUUUGGUUGGGCCAAUACCCCUGCCUGCCUCUUUAAAUUUGCUCCAACACUAAACCCAAUAUUCGAUUUGGAUUAACAACAACAUAUAGGUUAGUAUUUGUGGGAGUUUGACGAAUAAAAAUUCCUUUUUUAGAUGUUUAAAUUAUAAAUUUUUGAAAGAUUAAAAUAAAUUUGUAUUUUUUUAUUAACAAAAUAUAAAAGAAAAAAAAAUAUGUUUAGACAAGCCAAGAGAACUUUGGGAUCAUACAGGUGAUUUUGAGAUGUUAAUGGUUAUUUUGGUGGACAGCGUAAAAAAGAAACAAAUGAUUCAUUAUAUAUAAUAUAAUUAUGAAUUUCAAGCCAUAUAUUGUAUGUUUCAUCCAUAAAAAUUUCAUGGGAGGUCCAAAGGUAAUUAAAUGACUUGUAGGCUUGCUGAAUUUCUUUGAAAGGCCCAAAGGCAAUUUAACAUUCACAAAAUAAUCUCUAAAUACUGUAAAGACAAAUCAAAUCCACAGUAGCAUUAGAGUUGAUUAAGCUAAGCAUUGGCAAAUAUUACUUUGAUUUUGCAUGCAAAAUUGGCAAAACCCCCUCUUACAUUAGAAAAACAACAUAAUCCAUGAAACAUUGAUGGCUCAAUACAAAUUUCAUCGAGAAAAAAGUCUCUUUGUUUUGGAGAACAUGAUAGUAAAGAUGUGGAGUUUCGUUCUUCUAAUUGGCCUCCUUUAGUUUUCCUUGAUCAACAACAAUUAGCCAAAAACACAGUUAGAUUAGAUUAUGAAUGAUACUUUCAACUAUGACAAUAUUAAAUACAAAACACUCUAAAUAAAUGGAAAGUAGCAAAUUAAGACCAUUGUGUUAUACUUGUCUCUGAAUUGAAAGAUUUAGAAGAAAAUAAAGAGAAAGAGUUAGAAAAUACUUGAAAACAGAUAAAACUUAUAUGUCAUUUAAAAUAAAAAAAAUUUCUAUUUAAGCCAUUUAAAAUUUUUAAGAUUUUUUAAAUUUUAAAAUGAUAAAGGUAAAACUAUAUUUUGGUACCCAAAAAUGAUAAAACUUUGAUUUAAUUCUUUAGAAAUUAUAAAAAUAUAGGCUAUUAAAAUGGUGAAAUUAUAUUUUUACUAUAUUAAAAAUUACAAUUUAAUUUCACUUGCUAAAAGGAUUUACUGGCUUCGCCCCUAAUAAAAUCUUUGGCAAAAGAUUAAAAUAAAAUUAUACCGUGAAUGGAAAAAGAAACUUAAGAAAACCCAAUCUCACAAAGAAAAUAACUUGUCCAAAAGCUACCAUAAACCGUAAUUCAUGCGAAGGCUUGUUGCUCAUUUUAUUGGUUUCCAUUUUGAUUUUGCAAAAGAAGUUUGAAUUUUGAAGAGAGCAAAAGAAAAAAAUAGUUUAUUAAUUUUUUACGAAUACCGACAUAUUAUAUACAUGAUUAAAAUUCCAGAAUAGAUUAAAAAUGUUGAAUUAAAGAUAAAAUUAAGUAUGAAUUAAGAACCACAAGUGUACUCAUUACUCACCAUCUCUGUUAAAAAUGUUGUUUAGCAACCUGUGUUUGAUUUUCUUCAGCUCAACCACAACAUCUUUCAUAUCUUUUCUUUCUUCUGGUAACUCAGCUGAACAAUUCAAAGCCAAUUCCAUGAUAGAUGAAAUACAAUUUGCUUUAACAACAAUGUACUCAUCCUCUCUUCUUAGUAAAUCAACAUCUGCAAUUUCUAUUGCUCCUUUAGGCAAUGAACUUUCCAUCCAAUGCCUUACAGUCUCUUCUUCAACAAAAACAUUAUCAGUUGGCUUUUUCUUUGUGAAAGUUUCUAUAAGGACGAUCCCAUAACUAUAGACGUCAGAUUUUAUAGAAACAAUUCCUGCUGAUCCAAAUUCUGCAUUUCAAGUAUCAUUAGAACAUCAUUCACCCUCAAUUAUUUCUAAAAUGCUUAUUCAAAUAUAUAUCCGCAUACACAAGAAACAAAAAUAUAAAAUGCAAAUUAGGAAAAUAAUCGUACAAAAACAAAAAAGAAUUCACCUGGUGCCAUAUACCCGAUAGUUGCAAGAGUCAUGGUUUGCUUCAUUACUUCACCUUCUCCCAACAAUUUGGCAACGCCAAAAUCUCCAACAUGUGCAACCAUGUCUUCAUCUAGUAAAAUAUUGCUUGGUUUUAUGUCACAAUGAAUUAUAGGUGUUGGAUGUCCAUUGUGGAGGUGUUCUAUAGCUACCGCAACAUCUAUCAUUAUGUCGACCCUUUGUAUGAUAUCAAGGAAACAAUUUUCAGAAUGUAACCAUUUCUCAAGGUUUCCAUUAGACAUGUAAUCAAGCACCAAGGCUUUGAAGUCAACACUUGAGCAGCAAGUAAUGACCUUCACAAUAUUACGAUGAACUAUAUUAAGCAUAACAUCACAUUCAAUGUCAAAACUCCUAAAUGCUCCCUCUGUUUGCAAAUUGAAAACUUUUAUUGCAACUUCCAUUCCAUCUGAAAGCCUCCCUUUAUAUACAUAUCCAAAACUCCCUGAACCAAGCAUAUUGCUUUCCUCAAAUCCAUUAGUUGCUCGUGAAAGUUCAGCAUGUGAAAUUCUUCUCGGUGUCUUCAAAGACAACAAAUCAUCUUUAACUGGUAGAGCUGUACUCCUUUGGCAUCUUCUAUACAUAAUAGUUAAGACUAUUAGUACUAGGACAAUACCAAUUGUUGGUAAACCAUACCUAAAAGCAUGUAAUAUAAUCAUUUGGGAGUUUUUGUGGAUGUCAUUUUUGCAAGGUGGGACUAGCAAUCUAGGUGGACCACAAAAUGCACAAUUAUUCAUGAAUGAUGUGCUAGAAAAGUUUGAAAAACAUCUUUUGCUGGGAAUUUCCCCUUCAAGUCUAUUGAAAGACACAUUAAAAUACUUUAGAUAUAAAAGCUUUUCCAAAGAUUUGGGAAUGACUCCAGAGAGAUUGUUAUUGCAUAAAUCCAAGAAUUCCAAACUAAUCAACCCAUCAAAUGAUUCAGGGAUAUGACCAUGUAGUAUAUUAUUUGAUAAAUCUAAUGAAACCAAAGUUUGAAGACCCCCAAAUGUGGAUAAGAUAUCGCCCAUGAGAAGAUUCCUUGAUAAAUUUAGUCUCAGUAGACUCCUAAAGUUUCCAACAUCAAUAGCAUGUGAAUUGUGAAGAUGGUUUGAUGAUAAAUCUAUUUCUAAGAUAUCUUUAAGAUUCCACAAAGUUGAGGGUAUUGUAGAACUCAAUUUGUUGGAAUCUAACCAAAGAUAUCUCAAAGCAGAAAUAUUACCCAAACAAGAGGGUAUGGGUCCAUGCAGCUUAUUCAACCCUAAAUACAUCUUGUAUAGUCUCUCCAAACCACAGAGGCUUUCUGGGAUAGGCCCUUCUAAUUUAUUAGAGGAAAGAUCUAGACCUUGCAGAUUCCGCAGUCCUCCUAUUGAUGCUGGAAUGAAUCCACUUAAUUUAUUAUGGUCAAGUUCUAAAACCAAUAAGUUGGUUAAGUUACCUAUUUCCAUAGGAAUAAUGCCUUGAAGCUCACAAUUAUAGGCAUGAAAGGAUUGAAGGGAUUUUGAAAGGUUCCCAAUAUAAGUAGGAAGAACGCCACUCAAUGGAUUUCCUGAAACACCUAUUUUUCUCAAAUUCCUACAAUUCGUCAAAGAAGAAAGAAAGCUCCACUCAUGAUCAGUAGCAGAUCCUGUGAUCAAAUUAUUGUCAGUGAUUUUGAGCACUUCAAGGUGUUUUAAGCUGCCAAGCAUUUUAGGGAUUGGGCCAGAGAAUGAGUUAUCUUCCAAGUCUAGUUUCUUAAGCAUGGAAGCAUUGGAGAUAGAGUAAGGAAUGUUUCCGCUAAGUUUAUUUCCCCACAGUAAAAGAAUCUGAAGCUUUGGAGCAUUGGUAAUGGGUGGUAAAUUACCUGUAAAAUAGCAUCUUUUAGAAAACAUAUUCAUUGAAUACCAAAUUCACAAAAUAUAUAAUACAUUAAAAUUAAAACUUUAAAACUUUAAAUCAAUUAAGAAUAAAAUUUUGGCAUGGAAAAUUGUGAUGAAAUCAAUUAGAAAGUUGAGACAUAAUAAGAAGUUUUGAGUAGUAAUUACUCAUGAUUUCCAUAGACAAAACAUAUAAUACACUGAUAAUUUUUUUAAAAAUAUUGUAAAACCUGAAAUAAAAUAAAAAAUAAAAGUUUGGCAUGAGAAUGUGGCAUCUAAUCAUUCUUAAAAAUAAGACUAACAUUGAAUAAUAAUUAGUUAUGAUUUGAGAAACAAAAAUGUUAAAGAUGUAAACUGGUAUGAUUUUUAUCUAUUGGGUUAAUUAUUUAUUUUUAUUAAAUUAUAUAUAGUGUAAAAUUUAAAGAUUAUUAUUUGCUCAAAAUUUUUGUAUUUUUCGUAUAUUUGAAAUUUAAUCUUUAUAUUUUUUAUUUUCUGUGAUUUAGUCUCUCUACUUUUUGAAUUGAAAAUUUUAAGUUUAUUUAUUAACACUGUUAAAAAGUUUUUGUGUUAGUAUGGCAUUUUGAAAAAUAAAAUAAACUUGAUAUCUAUGUUUUUAAUUAUUCCAAAUACUGUUUUACUAUUCCAAGAUAAAUUAUUUGUGUCUAGACCAAUAUCUUAAGAACUAUUGUUGCAUGUUUAAUUAUUCUAAAGAAUUGUUGAUUGAGUCUUAGUUGAAGUGCACUAUUCUCCUAUUUAUGAAUUGGGGAGUUGAUAAAGUACUAAAUUUUGAUAUAUUUUAAAAAAUUAAAAAUUUAUUAAAAUAUUUUUAUAAAAAUUAAUUGUACCAAAAUAUACAAUUUUAAUAUCAAAUUUUUAAUUUUUUUAAAAAUAUUAGCGAAUAUAUACUUUAUUUCAAGUUACACAAUUUUUACUAGUUUUUAACUUUUUUUUUAAAUUUUUAUCGUCUUUUAUAAUUUCAUAUAUUUUUUUAUAAUUUUUUACAAUAUUUACAAUUUCUAACAAUUUUUAAUAAUUUUAUUAUUUAUUAUAAAUUUAAAAAUUAACAAAUUUUUAUUUUUUUAAAACAAUUAUAUAUUUAUAAUGUAGUUAUUUUUUUAUAAUUUUUUUUGAAAUUUAAAGAUUUUUUUGGUUUUUUCUAGAUGAUGAUGCCAUCAUGAUGUCAUCAUAUGCCACAUGGCAAUUUAUAAUUAGUUGACUAUCUCAAUCUAUUUUUUUAACGUCCAAUGGACUAAAACAAGAACACCUGAUAAUGUUAGAGACUACACUAGGAAUGUUUGAUAAUAUUAGGUACUAAAGUGGGCAAAAAAAAUUAAGGACUAUAUUAAAAAUAUAUCUAUAAUAUAUAUAAAUGCAUGGAUUUUGAGAAACUUUUGAAAUGACAAAUAUAUAGUCUUUGUUUUUUUUUACUAUAUUAUUGAAUUUUUUAUUUUAAAUAUUUUUUUAUUACUUUUAAGAUUUAUCAUAUGUAUGGAUAAAAAUUUUGGUUUUACUAAAAUAUUUGGUUAAAUAAAUUCACUUUAUAAAAAAAUUUAGCAUCCUUAUAAAUAACAAUUUUGAUUCCAUUAAAAAAAUUAUUUAAAAAUAUAUAAUAAAAAUUUAAAAUUUAUAUUGAAUCACUUUAUACUUAAAUUAUUAUUAGAAACUUUAUCAUACACAUAUGUGUAUGAGAACCACGUUUUCAGAACUUAAAUUUGUGUUCUAAAAUAACUUAUGAUAAAUAAUUAAAUGUAUAAUUUGAAAUUAUAUUGAAAUAAAAAUAGAUUAAAUUGUAAGUAAAACAUAUAUAAUUUAAACAUAUGAAUACAUCAAAUUAAAAAUACUAAAUGAAUACAUUUAUUUAUGAUGAUGUUGUUGUCAAUUCAUAAGUUGGUGUCGAGUUAAUUUGUGACAUCAUAAUUUUAAGUGAUAAAUUUAAGGUUUUAUGUAUUGAUGUCGAUUCAAAUAUCACCAUAAUUUUUUUAAAUAAAAAACUAAAGCACCCUCAAAUAAUAUAACUUAUAUUAAAUAUGAAAGGGUAUUUUUGUAAUUUCUCUAACGAGUUGGUGCCCGGUUGACUCAUGACACCAACUCAAUCAAAAGCUUCAAUAAUAAUAUAGAUAUUCACGUUUAAAAAAAGUACUUUAGUUCGAAAUAAUUAUGUAACAAGUAAUUUUAUAAUUGAUGAAUAAUUUUAUAAAAAUAUAUUUAUAUGAUCUAAUAUAUUAUAUUUAUAUUAAUUAUAUAUCAUCUACAAACUUUGAAGAUCAAUUUAUUAAGUAUCAGGAAAAGAAAAAAUGAAAUUGAAUUAACACUAAAUCAAUUUUUAGAUUUUGUACAGAUGAUUUAAUGAUGAUAAAAACAUUAUUAGCACUAUUUUUGAAUUAACAAAAAAUUAGUGAUAUAUUUUAAUUAUAUUUUUUAUUUUUUAUUUUUAAUAAUAUUUUUUUAAUUAUAUGAAGUAAAAUUAUAUUGUAUACUAAAUAUGGUACAUAUACUUUAAUUAAAACUUGAAAAAGUAUUAUAUAAAUUAAUAUAUUUUAAUUAUAUUCAACCAUUUGAAUAACAAAAUUAAAAAAAAACUAAUUAGAAUUAUUUACUUUUUAAAGUUUAAUGGAAAAUAAAAAAUAAAAAAUAAAUCAAUUCAUAUAAAUCUUAUUGUUUAUUAUCAGAUUAAAAUGAUAAAAGUAUAUGACAUACAUAGAAGAAACAAAUUCAACACCAUGUUUUUGGAGUUUGGAAAAAAUUAAAGUGAAAAACCUACCUUCUAAACUGUUGUUAAAUAGAUCUAUUUCUUCGAGCGUAGUUGAAUUAAAAAUACUUGAUGGAAUCUGACCUGCACACAUAGUCGAAAAUUGAAGUGAAAUCAAACUCUUUUGUGAAAAAAAUAUUACCAGAUAAUUCAUUCCAACCCAGGUAAAGCCCUUCAAGCUUGGGAAGAUGUUGACACAUAUCAUUAGGCAAACUACCUGAUAGGCUAUUGUUGGAGAGAUUAAUGGUCUUCAAAGAAGAAAUGUUGAAGAUCGAAGUUGGAAUCUGACCUAUAAGGCCUUUAAUUGCUCUAAUACUAAGCCUUUCCAAACUAAGAAGAUUACCAAUUUCCUUAGGAAUUAGACCUGCAGACAGUCGAAAAUUCAAUGUUUUUCAGCAUAUGUUUUUCAUCAAAUGAAAUAAAAAGUUCUUCCUUUUGUUAUCUAUUACAAAUCAAACUCUUUUAUAAAAAAAAUACUUUAAAUUCAAGAAAUCAAGGAAAUUGAUUACCUUCUAGAUUAUUAAACCCCAAAUAUAAUUCUUGGAGUCGUGUUAGAUUUCCAAUACUUCUUGGAAUGAUCCCCAUAAAUUGAUUAUAGGACAACGACAAAAUAUUAAGGUUGUUGCAUUUGCCCAUGCCAAAUGGAAUGUUACUAGAAAACUCAUUGCUAUCCAAGUAAAGCCCUUCAAGCUUGGGAAGAUGUUGACACAUAUCAUUAGGCAAACUACCUGAUAGGUUAUUGUUGGAGAGAUCAAUGGUCUUCAAAGAAGAAAUGUUGAAGAUCGAAGUUGGAAUCUGACCUGUAAAGCCUUUAAUUGCUUUAAUAUUAAGCAUUUCCAAACUAAGAAGUUUAAAUCAAUUAAGAAUAAAAUUUUGGCAUGGAAAAAUGUGAUGAAAUCAAUUAAAAAGUUGAGACAUAAUAAGAAGUUUUGAGUCGUAAUUAGUCCUUCUGAUUUGUAUAGACAAAACAUAUAAUACACUAAUAAUAAUUAGUUUGGCAUGAGAAUGUGGCAUCUAAUCAAUCUUAAAAAUGAGAUGACACUGAAUAAUAAUUAGUUAUGAUUUGGGAAACAAAAAUGUUAAAGCCAUUGCUUUUAAUGUAAACUAGUAUGAUUUUUAUCUAUUGGGUUAAUUAUUUAUUUUUAUGAAAUUAUAGUGUAAAAUUUAAAGAUUAUUUUUAUCUAUUACAAAUCAAACUCUUUUAUGAAAAAAAUAUUUUAAAUUAAAGAAACAAAGAAAAUUCAAUAUCUUCUAAGUUAUUCCACUCCAAAUAUAAUCUUCAGUGAAGAAAUCUUGAAGAUGGAAGAUGGAACCUUACCAGAUAAUUGAUUGAAUCCCAAGCUCAAGGACUCUAGAUUAGACAUGUUAACAAGUGUUUCAGGGAUUGUGCCUAUAAAGUUAUUAUUUUUCAUUUUCAGCCUUCGAACUCCCUGUAAGUUCCCAAGCCAUGAUGGAAUUUCCCCAUUAAGACUGUUGUAUUUUAAUCGAAGGAUCCUCAAACGAUGCAAUUGGCCCAAUUCUUUAGGGAGAUGGCCAUAGAAAUGGUUUCUACUCAAGUCGAGAGAGAGUAGAAAUGAAAGAUUUCCAAGGUGUGGAGGGAUACUACCCCUAAGAUUCAUGCUUUUAAGUUUGGAAACAAAUUCAACACAAUGUUUUUGGAGUUUGGAAAAAAUUAAAGUGAAAAACAUACCUUCUAAUUUGUUGUCAGAUAGUCCUAUUAUUUCGAGCAUAGUUGAAUUAAAAAUACUUGAUGGAAUCUGACCUGCACAUAUAGUUGAAAAUUGAAGUGAAAAACAUACCUUCUAAACUGUUCAACUAAAAAAACUUUAAGCAUAUUUGUUUUUCCAUCAAAUUAACUAUUUUGCCUUGAAUGAAAUAAAAUGCUCUUACUUUUGUUAUUUAUUACUAAUCAAACUCUUUUCUAAAAAAAAACUUUAAAUUAAGAAACUAAGAAAAUUCGGUACCUUCUAGGUUAUUAAACCCUAAAUAUAACUUCUGGAGUCGUGUUAGAUUUCCAAUACUUCUUGGAAUGAUACCCAUAAAUUGAUUAUAGGACAACGACAAAUUUUUAAGGUUGUUGCAUUUGCCCAUGCCAAAUGGAAUGUUACCAGAUAAUUCAUUCCAACUCAGGUAAAGCCCUUCAAGCUUGGGAAGAUGUUGACACAUAUCAUUAGGCAAACUACCUAGGUUAUUGUUGGAGAGAUCAAUGGUCUUCAAAGAAGAAAUGUUGAAGAUCGAAGUUGGAAUCUGACCUGUAAGGCCUUUAAUUGCUUUAAUAUUAAGCAAUACCAAAUCAAGAAUAUUACCGAUUUCCAAACCAAGAAUUUAUAGAAGAAACAAAUUUAACACAAUGUUUUUUGAGUUUGGAAAAUGUUAAAGUGAAAAACAUACCUUCUAAUUUGUUGUCAGAUAGUCCUAUUAUUUCGAGCAUAGUUGAAUUAAAAAUACUUGAUGGAAUCUGACCUGCACAUAUAGUUGAAAAUUGAAGUGAAAAACAUACCUUCUAAACUGUUCAACUAAAAAAACUUUAAGCAUAUUUGUUUUUCCAUCAAAUUAACUAUUUUGCCUUGAAUGAAAUAAAAUGCUCUUACUUUUGUUAUUUAUUACUAAUCAAACUCUUUUCUAAAAAAAAACUUUAAAUUAAGAAACUAAGAAAAUUCGGUACCUUCUAGGUUAUUCAACCCCAAAUAUAAUUCUUUGAGUUGUGUCAGAUUUCCAAUACUUUUUGGAAUGAUCCCCAUCAAUUGAUUAUAGGACAAUGACAAAAUUUUAAGGUUGCUGCAUUUGCCCAUGCCAAAUGGAAUGUUACCAGAUAAUUCAUUCCGACUCAAGUAAAGCCCUUCAAGCUUGGGAAGAUGUUGACACAUAUCAUUAGGCAAACUACCUGGUAGGCUAUUGCUGGAGAGUUUAAUAAUCUUCAGAGAAGAAAUAUUGAAGAUGGAAGAUGGAACCUGACCAAAUAAUUGAUUGAAUCCCAAGUUCAAGAUCUCUAGAUUAGACAUGUUAACAAGUGUUUCAGGGAUUGUGCCUGUAAAGUUAUUAUUCUUCAUUUCCAGCCUUCGAACUCUCUGUAAGUUCCCAAGCCAUGAUGGAAUUUCCCCAUUCAGACGGUUGUAGCUUAAUUGAAGGAUCCUCAAACGAUGCAAUUGGCCAAAUUCUUUAGGGAGAUGGCCAUAGAAAUGGUUGCUACUCAAGUCGAGAGAGAGUAGAAAUGAAAGAUUUCCAAGGUGUGGAGGGAUAGUACCCCUAAGAUUCAUGCUUGUAAGAUUCAAAGCUAUAACUCUUUUAUGGAGGAUGCCACAAGAAACACCAAUCCAAUUGCAAACAGAGGUUGAGGCCGUCCAAUUGUUUGCCAAGACAUUUUGAGGACCGGCAAUGCGAUCCUUAAACUCGAGAAGUGCAAACUGAUCGGAGUUGAGAUUCCUGACUGUCAUACCCCAGCAAAGUCCGGAACAUGGUAUGAAUAAAGCUAAAAGAAGAUGAAAGCAAGUGUUGUAGUUCAUGAUAGCAAGACGGAAUAAGCCAAGAAAAUAAAAAAAAGUAGGACAAGGGAAGUUGAGUUGAUAAAAUAGUUUGGAUGAUGAAGAAAAGCCCAGAGAGCAUGCUUUAAUAUGUUUUGAAGAAAUUUCAAAAUAAAUUUCAAAAUAAAUUUCAAAAUAAAAAUUUAAAAAGGAAAGCAAAGUUUUGAAGAAAUUUCAAAAUAAAUUUCAAGUCUUCUUCUUUAAAAAAUACGUACAAAGAGCGAAUUUUCAAAAUUUUUCCUAAAUUUUCUUCACAUUACUCCACAUAAUCCAUUAAAAAAACUUAAAAAAUAUAUUUUAUUAAUUACUAUACAUUCUUUUAUUUUCAGAAUAAUAAAUUGUUUAAAAUUUGCUAUUAGUCCCUAUAAUUUAAAAGUUAAAAAAAAUUCAAUCCUCCUACUUUUCUAAUUUAAAAAUUUUAGUUCAAUCAAUUUUAAUUUUAAAAUCUCUGUAUAAAAGGUGUUUUUUUUGUGACCGAUCACACUUAACCAAUAUUUAAAAAUUAAUAAAAAAUAUUUUUUUUUGAAAUUUAAAGUGAUCUAAAAACAUAUUUUUAAGUGCUUUGGACCGUCUAUUGUUGAUUUCCUUAUUAUAUUAAGUGUUUGCAAUCACUCCUAAUAUAUUGUGCUUGAGUUGUGACAAAGCCGAUCAUCAAAUUGCCAUAAUGAUCUAUUGAUGCUGAAAUUGAAGUUUUUGUUAUAUUGAUAGAGCUUGUCCUUCAACGCGUACAACGUGUUUGUUAUUUUUCUCCCUUCAAAUUGUAUGAUCUUAUUCAUUAAAUGAAUUAAUGAAUUUCCCUUUUAAAAAGAUAUAUUUUUAAAAAUUAAAUACUUUAUAAAAUAUUUAAAAAUUUGUAAGCCUUAAAACAAUCAACAAAAUAUUUUUGAAAUUUUAUAAAUAUAUUUUAAAACUAUAGUAACGCUACAAAAUAUAUAUAUUUACUAAUUAUAUGCACCUUUUUUAUUUUUAUUUCCUAACAUAUCAUUAUUUUCAACACUAUCGUAAUCCUGUUUUGAUAAUUCCCUUUCCAUACAUCCUUUUUCUACAUAGAAUUUCAAAAGAAAAUGUGAAUUAAUGUAAACGUGAGAAGACUUAAUUACAUUUAUUAGUUUAUCAAUCAAAACUUAAUUAGAAUCCAUCAAUAUUUCACACAUCAAAAACCCAAACAUAAAAUUCACUUUUAAAUUAUUUGAAGAUACAUUUGUAUUAUAGGAAAUCGAUUAAAUUAGUCUUUUAUUAUUAAAUGUAUUAUUUUAAUCUUUGUAUUAGGUAUGAAUGAUAUCUCCUAAAUUGAAGCCAGAGCUAUUCUUGAAAGACUGAAAUUAGGAUUCAGAUGUGUUGAGAUGGAAAGUGACAACACAAUGUUGAUUGAAACUAUUUGUAACAGGUUGACUACAAUAAGUAGUGCUGCCGAAGUAAGACAGAUUCACGAUUGGUGUUCCAAAAAUUGGGAAGUCAAAUUUAGACAUAUUCAGCGGAAUGCCAAUAAAGUUGUUGAUUGCAUAGCUAAGGCAAAUGGAGGCGUAAUUGAGCAGCUGGUUAUCUUGGAAGAUCCUCUGCAUUAUGUGAGAUGGUAGCUUGAAGAAGAUAUUAGACAGUCACUAGUGACUGAUGAUAAUUUUCAUUUGGACUGAUGAGCGCUUAAUUUUCUAAGCUUAUGUUCAACAAAAAAAAUUUUAACUACGUUUAAAUUGUAAUAGAGUUAACAUUUAGUGUUUAAAAAAUAUCUUAAAAAUUAUUAUUUUUUCCAAUUGCAGUUCAAUUCCACAAAUAUCGACGAUGAAUCCGGACAUAAAAAUUAUAGAAAAAAAACACAUCUAUUAUCAAACCAACAAUCCAUGUCUAAACUUAAAUUAACAAAAUUUGCCACGCAACGCCCAGUACACUAUUAUAUAUAUACUAGAUUUAUUCUAGAUGCACAUGUUUUAUUAUAUUUAAAAUUUAAAAUAUAUGGUUGACUAAGUGUUAGUUGAGUUAGUAUUGCUAUUAUUGUCAGUGUAAGGAAAUGUGAGUUUAAUUGCGCUCAAAUGUGUUUUAUCCUCCAAUUCAAGGGUUAGGAAAAGGUUAUUGAUAAUUAAGUUAUACCAACUUUUAUGAUAUUAAAAAAAGGAUUUAUAAAUAAUAUAAGGAAAAGAAAGAAAGAGAAACAUAUUCAUAUUGAUGGGCUCUUUCAAUAUUAGACUUUUUUUUCUAUCACAAGUAAAAAUAUCAAAGGUGAUAAUAAUUAAAUUAUAAAAUUUAAAUUGAGAAAAUAGGGGAUUGAGUUUAUAAGUUUUAAAGUAUAAAGAAUGAAUAUAUAACUAACAACAUAUUUUAACCACAUAAUAAAAGUAGUUAUGGUAAAAUAAUGACCUGAAUAAUUUUAAACGUCUCAUCCUUGCAAAAAUGAAAUAAUAGAAAAGAAAUAAGUGUUGGGUGUAGUGGCAAUGUACAUCAUACUUCUAAGGGGAGAUUAGGGUUUUAGACAAGGGAAGAAUUUUAAACUUGCUCUUUUCUCUAGAACUCAACGCAAACCUCAAAUUUAUCUUUUUAAAAGAAUUUAAAAAUAUGUAUAUAAAAGGUGAUUUUUUUACCGAUCACACUUAACAAAAUUUUAAAAAAAAAUGAAAUUUAAAGUGAUCUAAAAACAUAUUUUUAAGUGCUUUAGACCAUCCUGUGCUGAUUUCUUUAGUAAUUUGAUUUGUUCAAUAUAGAUUUUGGUAACUUAAAACAAAAUUAAUAAAAAAUUAUUUUUUUAGAUAUCUUUUUAAUGUUUAAUAAUAAGUUAAUUUAUAAAAUAUACUUUCAUUGGACACAGGGCCUCCAAGGCGGUGAACCACUAAUCAAAUUAAUUUUGAGAUACUUAAAUUUGUUUUCAUCAAUUAAGAAAUUAAAAAAAUUGUUGAGACCUCAUGAUUAUGUUUUAUAAUUUCAGGCUUAUCAACUAUUUUGAAAAACAACAAAACGUCUUACACCAAAAACUAAAAAAUAAAAACGUCGACAUUAAAUUUGUUGGCAUGCAAUCAAUUUUAAGAUGGUUUUUGGAGUUAUAUAUCACCUUAGCAUUGACUUACUUUUCUACAGUUUGUCUUCUCCAACAAGUUAAAUAUUUCAAUUUUAACAACAUUGACAGGUCUUUGGGGUAGGGUCGAGCAAAAUUCAAUAAAAACAGAUGAUAUAAGUUGAGUUGGCUCGGCCAAGUCGAGUCGAUUUGUUCAAAUUAUUUAAAUUAGUAAAUUUUAGGGUGCAAUUAGAAUUUUUUGUUUUGAGAUGCUAAUUAGAUUAAAAAAUUUCAGUUGCUAAAACAAAAAAAUUGUAUUUAAAAAGGCAUAAAUUAAAUAAUUAAGUUUUUCGAGUUUCCAUUUAAUCAAAGGUUAAAAGGACUAAAUUGAAGCUUUUUAUUUUUAAGAAAGGCUGAAUGACAAAUUGCCCAAAGCCCAUGGCCCUAGCUAUACAACUAACUUUUCUAUGAUUAGUCCUUGGUUUGCUUUGGGUGAAAUCUUCCAACUAGCCUCAUCCUUGGUUUUACUUUCCAACAAUUAGUGUAUCGCGGGUUUUGUUUUCUUUAAAAAAUAUUUGUGGAUAUUAGGAGAUAAUGAAAAUUAUUUUACUAUGAAAUUUUAAUAAAACUGGAAAAUAAGUAAUUUAUUUUAAGAGAUCACAAUUAAACGUUAGAUUUCCCCUUUUUAAAUUAUAAAUUUUUUUUUGACAAUUGCAUAAUAUUUUGAGCGUUGUAGGAAUGCCAUAAUAUAACCUUCCCUACGCAUAAUCGACUCUUGAGCAUGAUGGAUCCUAGACCUUCUCCUCUAUUCUCGUACCACAAAUUGCUUCAAGUGUGGGUUCGAACAAUCACAAAUUAAACGCAAAACCAAAAAUGAUUUAUUACUUUCAAUAGCAAAGUAAUUCUCUCUCAAUAGAAACCAAUAGAAUUGUAAUUCCUAGAAAAUAAAAUUUAUUUUUUGAAAAUAUAUUCUCACUACUUUCUAGCAGAAUAACAAUAUGUGAAACUUAUGUCUUGUGUUAAUAGCUCUACCAGUACUAUCUAUUUAUAGGGAGAGACACGAGAAUCCUGGUUGAAUUAGUAAAACACGAAUAAUAUUUAUUUCAUAGAAAACAAUAUUCCACCCUAAGUAGAUCAAGUUUGUAUGACGCAUGGAUCAAAGCUCAAUCUAGGAGAAAAAAAACAAAGGAAUUUUCUUUGUAAAGAAAAUUUGAGAUUGUACUAUUUUCAAAGUUAUAAAUAAAAUUAUACGCCAAAUUUUCAAGUCAAUUUUCAACUCCAAUUUUGUAUGCACAAAUUUCUAAUACACUUGGUGGGACAUUCUUUGACUUUUAUCUAUUCUCUCAAAAAGUUAAAGUUCAAAGUUACAUUAAACUCAAAGAAGAUAUUCAUUAGUAAACCACCUCACAAGCCUGCUCAAGCUAAUCCUACAACUCGUUCCACUUCAUCAUCAAACACCAAUAUUCUUGCUUAUCCUUAUGGAAUUAAACAGUCUCAUUUUCUGCAUUUUGGGUACACACUUAGUUUUGUUUGAUGCUAAAACAGUCCCCGAGCACUCCAAAACCUAUAAUUGAACAAAUAAUACUAAUUUAAUCUUACAUAACAUGAUCCCAAAUUGAAAUUGUAUCGAGGUUUUAACCCAUAAGUGACUAAACCUUACCUUCAACCGAUGAACAGUAAUUCCCACACAAACUAAGACUCCAAUUGGAGAUUACGAGCCAUUGAAUCCUCCCCUAAUUGGCAUAAACAAAACACUUCAAAAGAAAGUUAACAAAUGGAGACAAAUCACUUAUCUAAAACUUACCGAACGAUCACAGAAAAACGUGGAGUGACACGAGGCAGAGUGGGAAAAGAAAAAUCAAGAGGAUGAAGGGUGAAAGAGAGCAAAAAUUCGGUAGCAAUGAAGAGAAAAACAGCAAGAAAGUGGAGGGAUUUUAGGGAAAGUAAAAAAAAAGAUGAAUAGAAUAUUUGAUAACUACCCAAUCCCUUAUUUCUCUCUAUCAAACUCCCCACUAAAUCCACUACUCGAAUUUUUAGUCCAUCUCAAACUCUCCUGGACGCACGAGCAAAAAAUAAUGACCAUGCCAAAAUUUAAACAAAAGACCUCCUUCACACCAACACUCCACUUAUCCACCAGACCAAUAGGCUCAUUCUUUUAAUUAUUUUCCAACUUUUACUUAAAAGCCUACUGACCAAAGAUAGGGCUUAUUCAUAAAAAUACCAAAUUUUGCCCAAGACCUGGCUUGAACUUGGGACCUCUCAAACACACCCAGAACACAUAACCACUAAAGCAGACAGAAAUUUUGUGUCACACAUUCACAAUACCCAAAAUUAAAAUUUUAGGGCGUUACAAAAACACAUUAAACAAUAUCGCAUAAAACAAUCACAGUCAGAUAACAAUUCAGAAUGUCGAUUUUACAAUUUAACCACCAAUAGUAUCAUAGUAUUCACAGUUGUAAUUUCAGAAUAUCAAAUUUCCACAUCAUUCACAAUAUUCACACAUAUAUAAAUAUAUCAUAAUAGAAUUCUAGAUUUGUAUGCACAUGAUUUAGAAGAUGCCAUACAAUUUUGGGUUUUAACAGAAUAAAUCCUACCCCACAUUACAUACCAUAAUGGGAGUUCCCCUAAACUCCCUUCUCCAACACACUAGGUUGUGGAUAAACCACUAUUGGUUCACAAAUAAUAACUGUCAUUUGGCUGUGGACACAUAGCAAGUCCCCGCAAUUGGAUUCUAGAUUUGGUUGUGGAUUCACAGCAAAAAAAUCCUACAAAUGAAGCCUGCUUUUGCCUGUAGAUUAUACAACAUAUACCCGCAGUUGGAAUCUGUCUUUGGCUGUGGAUGCAGUGUAACACCUCAAACUCGACCUAGACGUUAUGGCUAAAUCUUAAUGAUUUACUUUAACUCGCUAGAAAGCCCACGAAUUUACUUUAAAAUCAUGUGGUUAAACUAGUGUUCACUUUGAUAAAUCGUUUUCCAGUUUUAGAGAAAAUUCUUGUUAAAACUGUUACUUUAUUACAAUAAAACAUUGAAGUAAUUGUAUCAUUUUGUAGUGGAAUCUACUAAGCUAUAAGGUUUUGAAAAUCGUGAUUUAGUUUGAAACAAAUCAUUUUGCAAAUAGAAAUUUAAUACUACUUAAUUUGGAAAAGCACGCUAAAACGAAAGCAAAGUCCAAAAUAAUUUACGGUUUGAAAUUCUAAAAAGCCCAAAUUAGUCAUAAAGUCUAUUUAAACCAAUUUAUCGAAAGUGUAACACCCUAAACCCGGCCUGUAUGUUAUGGCCAAAUCUAGAUGUGUUACGAAAAAAAGUUUAUAAAACGACUUCCUUGUUAUUGGCAAAUCAUCGUAGCCAUUAUUACUUAGUAUAUCUGAUUUGUUUGGAAAACUUAUUGAUAUACUUAUUUGAUUUAAAAUCGUUGCUCACUUACGCCUUUUUAUUAAACCAAAUAUUUUGCAGCGGAGUUUCUUUAAAACAUCAUAUUUUGGAAAAUCAAAUUGUUUCUUGAAAAUCGUUAUUUUAGAAAAGUUGUCAUUUUCAGAAAAAUUAUUUUAUCAGUUGUUAUGCUGAGAAAACAAAAUAAAAUCCAAAACCAAAAAUAGUCCCAAAAAGUCUAGAGAGUCCCAAAAUGACAAUACUCUUAAAACUAGACAAGUUUAAACUAAUUUUAAAAGAAUGAAAUUUUACAGAAAUGUGGACACCACUGAGCUUCCGUCGCACCGACCCACCUAAAUCUGAGGGUUACUUGAACAGAAUAAACAAACAGAGAGUGAGUUUUGAAACUUAGUGUCUAACGCGUAUAUAAACAAAAAUUCAGAAUCAAUCUCAUGCAGAACAGAUACAAGUGUAAACCUUUUAUAAAAUUAGAAUUAUACAGAUACAAAUAUGCAACAUCCUACCCUCAUCCUCUACACACCAACUCCGACCAUUCUAUCACACCACGUGGGGUAUAAAAUACCCACCCAGCCCUACACACCGUAUAGUAUUUAUAUGACACUUUUUGGAAUAAUCGCAGCAGAGUUGCCAGUAUAUAGGCGAGAUAUCACCUCACACAGAACACUUCCUCCUCAUAAUACAAAUCCCGCCCCAUAGCCAGAUACAGACAAAAUAUCAUGUAAAAUAAAUUAACAGAUACUAGAGUUAACAUAUCACGCAUGAGCGUAUAAUAGAUAUUACACAUGCUUAUGCAUAACAAAAUAGAUCAUACAUAUUGUAUUCCAUAAUACUCAUAUAAAUGUUAUUUACGUCAAUCUCAAUCUAAUAGAGUAGCUGAUUUCAUGCUUUAACUCUUAUACCACACAUACAGACCCUAUAGAAGGCCCACAGUUGAUCGAGACAACAUGUAUGUCCCUAGGGAAAAAAUUUGUAAUUUGGGCCCAUAUGCAUGUAUGAGCCCACACACCCAAAAUGGCCUUGCCCAUGUGGCUCACCUACCUAGCACUCAGCCCAUACGGUCCAAAAUGGCCUAGGUCGUGUGUCACACACAGCCGCAUGUUGCACACAGCCUACCACAUAGCGAGUCACAAAACCGUUUGGAGUUGACAAGCCUAAUUUUUGGCUUUCGUCAAUCGUCAUUUUCUUACGUUUUCAUUACACACUUGGUUUGAUUCUGACCCAAAAGCAACCCUAAGUCCACCGAAACCUAAAAAUAGCAUUCCAAUGCCCAAUUUCAGUGAACAUUUACAAAACUUAAACAAAAACUAUCCAAAAACAUAGCCUCACAAUAGCAUCCAAUGCACUCGCACACUUACCGUCAACGAAUAGGAAACACCCAACACUCAAUUCGUUGGCGGAGCACCAAUUAUGAUAAUGCAAAAAUUUUAUGGAUUCUCAACACUAUCGAUCCAAAUGUAAGAUUGAUGCUUUCCAAUUAUGAUAAUGCAAAAAUUUUAUGGGAUGGUUUACAUGAAUUUUUGUUGUUGUCAACGAUCAAUGUAUUCAAUAAUUAAAAGAAAAUAUUAGUCGUUGUUAGAAAACCAAUACUAUGAGUGUUGUAGUUUAUUUCAGUAAAUUAAAGGUUUUGUGGGAUGAACUAGACAAUCAUGAACAAUUGAUUUAUUGCAAGUGUGGACAAUGUUUAUGUAACUUAGGGAAGACGGAUGAACAAUGUCGUGAGCAUGAUCGACUUCAUCAAUUACUUCUUGCUCUCUAUUCUAAUUGUUAUGCUCAAACUAGGUUUACAUUGUUUUACCAAGAUCCUUUGCCUUCCUUAAAUCAGGCAUUCCAACAAAUUACUUAGGAGGAACAUGUACGUGGAAUUACACUGAUUAAGGAAGAGAAGUCUGAUAUUUUAGGCUUUGCUUUGCAUACAGAAGGUCAUAACAAAGGCCGAGCUAAUUGUAUUGAUAAGUCAACCUUGUUGUGCACUCAUUGCUAUCGCAAAAGGCAUGAGAUGGCUACCUAUUUUGAAUUACAUAGCCACUUGGAUUGGCGGCUUAAGAAGUAUGGGAAGCCAGAGAAGAAAAGUGAUGAUCGUGGUGGUAAGACAAGUGCACAUCUUCCACGUAAGUAUUUUAUUUCAAAGGAUCACAAUUAAACAUUAGAUUUCUCAUUUUUAAAUUUUUUUUAUUUUUUUAACAACUACGUAAUUAACGAGUACCAAUUUUGGGUGUUGUAGGGGUUCUAUAACUUUCCCUAUAUGUAAUCGACUCUUGCACCCUCUUUUUUUCUCUAGAAUUCAAUGCAAACCUUAAAUUUAUCUUUUUAAAAGAAUUUUAAAAUCUCUUUAUAAAAGACGAUUUUUUUAGGUGACCAAUCACAGUUAAGAAAAACAAAUCGGUGGCAACUCCUUUCUAAUAAAUGUAAAAAACUUUUUAAACAAAAUAAGGUUGAAAUAAUCUAGUUGUCGUUAUACUUUGAUAAAAUUUUAGAUUUAGUCCUUAUACUUAAAAGGUUAAAAAUUAAGUCUUGUUUUUAUUUAAAAAUCUUAGUCCUAUCGUUAAUAUUGUUUUUUUUUUGUCAAAAUUUGUCAAGUUGACAUAUUAAUUAGGUUUCUCUUAUAUAUCGUGGUAUAUGACUAACACAAAAUAAACAAGUUGACAAAUUCUACAAAAAAUAUCAAAGAUGAUAAUAGUUUAAUUAAAAUUUUUAAAUUAAAAAAGUAAGGGAUUAAAUUUAUAACUUUUAAAGUAUAAUGAAUGAAAUUAUUGAAAUACAAGAACUAACAACAUAUUUUAAAAAUAUUACUAGUAAAUUAUAUAUCUACAACAAGAAUUGUAACCUCUUAUAUUAUAUUCUUGUAUUUAUUUUUGCAUCUUUCAUAAUAUGAUUUAUUAAUUUUAAUAUUUUUAUAGAAUAAUAUGCUUUAAAUAGUUUUUUGUAUCAUUUAUAAAAAUUAUAAUAAACUUACAAAAUAAUUUAAUGAUAUUUAAUUAUUAAUCGAAAAAAAUGAUAUCAUAUAUAUUAUGUAUAUAUUAAGAUUCCAAAUCAUUAAUUAUAUAUCUACGCAUUAUAAUAAAUUCAUCUUUCAAAAUUUUCCUUAUAAUUAAAGCAUAAAUUAUAUUUAUAAUAAUAUAAAUAUAUUCUAUCAUAAAUAUUCUUUCAAAUAUUUUUUAAUGUUUAAUAAUAAGUUAAUUUAUAAAAUAUUCUUUCAGUAAAUUAACGUGAUGAGAUCGUUAGGUGCUUGGAUUUGGUGAAGGGGGAUGAAGAGAAAAGGGAUGGAAGUGAAUAAAAAUGUUGAGAAAUGGAAAGGGUUAGCGAGGGAAGCCGCCAUGAAAGGUGGUUCAAUGGAUAUGAACCUUCAAGCUUUUGUGGAUGAUGUUACUCAAGGUUGUUGCAAGUAAAUUUAAAAAUGUUUUUAAAUUAUUUUUUUGUUAAAAAAACAUUUUUUACUUUUUUAUGUGGCAUGCCACAUUAUCAUACUAUCAUGUGACAAUUUCUGGUGAUUUCUGUCCGCAACAUUAGUCAAAUCAACUGUUAAAUCGUUCAACUCACAGUUUUUGUUAAAUGAAGAGGUUAAUUGAUUUUUUUUUGGAAUCAUUGAGUACUCAAUUGGUGCACUUUUUUCAUAAAGGCUAAAUUAAUUUUUUAAUUUGUUAUUGUUGAAGGCUAUAGCAAUAAAAAAAAUUGAGGUAAAAAAAUAUUAGAGCUAAAUUUGUCAUUAUGCCUAAAAUGUAAAACCAAAUUUUUUUGAAAAUGAAAAAAAAUGGAAAAUCGCAAAUUCCGUCGCAUAUUUUUGCUUAAAAUUAUAGUUUUGGUCACCAAUCUUUUGAAGUAAAUAUAGGUCACCAAUAUUAUCAAUUUGUUACUUUGUAAUAACUCACCUUAAGUUAUACCCCGACGCACGAAAGGAUUAAAUGACAUUGGGAUACCAUCAAACUUGUAUCUUAAAUACACAUUUACCCCUAAUUUUAUCACAUUCUUCUUAAUUGGUAUUUAUGGUUUAGAAAAUUUUACAAAUAUAUUAUUUUUUAAGAAAUUAUAAGAAGAUUACAAAAAUUCCAAAAUAAUAUAAAAAAGCUAAGGAAAACCUAGAAAUUCAAAAAAAAAAACGUGGACAUUGAAUUUGCUGUUUCACAUUAAAUUUUUGGAGAAGUAGAAUUUUCUAACUUAUUUUCCAUCAACUUCACUUCAAUUUUCAAUCACAAUCUAUUGCAUUCAAGAGCACCACAUCUUUUGGGAUGAAACAAACCUCUCAAUUUUAAGAUAAACGGAAUCUAUUGCAUUCAAGAGCACCACGUCUUUUUGGAUGAAACAAAGCUCUCAAUUUUAGGAUAAACGGGUCUUUAGGGUUAUAAAUUGAGGUCCUUUUCCACAAUUGCGGGUGAUUCGUUGAUAAUAACCUCAACAUUUCUGUAUCACAUUUAAUUCAAUUCCACAUUCAAUUUUUAGUUUUUAGAGAGAUGAUUGGGUUACAACAAUGGUUUGAAGUGAAGAUAUUUCAAAACAAGAUGAAUACUCUACCAAUAGUCAUAAUUUAAAAUGCAGGUUAUGUUUCAUUUCAGCUAAGUUAAAUGUUAAGAUUGAGGUUAAACCUUUUAGAGGUUGCUCGCAAAAGGAUCAAACCUUUAUAAAAUUGUUUAAAUGAAGGUCAAACCUCUUAAAAUAGACAAAUAAGGGCCUAACCUUUUAAAAGGUGUUCAAAUAAGGGUUUCUCAAAUUUUGUAUAUCAGGUUAUGUAUUUUACUCUAAACACAUCGACAUUUACCUAUUUUUUCUAUAAAUUGGGUUGAAGUGCAUGAAAAAACCUUAUUUAAGCACUUCUGUAAAGGUUAAACUCUUAUUUGACUAUUUUGAAAGGUUUGAUCCUUAUAUAAGCAACCUCUAAAAGAUUGAGUACUAAUUUGACAAGAUUGAGAAAUACCUAAAUUUGUUUUCAUGAAUCAAGAAAAUAAAAAAGAAAUGUUGAGAAAUAUUUUAGAGAUUCUUAGCUUUGACAAGUUCCCUCCAUCAUCUUCCUGCCUCCAGUCCCACCUCUUCUCUUAUGCUCCUCCCAGCUUCUUGCUUUUUGUGUGUUGAAAUUUCAAAGGAACAAAAUAUCAACCUACAUCAUAAGGCACGAUUGCCAGAACUUUACUUUCUAGCCUGUCGAUCCGAUCCAAUGAAAGAAGAACAAAGAGUCUCAAGAUCUGUCAACUUUAUUUCAUUUUCAUUUUCUUUGUCAUUUUCUAUGUUUCAUGUCGAAUACAAUGAAAGAACAUAGAAAAAUGUUGCCUAUUUAUUUCCCAAUCAUCAUGAAAUUACUUGCCAUAGACUUAGAAUUUUCUCACCAAUUUUCAAGCAAUCUGACAUGAUUUCUCAAUCACAAUUAAUUGAAUUCAAGAUCUUUUUAGAUGACACAAACAUUUCAAUUUUAACACAAACCAAUAUUUAGGUUGUACUUCAGUGCUUGACAAGCACUUUCACAUUUGUGGGAUAAGAACUCUUAACAUUUUAGGAUCACAUUUAAUUCAAUUGCAUUUAAGACCUCACGAUUUUAUUCUAUAAUUUCAGUCUUAUCAGCCUUUUCGGAAACAAUAAAACGUCGACAUUAAAUUUGUUGUUGAUGCAUUCAAUUUUUUGAGGGGUCUUUGGAGUUAUAUGUGACUUUAGCAUUGACUGACUUUUUUAUAAUUAAUCUUUUAUAAUAUAUCAAUUUUAAUAACAUCGACAUGUUUUUUAGUAGGGUCUAGCAAAACCCAAUUAAAACCGAUGAUAUUGGCUUAGUUGACUCGGUCAAGUCCAUUAGAUUGAUAAAAUCAAUUUUAAAAUCAGUUAUAAUGGAUUAAGGUAAUUAAUUAUCGAGUAAUGAAAUACAUAAUCAAAUCAAUUGAUUUUGUUAGAAACUAAAAGAAAAUGAGAUAAGCUGAAAACUGAUUGCCCUUUAUUAAAAUUAACGAAUCCGCCCUUUACGUAUUAGAUAAUACGAACAUCACAUAUAUAAUAAGAAAAAUUACGUAUGAUUAUUUAUUAUCAUAAAAGGUUAGUUUAAAUUUAAAGUAAUCUAAUAUGUUUAUUGAACUUCAACUAUUAAAUAAAGUAUAAGCUAAAUAAGUAUAAAUAUUCUAGAAACCAUUUCUAACUGAUGAUAGGCUAAUUCGAUUAAUUUAUAAAAACUACAUAGUAGGGUUAUAGUCCUCAAACUACACCUAAUUUAAUAAUAUUUAUAGUUUUUUUUUUAGCCUUAAACAUUUAUAGUUUUUUGUUAAUUUGGUCCUUACUCUUUAAAAUUACAUAAAAAUUGCAAAAAAAAUUAAAAUUAAUUUUUUUUCAUAAUUUUAAUAACAUUUAUAGUUUUUUUUUUGUGUGUGGUUUGGUAACUUAUCAACUCGACUCUCACUUGUAACCAACUUUUCUAACCUUUUUCGUACCCUUAACCUAAGUCCCGUUACAACUUUCUAAAGACCUCUUUAUCAGUGUAUCAUGUCGGUUUGUUUUAUAAUGGUGGAGAUUUGUUUUUUGUAGUGGCACGAUUGCCAGAACUUUACUUUCUAGCCUAUCGAUCCGAUCCAAUGAAAGAAGAACAAAGAGUCUUAAGAUCUGUCAACUUUAUUUCAUUUUCAUUUUCUUUGUCAUUUUCUAUGUUUCUUGUCAAAUACAAUGAAAAAAGAACAUAGAAAAAUGUUGCAUAUUUAUUUCCCAUUCAUCACUCUAACAGGCCCAAUUAGCCCAGGCCCAAACAUUAAUAAAAUGUCUAGAUUACAAAAUAAUCAACUAAAAAUUAAAAGCUCAAAAAAUAAAAUAAAACCCAUUAUAUUAACCCAAAACCCCAGCCCAAUUACAUUGAAACCCAAAAAAAAAAUAGUUUUCAGAAACCCCUAGGGUUUCAGAAGCCCCUCAAUGUUAUUUUGUAUAUCUAUUUAUCUUUUUAAAUUUUCGAUAUUGUCUUGUUUUGUUUUUGUAUUAUUGUUGUUACCAUCAUUAUUCAUUAUUAUUAUUGUUGAUUUUAUUGUUCUUUGAUUAAUGUUAAUGUUAGAGUAAUAGAUGUUAUGUGAUCAUUGUUAUUAUAUGUUAUAAUUUGUUUACACUCGUAUUGUAGUCAUUUGUCAGCUUAAUAUUUUGAGUAAUAUUUUAAAUAUUACAUUAAUUUCGACCCAAAUGCAUAAUUUUUUAAUAAGUAAUAUUUUAUAUUUUGAAAUUUGAGAGAUCAUUCCCUAACUUACGGGGUCUCAAUUUUUUCGAUAAAUCUGAAUAUACUAACUAUUUUCAAAAAAUAUGUUUUAAAAUUAUCUCGGGAAUUUAAAAAGGAGCGUGUUCUAACUUACUGAAUAUGAUCUUUUUUUUAAAAUCGAGAUAAUCAAAUAACUUUCAAAUAAAUAAAUUUUCAAUGUUUAUUCUCAUAUCAGGAUUUAAAAUAUUAUAUCCUAACUCACGGGAUACAAUUCUUUUUCUCGAUUAACAUGAAAUAUGCCCGUUUUAAUUUUAUUUUUUAAGUGAUUUUAACAAAAGGAUUGUAUUUUAAAUCUCUUCAAAAUUUUCAAUUUUUCGACAUUGAGACAUUAACUAAUCAAUUAGGUACCAAUUUUGGGCGUUACGAGGGUGCUAACCCUUCCUCAUACGUAACCGACUCCCGAACCUAUUUUUCUGAAUAUUGAAGGCCAAAAUUGUUUUAAUAAAUUAAACCCUUAAGACGUGACCCCAUCACACCUCAUAAAAAUUAUCGGUGGCGACUCUCGUUUGCGUUUUUGUUUUCGUUUUCAAAAUAAAAGUCGACCCCUUGUUUUAAAAAAGGUGGUUCGAUAGCUUGGCGACUCCGUUGGGGAAAAAAAUAAGAGAGUCAAGCCACGAGUUGAUUAUUUCUUAUUUUUUGUCAGAAAUUGUGAAUUCGAUUUAAAUUUACGAUCUUUUCAUUGCAUUUUAUGGUCUGCAUCAUUUUGAUAUGCUUGCUUUACUGGUUCGAGUCUUUUAAUCUCCGCAUAUUGCAUUGCAUAACCGUUCGGUUAUACCCUUUUAAGUGGGAGUGAGAAACUAUUCAUUUGUGAGAUUUUUACCUCCGUAUAGGAUAGUGGAUUACUUUCGGGAUACAUCCGUACCUAUGUCUUCGUGAGAUUUUCAUCUCCGUAUAGUUAUAGGGAAAUGUAUUCCCCUGAACUGAACUCAGUCCGUAUGAGCCUAUAAUAGGUAAGGAUUGAGGAAUCUGCUGGUUCAGGUACCCUUUCUUUAGAACUAAACUGCAUGUAGUGAGCCCUAAGAGCAUACCGUAGGUAGAACCACUCCAAACCCCUAGUGGUCACCCAAAUAGGUGCUCUAUUUAUUUUUGCUUGCUUAUUUUUGCAUUGUACUAACCUAUUUUUUUGUUAUGAUUGCAUUGCAUUUUCAUCAUAAAAAAGAUGUGUUGAUUCACGUUCAAUUGCUAAAUAGAGAGCUUGUCAUGGAAAACGGAUUUCUUGAUAAAGUGGAAGACAAUGUGGUUAUCCGGAUAUGGUCCAAGAAAAUUUGACGAAAGAAGGGUGAUAGUCUAAUGGAGGACUACACGACCUUGCUUUAUUGCCCGAGGAUUCAAGUUGACAAAGAUUAUUUGAGAGUCCUCAAUGUCCCGACCUUUUUCAAGAAGCUAACGAGUGUCACGAGGAUGAGUGAGUAAUGAGUUGCGGCCCGGAUCAAGCAAAAAAGAGAUAGAGGAGACACCCUUUUUGAAGAGUUCGCGAGAUUUAUAUUAAUAUCAAAAUGAAGAAAAAGAUCAAUGUCUUCGCCUGGAGUAUGAAAGCAAAGCUGUAUAUAUAUCCGCUUUAUGUAAAUAAAUUUGUUUUCUAGUAAAGUUUUUCUAAUAGAAUUGAAUCAGAAUCAAUGUCUUUUUUUGCAUUCAUUCCAUUCAUCUGCAUUGCAUUUCAUUGCAUCCAAAAUUUCACAAAAGGACCCUAAUUAAUUGAAAUUGUUAUAGUUACUCUGAAAACUAAUAAAAAUCUACCAAUUAAAUAUUCCUACGGUACCCGUCGCAAAACCAAAGUAAUGGAUCAAAUAUUAGAAAGAUUAGAACAAAUUCUGAAAGACAAGCAUAAUCGUUUUUGCUUAGGGUACAAGCCAGAUACAAGACAAAGAAGGAAGGAGUUAGAGAAGAAAUAGGAAAGAAUGACAGCAUAUUUGAGCGAGGAUGAGGUCAAAUGGGAGCCUAUGAACUUUCCCUACAUAUCCAAAACUUUUGUAUCGGGAGGGAUUAUUCAUCCCGAGCGAAGAAUGCCAAGAGAAGAAAAUAUUGAAGAAAUGUUGGGAAACGUUCACAUCAAUGCCAUAUACGAAGAAGUAGUUGAAGGAUGGACCUUGUUAGAUAUCCGACCUUAUGAACCUGGGAGUGUGCUAAACAAUUGGACUACAGAAGAAAUUCCUGUAGUGUUUAGACCUUACUCAGAGUAAUAUUCAAAACACACUUGUUGCUUUUAGCCUAGAAGUGAUAAGAAUCCCUCUGUGAAAUAGGCUCAUGUAUAAACAUCAUUAUUUUAAUAAAGUAAAUCUUUGCAUUCAUUUUGAGCAAAUAUUCUUUUAUUCUUUCCAUACGAGUAAUUAUUUUAGAUUUUUCAUUAUUUUAGGAUUUUCUUCCAAAAAUCAUUCUUUUAUUACAUUCAUAAUCAUACUGUACAAAUAAUUAUUCUUAAAUUCAUUCAUUCUUUGUAUAUUCUUUUGUACCUAUAAUAGGUCCCUAGAUAUCAACGACAUGAGUGACGCUGCUACAGACUUAGAAUUUCCUUUUAAACAAGACAUGUGUUUAGAGGGAUCCCAUGACUUUGAAGAUGACGUAGACUGUGGCUUAUCUCCGGACUUGUUAAGGAUGGUAAAACAAGAGGAGAAGCAAAUCCUACUUCACAAUGAAUCAAUGGAAAUUGUGAGCUUAGAAGGGGAAAAUAGGUGAAGAUUGGGACUGACAUUGCCACAAAUACGAAGUAAGACCUCAUUGAGUUACUCUAAGAAUUCAAAGAUAUUUUUGCAUGGUCAUACUAGGAUACGCUCGGGUUAAGUACUGACAUUGUAGUACACUGCCUUCCUAUAAAAGAAGAUUGCUAGCCAGUUCAGCAGAAACUCCAGAGGAUGAGGCCUGAUAUUGUGCUAAAAAUAAAAGAAGUCAAAAAGUAAUUUGAUGUUGGGUUCUUACAAGUGGUCAAAUAUUCAGAAUGGGUAGCCAACAUCGUCUCAGUUCCUAAAAAAAAUGGGAAAGUACGAAUGUGCAUGGAUUACAGAGACUUGAACAAGGCCAGUCGAAAAGACAAUUCCCUAUUGCCUCACGUUGACACUUUGGUGGAUAAUACAGUAGGCUACUCACUUUUUUCCUUCAUGGAUGGCUUCUCUGGAUACAAUCAGAUAAAGAUGCAUCCAAAAACAUGGGAAAGAUUACAUUCGUGACCCUGUAGGAAACGUUUUACUAUAAAGUGAUGACAUUCAGAUUAAAGAAUAUGGGAGCGACGUAUCAAAGGGUGAUGGUAACCUUGUUUCAUGACAUGAUUUACAAGGAAAUCGAGGUUUAUAUUGACGAUAUGAUUGCAAAAUCUAGAACAGAAGAGGAACAUGUGCAGGUCCUGAGAAAAUUAUUCUUAAGACUGAGAAAGUUCUAGCUCAAGCUUUCCAACGAAAUGCACUUUCGGAGCUAGGUCAGGAAAGCUAUUAGGCUUCAUAGUCAGUGAAAAAGGAAUCGAGAUCAACCCAGACAAAGUCAAGGUAAUAAGAGAUUUACCUCCACUAUGCACUCAGAAGAAAGUUCGAGGUUUCCUAGGAAGACUAAAUUACAUUGCUCGGUUUAUUUCACAACUAACCGAAAAAUGUGACCCCAUAUUUCAUCUUUUAAAGAAACAUAAUCCAGAUGUAUAGGAUGAAGAAUGUCAGGAAGUUUUUGAUAGGAUAAAGCAGUACCUAUCAAAUACUCUAGUGCUGUUACCACCUAGCCCAGAUAGGCCACUGAUAUUGUAUUUAACAGUGUUUGAUAAUUUUAUGGGAUGCAUGCUAGGCCAACAUGAUGAGACAGGAAGGAAAGAAAGGGUUAUAUACUAUCUCAGUAAGAAAUUCACUGAUUAUGAAAUAAGAUACUCGUCUAUUGAGAAAUUAUGUUGUGCCUUGAUCUGGAUAACUCGGAGGCUAAGGCGGUACAUGUUGUACCAUACGACUUGACUAAUUUCAAAGUUAGACCCUUUAAAGUAUAUGAUGGAGUCAACUACUUUGAAUGGGAGGAUGGCCAGAUGGCAGAUUUUACUUUUUGAAUUUGACAUACUUUAUGUGAGCCAGAAGGCUAUAAAAUGGAGUGCAAUAGCGGAUUUUCUAGCUAGCAGAGCCUUGGAGGAUUAUGAGCCUUUAAAUUUUGAUUUUUUGAACGAGGACUUAAUGUAUGUGGCAACCACUAAAGAAAAUGCUCAAGUGGAUCGCAUUUGGAAGCUAAAAUUUGACGGAGCCUCAAAUGCUAUGGGUAAUAAAAUUGAGGCAGUCUUAGUAUCCCCGAGCAGAGAUCAUUAUCCUAUUGCUGGCAAAUUGGAUUUUGAUUGUACAAACAAUAUAGCAGAAAAUGAAGCGUGUAUUAUGGGCAUCCGUAUAGCCAAAGAAUGUAAAAUCAAAGUGCUAAAGGUAUAUGGGGAUUCUGCAUUGGUGAUAUAUCAGCUCAAAGGAGGAUGAGAGAUAAGAGACCUCAAAUUGAUUAAUUAUCGAAAGUUUAUUCUCGAAUUGAUUGAUGAGUUUGAUGAUAUUACUUUCUCCUAUCUCCCACUAGAUGAAAACCAGAUGGCUGACACGUUGGCUACUCUAGCUUUCAUGAUCAAAGUAAACAAACUAGAAGACAUGAAGCCUAUCCAGAUGAGCAUUUAUGAGACUUUGGCUCAUUGCUACAGUAUCGAGGAAGAGGAAAAGGAUGAUCAUCCUUGGUACCAAGAUAUACUGCAAUAUGUAAAGAAUCACGAGUACCCUGAUCAGGCAACGAAGAAUGAUAAGAGGACAUUGAGAAGACUAGCCACUAACUAUGUCUUACAUGGAGAGAUUUUAUACAAAAAGGGAAAGGAUCGGGUACUACUAAGAUGCUGGAUGCUAUAAAAGCUUAGAAAAUCUUGGAGGAAGUCCAUGAAGGUAUCUGCAAAAUGCAUGCCAACGGUUUCACAAUAGUAAGACAGAUUAUGAGAUUCGGGUACUACUGGUCGACCAUGGAAGGAGAUUGCAUCAAUUAUGCCAAGAAGUGCCAUAAAUGUCAAAUUUAUAGAGACAAAAUACACGCACGUUCUUCACCUCUCAACGUUAUGACUUCUCUAUGGCCUUUCUCUAUGUGGGAUAUGGAUGUCAUCGGGCCAAUAUUGCCAAAGGCUUCUAAUAGGUAUCGUUUCAUCUUCAUGGUCAUUGGUUACUUCACUAAAUAGAUGGAAGCUGAUUCAUAUGCUAAUGUCACGAAGUCAGGAGUCAGCAAGUUCUUGAAAAGGGAGAUCAUAUGUUGAUAUAUAAUGCCUGAAAGAAUCAUAUCUGACAAUACAUUGAAUUCGAAAAAUAGCAAAAUAGCGGAGGUCUGCAAUCAAUUCAAGAUCAAACACCAUAAUUCGUCACCAUAUCGCCCAAAAAUGAACGGAGCAGUGGAGGCGGCCAACUAAAAUACCAAGAAAAUUGUGGGGAAAAUGUCUGAGACUUACAAAGAUUGGCAUGAAAAAUUACCAUUUGCCCUCUUUGUUUAUCGAACAUCAAUCAGGACUUUCGUCGGGGCAACGCCUUUCUCUCUAGUUUAUAAGAUGGAGGCAGUUUUACCCAUUAAAGUUGAAAUCCCUUCUCUCUGGGUAUUGGCUGAGCUAAAGUUGGAUGAAGCUGAAUAGAUCCAACCUCGAUAUGAUCAGUUGAACCUAAUAGAAAGAAAAAGGCUAAAAGUUAUUCACCACGGUCAGAUGUACCAAAAACGAAUGAUGCGAGCCUACAACAAAAAAGUUCAUCCCAAAGAAUUCUAUGAGGGGGACCUAGUGUUGAAAAAGAUUUUUCCUCUACAAAAGAAUUUUAGAGGAAAAUGGAUGCCAAAUUAGGAAAGACCUUAUGUUGUAAUAAAGGCCUUUUCUGGAGGAGCAUUGAUUUUGAGUGAGAUGGAUGGUAAAAAUUUUCCUAAUCUUGUAAACUCAGAUUCAUUCAAGAAAUACUUCACCUAAAGAAGGAGAAGGGACCAAUGUGAAAACCUGCAAAGGGCACUUUGAGUCUUAAAAAAAAGAGACCAAGGUGAAAACCGCAAAUGGUGUCUUAAGUCCUAAAAAAAAGAGGCCAAGGUGAAAACUAGCAAAGGGCGCCUUGAGACCAAAGGGGAUUUGAGUUGAAAACCCGAAAAGAGCGACUCAAAUAUUGAUUAAAAUGGGGCAUGCAGUGAUCUUGCUAUACUUGAAUUAAUAGGAAAGGGGUAUACGACAUCUUGGGGCAUCGACAAAGUACUAUAGAUCUCCUAAACACAUUUCAAACUCAAAAUGGUCUUUAGGAAGUUUGUACAGAGAAAUUCAAGCUGCGAUGUCUAGGGCACCUAGUCUUCAUACUAUUUAUAUUAAAUUUGCUAUUCUUGGAAUACUUUAUUCUUUUCAAGAUACGUGUUCCCAAUCAAUUCCCUUUUUAUUCUUCUUUAUCCUUGAUAAUUUAUUCAUUUCGAGCUAUGCUCCAAAUCAAUUCUAUUCUUAUCCAUUGUUAUUAUCUUUUGCAAGCAUGUUGUAUUGGAAUAAUGAUUAAUAGACUAAUAAUACUUUUACAAAUAAAGUGCUGUAUAUUACUCUAAAAGUUUCUAAAUAAUACAAGAACCUAAAACAGGACUAUUGUUUAGAACGCACCGGGUUUAAAGGUUAGAAAUAUCUGAGAAGGAAGAGUCCAAAUUAAGACUAUCCCUUCGAAUUUUGUUGUCAAAAUAUUGAUUGAACAAAACGACAAGAUAUCGUAUUGGUGAACAAACGAGCAAUGAUCACCAGGUAAUAAAAAGAGGUUAUUUUGGAAAAAAAAUUACAUUGGUACGACACCUUAGGAAUGGUGUAAGAGACCAAAGAGGUUCACAUCUUGUAUUCUUGAAUUGCAAUAGGAGAGGAUUGAGAAAGAGCUAGAUAUUAUACUCCUGAAUUAUAAUGGAAGGGAAAUGGUACAAAUUUUAUGUACCAAAAGUACAGUGGAUUGAACCUUGAAGAUUACAGUAGGGGAAAUCUGAUUAAGUAAAAUAUGAAGUGUUUCUUUGGAGAUACCAGUCGAACAAGAUGGCAUUAUGACGUGUCGGUGAUAGAGCCUUAAUGAAUAAUGAGCAAUAACAACUCAAGCAUUAAGGGAUCAUUUUCAUAACAUUCUGUAUUCAUUCAUACACAUCUAGUUAGGAGAUUUUGAUUCAUUCCGAUCAUAACAUCCAAAUCACUAGACAUAAAUAGGCCCAUGAAAUGGAUUCUACAGGUCAUGUUCCCCAUAGAACAGAUGGGUGAAACCACAAAUCCUAUACCGCUGAAGUUGCAGUGGGAUGGAUUGAAGUCAUUAUGGCGAGUCUUAUCUCCCUGAAGUUGCAAUGGAGCAUAUUAAAGCUAGUAAUCUUAUCUCCCUGAAGUUGCAGUAGAGCGGAUUGAAGUUACAAGUCUUAUCCCCCUAAAGUUACAGUGGAGCAGACUGAAGAUAGUGAAUCUUAUUUCCCUGAAGCUGCAGUGGAACAAAUUGAAGCUAUAAAUUGUAGAUUUUAUCUCUCUAAAGUUGCAAUAGAGAAGAUCAUAUCAAACUUUAUCUCCCUGAAGUUGUAGUGGAACAGGUUGAAAAUACCAAUCUUAUCUCCCUGAAGUUACAGUGGAGUAGACUGAAGAUAGCGAAUCUUAUUUCUCUGAAGUUGCAGUGGAACGGAUUGAAGCUAUAAAUUACAGAUCUUAUCUCUCAGAAGUUGCAGUAAAGCAGAUCAUAGAAAACCUUAUCUCCCUGAACUUGCAGUGGAGUAGGUUGAAGUUAUAAGUCUUAUCUCCCUAAAGUUGCAGUGGAGCAGACUGAAGAUAGCGAAUCUUAUUNNNNNNNNNNNNNNNNNNNNNNNNNNNNNNNNNNNNNNNNNNNNNNNNNNNNNNNNNNNNNNNNNNNNNNNNNNNNNNNNNNNNNNNNNNNNNNNNNNNNNNNNNNNNNNNNNNNNNNNNNNNNNNNNNNNNNNNNNNNNNNNNNNNNNNNNNNNNNNNNNNNNNNNNNNNNNNNNNNNNNNNNNNNNNNNNNNNNNNNNNNNNNNNNNNNNNNNNNNNNNNNNNNNNNNNNNNNNNNNNNNNNNNNNNNNNNNNNNNNNNNNNNNNNNNNNNNNNNNNNNNNNNNNNNNNNNNNNNNNNNNNNNNNNNNNNNNNNNNNNNNNNNNNNNNNNNNNNNNNNNNNNNNNNNNNNNNNNNNNNNNNNNNNNNNNNNNNNNNNNNNNNNNNNNNNNNNNNNNNNNNNNNNNNNNNNNNNNNNNNNNNNNNNNNNNNNNNNNNNNNNNNNNNNNNNNNNNNNNNNNNNNNNNNNNNNNNNNNNNNNNNNNNNNNNNNNNNNNNNNUCAAAGGAACAAAAUAUCACCUACAUCAUAAGGCACGAUCGCCAGAACUUUACUUUCUAGCCUGUCGAUCCGAUCCAAUCCAAUGAAAGAACACAAGGAGUCUUAAGAUCUGUCAACUUUAUUUCAUUUUCAUUUCUUUGUCAUUUUCUAUGUUUCAUGUCGAAUACAAUAAAGAGAACAUAGAAAAAUGUGGCCUAUUUAUUUCCCAAUCAUCAUGAAAUUACUUGCCAUUGACUUAGAUUUUCUCACCAAUUUCAAGCAAUCUGACAUGAUUUCUCAUCACAAUUAAUUGAAUUCAAGAUCUUUUUAGAUGACACAAACAUUUCAUUUUAACACAAACCAAUAUUUCGGUUAUACUUCAGUGCUUGACAAGCACUUUCACAUUUGUGGAUAAGAACUCUUAACAUUUUAGGAUCACAUUUAAUUCAAUUGCAUUUAAGACCUCAUGGUUUUAUUCUAUAAUUUCAGUCUUAUCAGCCUUUUCGGAAACAAUAAAACGUCGACAUUAAAUUUGUUGUUGAUGCAUUCAAUUUUUUGGGUCUUUGGAGUUAUGUGACUUUAGCAUUGACUGACUUUUUUAUAAUUUAAUAAUAAGGUAAAUAUAUUAAUUUUAAUAACAUCGACAUGUUUUUUAGUAGGGUCGAGCAAAACCCAAUUAAAAUCGAUGAUAUUGGCUUAGUUGACUCGGUCAAGUCCAUUAGAUUGAUAAAAUCAUUUUUAAAAUCAGUUAUAAUGGAUAAAGGUAAUUAAUUAUCGAGUAAUGAAAUACAUAAUCAAAUCAAUUGAUUUUGUUAGAAACUAAAAGAAAAAGGGCUAAGCUGAAAAUUGAUUGCCCUUUAUUAAAAUUAACGAAUCUGUCUUUUACGUAUUAGAUAAUAUGAACAUCGCAUAUAUAAUAAGAAAAUUACGUAUGAUUAUUUAUUAUCAUAAAAGGUUAGUUUAAAUUUAAAGUAAUCUAAUAUGUUUAUUGAACUUCAACUAUUAAAUAAAGUAUAAGCUAAAUAAGUAUAAAUAUUCUAGAAACCAUUUCUAACUGAUGAUAGGCUAAUUCGAUUAAUUUAUAAAAACUAGAUAGUAGGGUUAUAGUCCUCAAACUACACCUAAUUUAAUAACAUUUAUAUUUUUUUUAGCCUUAAACAUUUAUAGUUUUGUUAAUUUGGUCCUUACUCUUUAAAAUUACAUAAAAAAUUGCAAAAAAAUUAAAAAUUAAUUUUUAUCAUGAUUUAAUAACAUUUAUAUUUUUUUUUGUGGUUUGGUAACUUAUCAACUUGACUCUUACUUGUAACCAACUUUUCUAACCUUUUUCGUACCCUUAACCUAAGUCCCGUUACAAUUUCUAAAGACCUCUUGAUUGGUGUAUCAUCUCGAUUUGUUUUUAUAGUGGUGGAGAUUUGUUUUUUGUAGUGGGCAUGAUUGCCAGAACUUUACUUUCUAUCCUGUCGAUCCGAUCCAAUGAAAGAAUAACAAAGAGGUCUUAAGAUCUGUCAACUUUAUUUCAUUUUCAUUUUCUUUGUCAUUUUCUAUGUUUCUUGUCACAUACAAUGAAAGAAGAACAUAGAAAAAUGUUGCCUAUUUAUUUCCCAAUCAUCAUUCUAACAGGCCGAAUUAGCCCAGGCCCAAACAUUAAUAAAUGUCCAGAUUACAAAAUAACCAACCAAAAAUUAAAAGCCCAAAUAAUAAAAUAAAACCCAUUACAUUAACCCAAAACUCCAGCCCAAUUACAUUGAAGCCAAAAAAAUAGUUUUUAGAAACCCCUAGGGUUUCUGGAACAAUCCGCGCCGCUCCUCCAUCCGCUUCUCCACGCACGCUGCACCUUUCCACGUGCGCCUCCAGCUGGCAGUGUACCUCCAAUGCAACAAACAAAGCAACAAGCAGCAAAAGAAAUGGAAAAACAACAAAAAAAAAAGAAGGAGCAACAAUGUAUAACAGAUUGAUAACAAAUAAUAGAAAAAAUAGCAGUAAAUAGGAAAAAAAAUUAAAAAAUAAUGAGGGUAAUUUCAUUUUUUUCUCUGUUUUGGCUAUAAAGAGAGCCGGUCAAAAUCUCUAAAGGGGGAUUUAGAAUCAAUCAGAAAACAAGUAUUUUGUACCAACAAUUAGAGAAAAAAAAUACAAAAAUAGGGAUUGAAGGUUUUUUUUUUCUUUCGUUUCGAUUUAUUUAAAAUAGCAUAGAAAAUAAAAAGAAGGCUUACCUUGCGACGCCUUCAGAUCCUCUCGAAAAGGGGCUAAAAGGCCCUAUGUGGCACAGAUUUGACCACUGUUCACGGUGGAACCGCAGCGGAGGCGCAGAGGAUUGGCAUCAAUUUAGGCAGGGUUUGAAACCCUAGCAGAGAAAAAAUUAGGGUUGAUAGAUUUUUUUUAAAAAAAUGGCAAAAUGUUGUUUUUAAAAAAUUUUGUUUUAAAAAAAUUGUUGCUUUUAUAAAGGGUGUAAAACGGCGUCGUUUAGGGCAUGUUUCGAUGGCCCCAAAACGGCGCCUUAUAAGGCAACCCCCGACGACCCGACCUGCUCCAUGGGGGAUCCGCGUGGUUUUUGUUAAAUGGGUUAUGUCUAACCCUGGCCCUUCUACUUUUUAUACUUGUUUUAAUUUGAUCCUCUUUUUAUUUAUUUUUAUUUCUUUAAAUUAAGCCUGAUAAUUUUUUUCCAUUACAUUUUAAUCCUUAAUGAAACGGCGCGUUUUAGAGGAGAAGGGAAAAUUACCCUUCUAGUCCCUUCUUGUUAUUCGAGUGUUCAGAAGGGUCCUUUUUUGUUUAUUUUUUAUUUGCCCCAAAAUUUUGUUUUAAAGCUUAAUUUAGUCCUAUUUUGUUAUUUUAGCUAUUUUAUUAUUAGAUUAAUUAAUUUAAUAUUAUUAUUACUGCUAUUAUUUUACCCCUAUUAGUUAUAUAUUUAUUAUUAUAACUAUAUCAUUAAAUCAAUUAGUUUUUACAUUAUUAUUUCCAUUCUGUUUUUUAUUUACUUACUUAAAUACUUUAAAUGCAUUUAUUUUAUUUCUUAUUUUUUUAUGAAAUUUCAAAACUUUAGACUAUUUUUUUGUUACUAUAACCCUAAUUUCAUUCAUUUUAUAAUAGUUUUUUUUUAAAAUAUUUCUUAGAUUAAUUCCCUCGAUGUUAUUUUGUAUAUUUAUUUAUCUUUUUAAAUUUUCGAUAUUGUCUUAUUGUAUUAUUGUUGUUACUAUCAUUAUUCAUUAUUAUUGUUGAUUUUAUUCUUCUUUGAUUAAUGUUUAUGUUAGAGUAAUAGGUGUUAUGUGAUCAUUGUUAUUAUAUGUUAUAAUUUGUUGACACUCGUAUUGUAGUCAUUCGUCAGCUUAAUAUUUGAGUAACAUUUUAAAUAUUACAUUAAUUUUGACCCAAAUGCAUAAUUUUUUAAUAAGUAAUAUUUCGUAUUGUGGAAUUUGAGAGAUCAUUCCCUAACUUACGGGGUCUCGAUUUUUUUGAUAAAUCUGAAUAUAAGAACUAUUUUAAAAAAAUACGUUUUAAAAUUAUCUCGGGAAUUUAAAAAGAAGCGUGUUCUAACUUACGGAAUAUGAUCUUUUUUAAAAAUCGAGAUAAUCAAAUAUCUUUCAAAUAAAUAAACUUUUCGUGUUUAUUCUCGUUUUAGGAUUUAAGAUAUUGUGUCCUAACUCACGGGACACAAUUCUUUUUCUCGAUUAACGUGAAAUACGCCCUUUUUAAUUUUAUCUUUUUAAGUGAUUUUAACAAAAGGAUUGUAUUUUAAAUCUCUUCAAAAUUUUCAAUUUUUCGACAUUGAGACAUUAACUAAUCAAUUAGGUACCAAUUUUGGGCGUUACAAGGGUGUUAACCCUUCCUUGUACAUAACCGACUCCCGAACCUAUUUUUCUGAAUAUUAUAGGCCAAAAUUGUUUUAAUAAAUUAAACCCUUAAGAGGUGACUCGAUCACAGCUCAUAAAAAUUAUCGGUGGCGACCCUUGUUUUAAAAAAGGUGGUUUCAACAGCUUGGCGACUCCGCUGGGGACAAAAAUAAGAGUCAAGCCGCGAGUUGAUUAUUUCUUAUCUUUUUGUCAGAAAUUGUGAAUUCGAUUUAAAUUUAUGAUCUUUUCAUUGCAUUUUAUGGUCUGCAUCAUUUUUAUAUGCUUGCUUUACUACUUCGAGUCUUUUAAUCUUCGCAUAUUGUAUUGCAUAACCGUUCGGUUAUACCCUUUUAAGCGGGAGUGAGAAAUUAUUCUUUCGUGAGGUUUUCACCUUCGUAUAGGAUAGUGGAUUACUUUCAGGAUACAUCCAUACCUAUGUCUUCGUGAGAUUCUCAUCUCCGUAUAGUCAUAGGGAAAUGUAUUCCCCUGAACUGAACUCAGUCCGUAUGAGCCUAUAAUGGGUGAGGAUUGAGGAAUCUGCUGGUUCAGGUACCCUUUCUUUAGAACUAAACCGCAUGUAGUGAGCCCUAAGAGCAUACCCUAGGUAGAACCACUCCAAACCCCUAGUGGUCACCCAAAUAGGUGCUCUAUUUAUUUUUGCUUGCUUGUUUUUGCCUUGUACUAACCUAUUUGUUAUGGUUAUGAGUGCAUUGCAUUUUUAUCAUAAAAAAGAUGUGUUGAUUCACGUUCAGUUGCUAAAUAGAGAGCUUGUCAUGGAAAACGAAUUUCUUGAUAAAGUGGAAGACAAUGCGGUUGUCCGGAUAUGGUCCAAGAAAAUGUGAAGAAAGAAGGGUGAUAGUCUAAUGGAGGACUACACGACCUUGCUUCGUUGCCUGAUGAUUCAAGUUGACAAAGAUUAUUCGAGAGUCUUCAAUGUCCCGACCUUUUUAAAGAAGCUAACGAGCGUCACGAGGAUGAGCGAGUAAUGAGUUGCGGCCCGGAUCAAGCAAAAAAAAGAUAGAGGAGACACCCUUUUUGAAGAGUUCACGAGAUUUAUCUUAACAUCUAGACGAAGAAAAAGAUCAAUCUCUUUGCCUAGAGUAUGAGGGCAAAGCCGUAUAUAUAUCCGCUUUAUGUAAAUAAAUUUGUUUUCUAGUAAAGUUUUUCUAAUAGAAUUGAAUCAGAAUCAACGUCUCUUUUUGCAUUCAUUCCAUUCAUCUGCAUUGCAUUUCAUUGCAUCUAGAAUUUCACAAAAGGACCCUAAUUAAUCGAAAUUGUUAUAGCUACCUUGAAAAACUAACGAAAAUUUACCAAUUAAAUAUUCCUAUGGUACCCAUUGCAAAACUAAAGUAAUGGAUCAAAUAUUAGAAAGAUUAGAACAAAUGCUGAAGGAUAAACAUAACUGCUUUGGCUUAGGGUACAAGCCAGAUACAAGACAAAGAAGAAAUAGGAAAGGAGAACACGUUUGAGCGGGGAUGAGGUCAAAUGGGAGGGAUUAUUCAUCCCAGGCGAAGAAUGCCAAGAGAAGAAAAUAUUGAAAACAUGUUGGGAAACGUUCACAUCAAUGCCAUAUACGAAGAAGCAAUUGAAGGAGUGACCUUGUUAGAUAUCCGCCCUUAUGAACCUAAGAGUGUGCUAAACAAUUGGACUGCAGAAGAAAUUCUUGUAGUGUUUAGAGCUUACUCAUAGUAAUGUUCAGAACACACUUGUUGCUUUUAGCCUAGAAGUGAUAAGAAUCCCUCUGUGAAAUAGGCUCAUGUAUAAAAAUCAUUAUUUUAAUGAAGUACAUCUUUGCAUUCAUUUUGAGCAAAUAUUCUUUUAUUCUUUUCAUACGAGUAAUUAUUUUGGAUUCUUUAAUUCUUUUGGGAUUUUCUUCCAAAAUCAUUCUUUUAUUACAUCCAUAAUCAUACUGUACAAAUAAUGUAAUAGCCUGAAUUUUCAGUGGUGUCGGAAUGGUGAUUCAAGAUCACUAAGUCUGACAAAUGAGUAGAAAAUAUUAUUAAUUUAGUAAGAAUAAGUAAAUGUGAAGUUAGGAAAAUUUUUGAAAUAGUGAAUAGUGUACUAGGAAUAAAUAUUAAAAUAAUUAAAAUAAAAAAUGAGGUAUCGAGACCUCGAAGAUUUUAAACCAAGCCAUAAGUACUUUUAGAAGUAUUUUUAGAGUGUCAUUGAGUUGGUAUUAAAGUUUCGUUAGAAAAUUUUAACGCUCGGAUAGUUAAUUAACCAAAAAGGACUAAAUUGAAAAUAGUGUAAAAUUUGUUAAAUUGUGAUUAAAUAGCUUAAGUGAUUAAAAAGGAGGGAUUUAAAAGGCAAUUAGGCCCAAAUUAUAUGGGCUGGACGGUUGGGUAAGAAAAAUCAGCAGAAUGUAAGGAGAAAACAGGGGCAAAAUUGGAAACUUAACAAAUUAAACAUAUAAAACAAAGACAAAAGUGAAAAAUCUAGAGAUCUGUUCACAAUUUAUCAGCAAAAAUGCCAUAGGAGGUCUGAAAGAAGCUGGUUUUUCAUAUAUUUGAAUCAUGUAAGUUUAAUUCUUGAUUAUUUCUUCUAAUUUUUGUGAUUUUGAUACUUUUACAAUUAGGUCCAACUAAUUAUUUCAUUAGUUUUUGAUUUCAUGGCUGAUUUUGAAAGUUACCAUUGAUGAGUGUUGGAUUUUUAUGAUGAAUAAACAUGGAAUUAAAGCUUUAAUUUUGUUAUAUGAUGAUUUUAUUAAGUAAUUUUGAUAGAAAUUGAUUUUUGGGACCUAAUUGUGAAAAAGUUUGGAAUUAGGGUUUGGUGUUGCGGUUUUGAAUAUGAAAGGCUAUGUAGUAGUCUAAAAUAGUUGGAAAAGGUGUUAAUUGAGAAAAAUUAGAUCAAUUGAGGGGUUAAUUGAGUAGGACCAAAUUGUAAAAACUGUAAAGUUUGAGGUAAAAGUGUAAUUUCGAAAAUUUAAGGGCAUAAAUUGUGAAGUGAAUUAGAAUAGAAUUAUAUGCUGAUGAAUGAAUAAAUUUGUAUUUUAGAUCGAGAACCCGAAGCAAGCCGAGGAAAAGAAAAAGUAGUUGAUUAGUCCCUGAACUUUUACAAAUUCUGCAAAUCGACCCAGGUAAGUUCAUAUGGCUGAAAUUUAAUGAUUAAAUGUUAAUUUCAUGAAUUAUGUAAUGUAUGAUGAAAUGUAUUUAGUGUUGAAAUGAGAGUAAAAUAAAAAUGCGAAAAUCGAAUAAAUGAUCAAAUUAAGCGGAACGCCGGAUUUGAGUACUUCUGAUCAAGAGACAAAGUGAUAAGUGGUAGCUUUAGCUACACUUAUCUGAUCAAGUGAAAAAGUGAUAAGUGCUACACUUAUCUGAUCAAGAGACAAAGUGAUAAGUGGUAGCUUUAGCUCACUUAUCUGAUCAAGUGAAAAAGUGAUAAGUGCUAUACUUAUCUGAUCAAGUGACAAAGUGAUAAGUGGUAGCUUAGCUACACUUAUCUGAUCAGGGCCAAAUGAUAAGUGAUCAUACGUAAGACCAUAGUUAUACUAUGGCCAAGUGAAAGUGAAGUACUCAAUUUUCCGUAACCGUUCCUUAAUUUUGAUCAAGGAUGGUAAGUGACAAAUAGGCCCAAAGAAAUUAUGGUAAAAGAAUAAGUAGUAGUGAGUUUAUACCAAGGAACUCUCCAAAGAUUGUGGUUGACAAGUAAACUUAGUAAUGGUGUAUAUUGUAUAAGUGUACAAAUGUUUGGUAAGAUUUAUGUUUGUGCCUAUGAACUUACUAAGCUUUUCUAUAAGCUUACAUGUGUGUGUUUAUUGUUUUUCUAGAUUAACGUAUUUAUACAUUCGGAGGAUCGGAUCUACUUCGAGAAUCACACUAUCCAGAUAUACUCCGGUAGAUUUUGUUAAACAACUUUUUGGAUUUAUAUGGCAUGUACAGAGAAUUGAAGUAAAAAGUAAUAGAAUGAAUGACUGAGUAUGCAAAGUAAAUUUGAAUGUGAUGGUUGUGUUAGAUAUUGAAAAAUACAUGUUUUUAGUUUGAAAUGGUUGAUUGGCUGAACUUCGUUAGUAUUCAAGUGAAGUAGUUGAAAUACUGGAAUUGGUUGUGAUUUGAAAUUUGCAGGGAAGGUUAGAUAAAUAUAAAGGGGUUAUAUUGAUUUUUUUUUUAAAUUUCAAUGGAAUAAUUUUUGGACAGCAGCAUUGAUGUAACUUUUAAAAAUCACCAAAAAUAGUGGAAAUAGAAUUAGAAGUUGAAUGAGAUAUGAAAUUAAAUCUGAAUGAGUCUAAUUUCACAUGAAAGAAGUAGAAUAAGAAAAAGAGUUAUAUAUUUUUAGAUAUUUGAAUUUUAGUGAAACAGGGCAAGAAUGUUUUUGAAGUCCCCUGUUCUGACUUUAGAAAUUUAGUAAAAAUUGUACAAAAGGAAUUAUGAAUUAUAAUUUAUAUGUUUAAAUUCCGUAAUGAGUAUAUUUUAAGUAGAAAUAAUUGGAACCACCAUAUGAAGUCUUUGCAAUGAGAUAAUUGAAUUUUAGUGACAAGAGGUCAGGAUAGUCAAUUAGUGAAAUAGGGGAGACUUCAACUAAUAAACUGUAUUAAUUUGCUAAACCAAAAAUUCUGAAAAAUUUAUGGUGAAUAUACAUAUGAGUCUAGUUUGAGGGAAAAUUUACGGAUCUAAAUUUUUAGUUUCGUAUCUUGAGUUAUAAUUAUUUUAGUGACUACUGCGCAUGUGGACAGCUUUGUUGUGAAUGGUGAAAUUAAUUUUUAAAGUAAAUUUUUAUGCCCCGAACUUUUAAGUUCAGUCAAGUAACGCCUUAUGCUCGACUCCGGCAACCGUCUUGGGUAAGGGGUGUUAUAAAUAAUUAUUCUUAAAUUCAUACAUUCUUUGUAUAUUAUUUUGUACCUACAAUAGGUCCCUAGAUAUUAACAACAUGAGUGACGUUGCUACAGACUCAGAAUUUCCUUUUAAACAAGACAUGUGUUUAGAGGGAUCCCAUGGCUUUGAAGAUGACGUAGACUGUGGCUUAUCUCUGAAUUUGUUAAGGAUGGUAAAACAAGAGGAGAAGCAAAUCCUACCUCACAAGGAAUCAAUGGAAAUUGUGAGCUUAGAAGGGGGAAAAGAGGUGAAGAUUGAGACUAACAUUGCCACAAAGACAAAGCAUGACCUCGUUGAGUUACUCCAAGAAUUUAAAGAUGUCUUCGCAUGGUCAUACCAGGAUACUCCCGGGUUAAGUACUGGCAUUGUAGUACACUACCUUCUUAUAAAAGAAGAUUGCAAGCCAGUUUAGCAGAAACUCUGAAGGAUGAGGCCUGAUAUUGUGCUAAAAAUAAAAGAAGAAGUUAAAAAGCAAUUUGAUGUUGGGUUCUUACAAGUGGUUAAAUAUUCAGAAUGAGUAGCCAACAUCGUCUCAGUCUCUAAAAAAGAUGGGAAAGUACGAAUGUGCAUAGAUUACAGAGACAUGAACAAGGCCAGCCAAAAAGAAAAUUUCCCAUUGCCUCACAUUGACACUUUGGUGGAUAAUACAGUAGGCUACUCACUGUUUUCCUUCAUGGACGACUUCUCUGGAUACAACCAGAUAAAGAUGCAUCCCAAAAACAUGGGAAAGACUACAUUCGUGACCCUAUGGGGAAUGUUUUGCUAUAAAAUGAUGUCAUUCGGAUUAAAGAAUGUGGGAGCGACGUAUCAAAGGGAAUGGUAACCUUGUUUCAUGACAUGAUGUACAAGUAAAUCGAGGUUUAUGUUGACGAUAUGAUUGCAAAAUCCAGAACAGAAGAGGAACAUGUGUAGGCCCUAAGAAAAUUAUUCUUAAGACUGAGAAAGUUCCAGCUCAAGCUUUCCAACGAAAUGCACAUUCAGAGCUAGGUUAGGAAAGCUGUUAGGCUUCACAGUUAGUGAAAAAGGAAUCGAGAUCAACCCAGAUAAAGUCAAUGCGAUACGAGAUUUACCUCUACCAUGCACUCAGAAGGAAGCUCGAGGUUUCCUAGGAAGACUGAAUUACAUUGCUCGAUACAUUUCACAACUAACCGAAAAAUGUGACACCAUAUUAAAAUAAAAAUAGAUUAAAUUGUAAGUAAAACAUAAUUUAAACAUAUGAAUACAUCAAAUUAAUAAUACUAAAUGAAUACAGUUAUUUAUGAUGAUGUUGUUGCCAAUUCCUAAUUUGGUGUCUAGUUAAUUUGUGACAUCAUAAAUUUAAGUGAUAAAUUUAAGGUUUUAUGUAUUGAUGUGGAUUCAAAUAUCACCAUAAUUUUUGUAAAUAAAAAACUAAUAAGAUAACUUAUAUUAAGUACGAAAGGGUAUUUUUAUAAUUUCUCUAAUCGAGUUGGUGCCCGGUUGACUCAUGACACUAACUCAAUCAGAAGCUUUAAUAAUAAUAUAGAUAUUCAUGUUAAAAAAACAAAAAAAAAGUACUUUAGUUCCAAAUAAUUAUAUAACAAGUAAAUUUAUAAUUGAUGAAUAAAUUUAUAAAUAAUAUAUUUAUAUGAUCUAAUAUAUUAUAUUUAUAUUAAUUAUAUAUCAUCUACAAACUUUGAAGAUCAAUUUAUUAAGUAAAAAUGAAAUUGUUAACACUAAAUCAAUUUUUAGAUUUUGUAUAGAUGAUUUAGUGAUGAUAAAAACAUUAUUAACACUAUUUUUUAAUUAACAAAAAAUUAGUGAUAUAUUUAAAUUAUAUUUAUCAUUUAUUAUUUUUAAUAAUAUUUUUUAAUUAUAUGAAGUAAAAUUAUAUUGUAUACUAAAUAUGGUACAUAUACUCUAAUUAUAACUUGAAAUUUUAUUAUAUAAAUUAAUAUAAAUUUGAAUAACAAAAUAAAAAAAAACUAAUUAGAAUAAUUUUAAAAAACAUUAUUUAAAAGUAGUUAAAAAUCACGUGCAACAGGUGAGAUCAAUGGUCUUUAGAGAAGAAAUGUUGAAGAUCAAAGUUGGAAUCUGGCCUAUAAGGCCUUUAAUUGCUUUAAUAUUAAGCAGUUCCAAACCAAGAAGAUUACCGAUUUCCUCAGGAAUUUGACCUGCACACAUGGUCGAAAAAUCAAUGUGUCAAACUACCUAUUUUGUUAGCAUAAGUCAAAGAGGUUUUCUUUUCUAUUCUACAUAAUUUGCAGAUGUUAGAUUUUAAUAUUUUUAAGCAUAUUUGUUUUCAUCAAAUUAACUAUUUUGAACUAUUUUGCCUUGAAUGAAAUAAAAUGCUCUUACUUUUGUUAUCUAUUACUAAUCAAACUCUUUUAUAAAAAAAAUACUUUAAACUAAAGAAACCAAGAAAAUUCAAUACCUUCUAGGUUAUUCAACCCCAAAUAUAAUUCUUUGAGUCGUGUCGGAUUUCCAAUACUUCUUGGAAUGAUCCCCAUCAAUUGAUUAUAGGAAAAUGACAAAAUUUUAAGGUUGUUGCAUUUGCUUAUACUUGACGGAAUGUUACCAUAUAAUUCAUUCCGACUCAAGUAAAGCCCUUCAAGCUUGGAAAGAUGUGACACAUAUCAUUAGGCAAGCUACCUGAUAGGCUAUUGUUGGAGAGAUCAAUGGCCUUCAGAGAAGAAAUGUUGAAGAUCGAAGUUGGAAUCUGACCUGUAAGGCCUUUAAUUGCUUUAAUAUUAAGCAGUUCCAAACCAAGAAGAUUACCGAUUUCCUCAAGAAUUUGACCUGCACACAUGGUCGAAAAAUCAAUGUGUCAAACUACCUAUUUUGUUAGCAUAAGUCAAAGAGGUUUUCUUUUCUGUUCUAUAGUAAUUUGGUGAUGUUAGAUUUUAAUAUAAUUCAGCACAUGUUUUUCAUCAAAUGAAAUAAAAAGUUUUUCCUUUUGUUAUCUAUUACAAAUCAAGCUCUUUUAUUAAAAAAAUACUUUAAAUUCAAGAAAUCAAGGAAAUUAAUUACCUUCUAAAUUAUUAAACCCCAAAUAUAAUUCCUGGAGUCGUGUUAGAUUUCCAAUACUUCUUGGAAUGAUCCCCAUAAAUUGAUUAUGGGGCAACAACAAAUUUUUAAGGAUGUUUCAUUUGCCUAUGCUUGACGGAAUGUUACCAGAUAACUCAUUGCUAUGCAAGUGAAGCCCUUCAAGCUCGGGAAGAUGUUGACACAUAUCAUUAGGCAAACUACCUAAUAGGCUAUUCCUGGAGAGAGCAAUAGUCUUGAGAGAAAAAUGUUGAAGAUCGAAGUCGGAAUCUGAUCUGUAAGGCCUUUAAUUGCUUGAAUAUUAAGCAUUUCCAAACUAAAAAGAUUACCGAUUUCUUCAGGAAUUUGACCUGCAGACAUAGUCGAAACAUCAAGGUGUUAAAUUUCCUAUUUUGUUAGUGUAAAUCAAAGAGGCUUUUUAUUUUUUUUCGUUAUGAAAUAAUAUGGAUAUGUUCGAUUCUAAUCAUAUUUAAGUAUAUAUUAGUUCUUGAAAGAAUGAGUUCUUAUUUUUGGUAUUUAUAUUGCAAAUAUAUAUUUUUUUAAAUUUAAAAGAAGGGAGGGGGCAAAUGUGUUUAAACUAAAGACAUCAAGGAAAAGGCAUACCAAGUAUAAUUGUUUAAGUUGUGUCAAAUUCCCAAUGCUUUUUGGAAUGAUCCCACUAAAUUGAUUAAUAGACAAUUCCAAAAUUUGAAGGUUGCAGCAUUUGUCUAUACUUGAUGGAAUAGAACUUGAUAAUUCAUUUCUACUCAAGUAAAGCUCUUUCAGCUUGGGAAGAUGGACACACAAAUCAUCGGGCAAGCCACCAGAAAGACUAUUAUCACAAAAAUGAAUCCUUUUCAAAGAAGAAAUGUUAAAGAUGGAAGAUGGAACCUGGCCAGAUAAUUGAUUGAAUCCCAAGUUCAAGAUCUCUAGAUUGGACAAGUUGACAAGUGUUUGAGGGAUCGUGCCUGUGAAGUUAUUAUUUCUCAUUUCCAACCUUUGAACUCUGUGCAAGUUCCCAAGCCAUGGUGGAAUUUCCCCAUUAAGACGGUUGUAGCUUAAUCGAAUGAUCCUCAAACGAUGCAAUUGGCCUAAUUCUUUAGCCAGAUGGCCGUAGAAAUUGUUGUUGCUCAAGUCGAUAGAAAAUAGAAAUGAAAGAUUUCCAAGGUGUGGAGGGAUAGUACCCCUAAGAUUCAUGUUUGUAAGAUUAAUCAAAGCUACAACUCUUUCAUGGAUGAUGCCACAAGAAACACCAACCCACUUACAGACAGAGGUAGAGUUCGUCCAAUUGUUUGCCAACACAUUUUGAGGAUCGACAAUGCGAUCUUUAAACUCAAAGAGUGCAAACUGAUCGGAGUUGAGAUUCCGGACUGUCAUAGCCAAGGAAACAAUAGAACAUUGUAUGAAUAAAAGUGAAAGAAGAUGAAAGCAAGUGUUGUAGUUCAUGAUGGCAAGACGAAAUAAGCCAGGAAAAGGGAAGUUGAAUUGAUGAAGAAAUAGCCAGCCAACAUGCUUAAAUAGGCUUCAACCCUUGCACACUUCUCAUACAUAAAGUUCGCUGCCAUUACAACAAGAAAACUCAUAUCUCCAUUCGUACCUAUCCAUACUUUAUUUGACUAACUUUUCCCUAACAAGUGUUCAGUAAGGAGAUAAAUCAGUUUGGAGCUAUUCACCGGCUUCUCCAAUCUUGGUUUCAAACUCCUAACCCAUCAAUUCACUUUAAUUGAAACGAUAUACACGAGUCUUUCGGCUUAUAUUUUUAAUUUAAUUUUUGUUACUUUUCAUAAUAUUUUUUGAGAAAUCCAAAUAUUCCAGUCUGAAAUUUCUUCAUUGCCACGUCUAUCUCCUGGGUAAGUCCGUGGUUAGGCAGCCCACUUUGGGAGCAGGAUUGUAAUUGUAAUUCUAUCCGACUCAUUUUACUAUUUAGAAAUAUAAAAGUAAUAUUAUAUUAUUUUUUAUAUUUUUAUAAAUUUAAUUUUAAUUAUAAUUUUUAAACAAUAAAACGAGUCAUUUGUAUUUGCCUAGUCUAAAUUGAAUCAGGAGUCAAAAAAAUUUUAAUCAUAAUUUACUAUUAUUUUAAUUAAUUAAAAUUUAACCUACUACAACUAGUAGUUGCAGAAAAAAUGUCAUUCCUUUAGAAAAACGAAAAUCCUUUAGAAAAAUGAGAACUUAUGAAGCAUUCAAUAAGAGUCAUUGGAAUAAAUGGUAACGAAAUCAUAAUUCAAUAUAAAGCUAAAAAAUGUACCAAUCUAUAUAAAUAAUGUAAGAUUUGUGAUACCUAAAUUAUUAUAUUUUCCAUAAAUAUAUGAAGAUAUUUUAUUAGGAAAUAAUUUUAUAUAUAAAAUUUUUUAUUUUCUUUUGAUAGAAAUUUAAUUAUGUUAUCUGUAGAAAAAAAUAUUUAUAGAAAUAUUAUUAGUAGAAAAUCAUAAAUUUGUGUGUGGCAAAAAAAAUUCACCACCAAGAAAGGGGCAAAUUAAACAACUUGAAACAAGUCAUUGGUUGUUUAAAAUAUUAGAUAAUAAUUUCAGUGAAGAAUCAUUAAAAUUAUGACAAAAUAACCCUAGAUAUUGUAGUAUUAAAUUGGAAAAUCUCAAUAAUAUUAUUAGAGUAAAACCUAUGAUCUAUCUAAACAAGAUAUAGAAGAUUUUGAUAUACAAAUUAAGGUUAGAAAUCAUGCGGAAAUAAAAAAGAAAAAAAAGCUAGUAUGGUCAUUAAUUAUAAAAGAUUAAAUCAAAAUAUUAUUUUUUUAUAGUUACUUGAAUUAAUCAGGCUAAACAAACAAAAUAUUUUAGUAAAUUUGACUGCAAAUCAGGAUUCUAGCAAAUCAUGAUAACAGAAAAGUCCAAACCUUUAACGGCUUUUAGUGCACCCAAUGGACAUUACCAAUGGAAAGUGAUGUCAUUUCAAUUAUGUGAUGCACCACAAAUCUUCCAAAGACGAAUGGAUUUUAUAUUUAAUAAAUAUAAAAAAAUUCUAUGUAGUCUACAUAGAUGAUAUUUUUUAUAUUUUUAGAUACACUAGAAUUACAUAAGAAACAUUUAAAUAUUAUUUCUUAAGAAUUCAUAAAAUAUAGAAUCAUAUUAAACCCUAAAAAUAUAGAGUUAGAAAAAAGAGAGAGAAUUUUUAUAAUAGUGGAAAUAAAAAAUUGUCCUCAAAAGAUUGAAGAAAAAAAGAACUUCCAACAAUUUCUAAUAUAUUCCUCCCAAAUUUUCAGUUUCAAUUUUAUUACAGAAUUUCUUUGCCGACAAUAAGAAAUUAAGAGCGCUCUUUAAGUUGAAUAUAGUCCGUCAGAUAUGGCUAUCUAUAACAUGGAACCUUUGGUUUUCAAGCUGAAUAGGAGAAUUGAUUCACUUGAUAAGUAUGAAAAAUUGAAACUGCUAAAUUUAAGUGCACUAACUCUGGAUAUCAUCAUUAUUUUUCUGUACAUUAAAGUACCUGUUUGAUAUGCGAUUUCUGCCUCAAACUAUCAACAUCUUUAACAUCCUUUUGCUAUAGUUAGCAUGGGUACUUCCUUUUAGAUUAACAGUUAGGUUUGAACUGUGAAUUAGAUUUCUGUGGCUGCUGGGAUUGAAGAAGUUAGUAUGCGAAUGACAUUGGACAAAUUUGGCAAAGUCUUCUCCAUCAGUGAAGAAAACCCCUUGGCGUAUGAAAAAUGUUCACCAUCUUAGACAUUUGUUUUCUUAUUGUAAGAAUAUUUUUAACAUUGUAACUUUUAACAUUAUUGUAAGAAUAUUUUGAAUUAUACUUCAGUUAUCAAUUUAUAUCAUAUAUCUUUUGUUGAAUUUGAAGUAUAAUUUAUAUUUGCUGUUUUUGGUUAGAUUUCAUGCUAUAGGAAGGGUUGUAUAUGGAUAGAAAUUGAAUGUUACAAAUCUGCCAAAGUUAGUGGCGUUUUUUCAUAAGAGCUGCUAAAGAAUGCUAUUUUUGGCGGUGUUUGUAAUAAAAGAGCCGCUAAAGGUCAUGUUCUUUAGCGAUGUUUGUGGGUAAAGCGCCGCUAAAGAUCAUGUUCUGUAGCUGUGUUUGUGGAUAAAGCGCCGCUAAAGAACAUGACCUUUAGCAGCGUAUUUUCACAUAAACGCCGCAAAAUUUAGCGGCUUUGUCUAUAGCGACUUUUUUUGCAGCGCUUUAAGUUUUAGCGGCGCUUUUAGGCCUAAAAAAGGGCCGCUAAAAGCCUGUUUUGCUGUAGUGAGCAUAUUUACAUUUUCGUCCCAAUUUCAACUAACACCCCAUCUAUUUCCCACUUCCCUUUUUCGGGCAAUUUCAACUAACACCUUCAUAUCAAACAUAACUAUUUUUCAAUUUUUCUUCUUUAUUUCAUUAAUAAAAUUAUCAAUCUAUUUGUUUUUAAAUAUAUAAUUUCAUUAAUAUUUUUUAAAUUAUAAUAUAAGAGUUGUUGUUUAUUUAUAGUUUUAUUACAUUAUUUACUCUCUCUUUUCUAUCAAGUUUUUUAAAUUAUAAUAUAAGAUUUAUUUUAUCAAUUUGUGGCUUAUCCAGUAUUCAUCUAUUUUAAUAAUAACUUGAGUUCCAGUCAUUAUCAUACCAGAAAGAGUUCCAUUUAUUCUUUAUCGUAAAUUUUAUAAAAAAAUAUACAUUUUAUUAUAAUACUAUAUGUGUUACGAAUAAUAUUUUAUUGUGGAUGCCCAUAAUUUUCAAAGUUGUAACCUCUAAUGUAGUAACCUUAAUGAAAUUAUGAGGCUUUUAUAUUGUAAUCAAGCCUCUAUUUAUUCUUUGUAACUUAAACAGAAGCAUAUUUUCUAUUAUAUUGAUAUUUUUUAUAGAUAUAUAUAUAUAUAUAAGGAAUCAAAUAAAAAGUUAUUUACCUUUCUAUUAUAUUGAUAUUUUCUAUUUGAUUUGUUCUUUUCUUUCACUAUUCCAUAAUAUAUUAUCAGUACGAUUUUAACCAAGAGUAACAUGUUAUUAGAUUGUGUCAAAAUUUUGUUGAGAAUCAUUAGAUUGUUUCCUUUUUCUUCUAUUUAGCCCCAAAUUGCACCCCUACACAAAAUUCAACAAAAACAUGGAAAAAUUAGUGGUGCACUCUCAUAAAUUAACCAAUUUAAUUACAUAAAAUAUGUAACUUUAGCAUUUUAUCAAUCAUGUUCUUUAGCGGCAUUUGUGGGUAAAGCGCCGCUAAAGGUCAUAUUCUUUAGCAGCGUUUGUGAUAAAAGUGCCACUAAAUAUCAUGUUCUUUAGCGGCGUUUGUGGAUAAAGCGCCGCUAAAGAACAUGACGUUUAGCAGCAUUUUUUUACAUAAACGUUGUAAAAUUUAGCGGCGUUGUCUAUAGCGACGUUUUUUGCGGUGCUUUCAAAUAGUUUUAGCGGCGCUUGUAGGCCUAAAAAAAUGCCGCUAAAAGUCUGUUUUGCUGUAUGAGCAUAUUUACAUUUUCGUCCCAAUUUCAACUAACACCCCAUCUAUUUCCCACUUCCCUUUUUCAGCCAAUUUCAACUAACACCUUCAUUUCAAACGUAAUUGUUUUUCGAUUUUUCCUCUUUAUUUCAUUAAUAAAAUUAUCAAUCUAUUUGUAUUUUAAAUAUAUAAUUUUAUUAAUAUUUUUUAAUUAUAAUAUAAGAGUUUUUGUUUAUUUAUAGUUUUAUUAUAUUAUUUACUCUCUUUUUUCUAUCAAGCUUUUUAAAUUAUAAUAUAAGAUUUAUUUUAUCAAAUGGUGGCUUAUCGAGUAUUCAUCUAUUUUAAUAAUAACUUGAGUUCCAAUCAUUAUCAUACCAGAAAGAGUUCCAUUUAUUCUUUAUCGUAAAUUUUAUAAAAAAAUAUAUAUUUUAUUAUAAUACUAUAUGUGUUAGGAAUAAUAUUUUAUUGUGGAUGCCCAUAAUUUUCAAAGUUGUAACCUCUAAUGUAGUAACCUCAAUGAAAUUAUGAGGCUUUUAUAUUGUAAUCAAGCCUCUAUUUAUUCUUUGUAACUUAAACAGAAGCAUAUUUUCUAUUAUAUUGAUAUUUUUUUAUAGAGAUAUAUACAUAAGGAAUCAAAUAAAAAGUUAUUUACCUUUCUAUUAUAUUGAUAUUUUCUAUUUGAUUUGUUCUUUUCUUUCACUAUUCCAUAAUAUAUUAUCAGUACGAUUUUAAUCAAGAGUAACAUUGUAUUAGAUUGUGUCAAAAUUUUGUUGGACUUCAAGUAUUGGAAUUUAAUUGUUUAAGUUAAGAAUCAUUAGAAUCAAUGGCUAUUUGAGAUAUGCUUGAGGAUGAUCUCAUUCUAUUCAUCACAAAGGUGGAGGUUAGAAAAUCUUUAUGUUUAAACAUUUAUAGCUUUAAAGUUAUUUUAACCUCUUAUUGUGACCUUAUAAUAUUUUGUAAUUUUUUGUAUUAUGGUAUAUAAAAAAAAUCUAACCAUAGUGAUUGAUUAGUAAUAUGAAUUUGUUAUUUGUUAUGUUUAAUAUAUAUUUUAUUUAUACUUAUUCAUUUUAUUUUUAUAUGAGUAAAUGAAGUGUUUGAAGAUUCGAAAUUUUUAUCAUCCAAGUUGAAAAUAAGUGCAAAAGUGUACAUUAUUUAAAAUAAAUUACGCAUUCAUUAAUGUUAUAUGAUAAAAUCAUUACAUGUUCUAAAGAACUAAUAUUGCAUCAAACUGUAAAAAGCUCUUGAAGAGUUAAUAUUUUACCUCCUUGUGAUACAAAAUCAUAUACAAUAUGAUAUUAUUUUUCAAAUCGAGUAGAUAUAUGUUGAGGGAAAUCUUUAUGUGGUUUACAUUAAAACCAUGGAUAGAAAUGACAUGAGAUACUCGUGUAUUUUUAUUAUAAAUAUUCCUUGAAGGAAGACACUUCACUUGUAUGAUUGACAUAUGAGAUAGUGGCAAGAAGUUCAUAGUGUUGGUAUGGUCGUCUAGAUCAUCUCAAAUCAAUAAUGAUGCAAAAUAAUUUGAAGAGAAUUUAUAUGAUUUUAUUGAAGAAUGAGAAGAUAUUUUCAUUUUGAUAAUUGUCAUCAAUACUAGUUCUUUGGAAAAAAAAUAUUGAACUAACAUAAAGUUAGAGGUUGGUUGCAUUUUUUGAUGAUAUCCAAAUAAUAUAUGAGCUCAUGUAUCACAUGUAUGCAACCCAAAGUUUACAGUAUUAUUUCUUGAAAUAAUUUGAUUCUACACAAUCUCUAUAGUAUGCAAUUUGUGCUAACAACGUUGGUGCAUUAUAUCCUAAGCUUGAUUUUCGUAGUUUUAGCUGAGAUAAUAUUAAGUUGUCUAUGCCUAUAUAUGUUAUACUUAAUGGUUAGCAAAAUUGUGCCUCCAUUUAAUUGCUUAACCAUUAAUAUAAGAAUAACUUUAAAAUAAGCAUGUAAUUUUAUUUGCAUAGAGUCAACAUGUAAGAAACAUUUGCCCCAUGAGAAUUGGCUUUCAUUUAUAAGCCAAUAGGUUUCAUAUGACUAUUUGGAUGUAAAAUAUCUAUUUUAUAUUCCACCAUAAUGCACUAAGAUGGUCCAUCAAGUAUGAAGUUGAGAAAAUUUAGAAUUUUUAUUUGAUGGUAAAAGUUGAAAAGAGAUAUAUACUUAUAAUUUUGAAAAAAAUAGUCAUGUUGCAAAUUUUUCUCAAUAUUAGGGGGAGACAAGUUGGACAAAUAAGGAUAAUUAUGUCAUCACUUUUUGUGAUCCCUCACUAAUAUUAUGUGCACAAAGUUUGAAGGAAAAAAGUAUUUGCUAGACAUGUUUAGUGAUGACACUUAGAGAUUGUAUAUACUAGAUGAUACAUAUACCAGCUAAAAUGUUCCAAAUAAUUAUGAGUCCUAGAAGGACAUAGUGAUAAAAAUAAUUUUUGGGCACGCUAGAAGGAUAAAAAACUAGUUCAUUCUAUAAAUCAAAAAAUUCUUGAAAGAAAAGAGUAAGAAAUGAAGCUGGCCACACAUUAAAGGAAACGAGUACUCAUGAAGAGACCUAAGGCAUAACUUUUAAUAAAACCCCAAAAGAGGUUCAAUACAUGGAAUUAUGAAUAUAAUAAGAUAUCUCGAUUAGUUAUAUCAUAACUAAAGAUGAUGGGGUUGAUAAAAGGAAAUUGUUGUUAACAACGAUAAUCUAAGUAGAACAUUUCAAUAUUAUGGUAAAAUGAGUAUUUUGAAUGAAAAUAUACUUGAAAGUAUUUAGAUGGGAACAACUCAUCAAAAUAAAUAGACGUUUCUAUUAUAACUUAUGAAAUGUGUCUCGGACAUGAAGUCCAAACAUUCGACAGGUGUAAAGCCAAGUGGAGUAUAUGUUAGCAUAAUAGUGAAAAAAUACAAAUCAUAAUAUAUAAAAUUGACUUGUAAGACAAACUUUCCCAAGACACUUGAUUUUGAUUAUGAAAAAUGAUUAAUUUGUGAUCUUAUCAAUUGAACAUACUUUGUAUAAUCAACAAAUUAUUAAUUAACCUCAUUUAACCAAUUUCCUUCAACACAUUUCAAAUCAAAUUAAUGUGUUGAGCACGCCCUUAACCCUUUUUCUUGAUUCAUUGCAUAGUCUAUUUCCAAGUACCAUAAUCAUCAACAUUUCAAUAUAUAAAGUCAUAACAUAAUGAAUCAUAGUUAGAAUUUUUUUUACCCUAUUAACCAAGUAUGGAACAAAAAUAAAAACCUAAUUUGUCAAGCUCAUUCAAUCAGCUUAUAUAUUAUAAGAAGAGCCUAAGUAUAAAUCCUAUACAUGAUUUCAAAUUCAACUAUUUAUAUUUGAGAUUCAAUUUAAAAUUCAUACUGAAAUUAUCAAAUUAACUCGUAAGCUACUCACGCUAAACAUUAAGGUACUCGAAUUCAAGUGGCUAGAUAUCAUAAACACUUUUAGCUUGUAAAACUAUUUCUAAGGGUCAGCCCAGAAUCAUGGUUGAACCCAAAAUCUGGUAACAAAAAUUUAAUUGAGCCAUCAGCCUAAAACAAAAAAGGCUUAAAAGGUUGGCACCCGAACAAUCAAAGAUAAACACCACCAUAUGCCACUCCCUGAAUCCGAUACAUACAAUAACACCCUUCACCACUUUUAUUCUUCUCCUUUUUUUUAACCUCAAUUUGGAUGGUCGCAUUUCUCUUUUUAGUGCUUUAUAGGGUUUGGGCUUUCAGAAUCCUCAGAGAUGCAAUUCAUGGAUCCCUCUAAGAAAUGCAAGCUUGAUGAAAAUGGUAUUAUUUCAACGGCAUCAGAACCUGACCCAAUCACCAAACUAACCCCACAAGAUGGCCGCAAGCUAAUCGAGCAAUUUAUCGUCGAUCAACUCCUUGACGUCCUCCAAGAUGCUGUUUGUUGUCACCUUGAUGUUCUUUCCGCCGUACACUCUAUUGCCGAUCAAGAUCCAUCUCAAAGGAAGCUUUUCAUCCGUGGUUGGGUUGGGAUACUACAACCCAACCCAACCCACAUUAGCAUACUACCAUGCGGUAACUUCUAGUGAUUUCUGUCUGUAACAUUAGACAGGUUAACAGUUAAAUCGUUCAACUGAAAGAUUUCUUUGAAGGAAGAGGUCAAUUGAUUUUUUUUGGAAUCAUUGUGUACUCAGUUGCAUUUAAGACGGGUAUCAUUCAUAAAGUAUAUAUCUACAUCAAGAAUGGUAGCCUCUUAUAUUAUAUUCAUGUAUUUAUUUUGCAUCUUUAAUUAUAAUAGGAUUUUUUUUGUUUAUUUAUAGUUUUAAUUAUAAUAUUUUUUAAAUAUGCCAAAGUAAAUUAUGUACCAAUUUUAAACUUCUCCUAGGUAAUUUAACGUAAGGGCAUUUAUGUUAUUUUACCACUUAUGAUAAAACUAACCUAAUUUUAGAUCUAAGUGUUUACCAACCUUCUUUUAGUCAAAUUAUGCAAGCCUAAAAUUUUUAGCUUAAUUUGAGUUUGUUUACUAUGUCUAAUUCAAGUUUUAUUAUUAAGAACUAAAUUGUAACUUAAACAAAUUAGAAUACCAAUUUAAAGAGACAAAAAUUCAAAGCCCCAAAACCCACACGGGCAUGUGGGUAAGUGACACAGGCGUGUGGAAACUGGAGCUAUCACACACGGGUGAGUGGGACUGAAAAAUAUGAAAUAAAUUAAUCCAUUUAAAUUUCCAACAACCAUGCUAUACUACCAAACCAAAUAAUGUUAGAAGCUUUGAAUAGGGGCGAAUCUUAAAAAAAAUAGAAGAAUUAGAAUUAAAUUAUAAAAUUUUGAGAAGUUGUCAUGUAUUAAUUUAUUAUUUUUUAAAGGGUCUUAAUAGAUUUUUUUUCCCCAUUUUGGUUUGGCCAAUACCCCUGUCUGCCUCUUUCAAUUUGCUUCAACCCUUAGCCCAAUAUUCGAUUUGUUGUGGAAGUUUGACGCAUAAAAAUUCCUUUUUUAGAGGUUUAAAUUAUAAAUUUUUAUUAACAAAAUAUAAAAGAAAAAAACAUGUGUAGACAAGCCAAGAAACCUUUGGGAUCAUACAGGUGAUUUUGAGAUGUUCAUGGUUAUUUUGGUGGAGAGGGUAAAAAAGAAACAAAUGAUUCAUUAUAUAUGAUAUAAUUAUGAAAUUCAAGCCAUAUAUUGUAUGUUUCAUCCAUACAAAUUUCUUGUAGCAUUAAAUGACUCGUAGGCUUGCUGAAUUUCUUUGAAAGGCCCAAAGGCAAUUUAACAUUCACAAAAUAAUCUCUAAAUAGUGUAAAGACAAAUCAAAUCCACAGUAGCAUUAGAGUUGAUUAAGCUAAGCAUUGGCAAAUAUUACUUUGAUUUUGCAUGCAAUAUUGGCAAAACCCCCUCUUACAUUAGAAAAACAACAUAAUCCAUGAAACAUUGAUAGCCCAAUACAAAUUUCAUCGAGAAAAAAGUCUCUUUGUUUUGUAGAACAUGAUAGUAAAGAUGUGGAGUUUCGUUCUUCUUAUUGGCCUCCUUUAGUUUUCCUUGAUCAACAACCACUAGCCAAAAACACAAUUAGAUUAGAUUAUGAAUGAUACUUUCAACUAUGACAAUAUUAAAUACAAACCACUCUAAAUAACUCUAAAUAAAUGGAAAGCAGCAAAUUACCAGACGAGGCAAGCUAGCUCAAUUAAGACCAUUGUGUUAUACUUGUCUCUGAAUUGAAAAAUUUAGAAGGAAAUAAAGAGAAAGACUUAGAAAAUACUUGAAAACAGAAAAAAAAAUUAUGUCAUUUAAAAUAAAAAAUUUCUAUUCAAGCCAUUUAAAAUUUGUAAGAUUUUUAAAAUUUUAAAAUGAUAAAGGUAAAAUUGUACUUUGGCACCCCAAAAAUGAUAAAACUUUGAUUUAAUUAUUUAAAAAUUAUAAAAAUAUAGGCUAUUAAAAUGGUGAAAUUAUAUUUUUACUAUAGUAAAAAUUACAAUUUAAUUUCACCCCUAAAAGGAUUUUCUGGCUUCGCACCUAAUAAAAUCUUUGGCAAAAGACUAAAAUAAAAUUAUACCAUGAAUGGAAAAAGAAACUAAUAAAAUCCAAUCUAACAAAGAAAAUAACUUGAUGUCCAAAAGCUACCAUAAACCGUAAUUCAUGGGAAGGCUUGUUGCUUAUUUUAUUGGUUUCCAUUUUGAAAGAAGUUUGAAUUUUGAAGAGAGCCUACUACGUGAAAGCAAAAGAAAAAAAAAUAGUUUAUAUGAUUAAAAUUCCAGAAUAGAUUAAAAAUGUUGAAUUAAAGAUAAAAUUAAGUGUGAAUUAAUAACCACAAGUGUACUCUUUACUCACCAUCUCUGUUAAAAAUGUUGGAUGUUGUUUAGCAACCUUUGUUUGAUUUUCUUCAGCUCAACCACAACAUCUUUCAUAUCUUUUCUUUCUUCUGGUAACUCAGCUGAACAAUUCAAAGCCAACUCCAUGAUAGAUGAAAUACAAUUUGCUUUAACAACAAUGUACUCAUCCUCUCUUCUUAAUAAAU